This 148220-nucleotide long non-coding RNA is filed under the name Malus domestica (apple). RNAcentral describes it as "long non-coding RNA (MDOM_LNC010038)". The record is from RNAcentral. Lineage: Eukaryota; Viridiplantae; Streptophyta; Magnoliopsida; Rosales; Rosaceae.
UCCAUAAUCUUCCUCAGUAAGAUUAUAUGUCCAUUUCAACUUUCUAAAGAAUCUUUUGGCUUUUUCUUUCAUGAUUUACGUAACAUAAUCAUGUUCAUAACUUUAAAUUGUUUGUAUUAGUACAACGCAUCAAGAGUCUUUUUGUAUUAGUACAACGCAUCAAAAGUCUUAUCCCAUGUCCAAAUUUGAAGCCUUUCAUUAUAGUUUAAAACGCGUCUUGAUUUUUUUUUUUGGAUAACAAAACACGUCUUGGUUCCUUCUAUUGUCAGUUAGUUUUGAAUUAGAUGCUUUAAUGCUGCUUCACUUGUUUAACAUAAUUGACACGUGAGCGGACGAGCUGAGUGUAUAAGUAAUAAUUGCGUAUGUAUUAUUAAGUAUAAUCAAAGUAGGUAAAAGAAGCUUUGAACCAAUUUGAAAAAUGGAAGAAUACAACAGAAAAAGGUUAUCGGUCAUUACCAUGAUCGUGUUACACGUCAUGAUAUAAAACUUGUUAAAUAAGAAACGAUCAUGUACAACUAACAAGUGCUUUCACAAACCAUUCAUUCAUGCGUCUCUUAUAAUUUAGAUGGUUUGAUGAUAAUAUUCGUUAACCAAAAUUAACAUGAAGAGCAAAGCCACUUGUUUCUGCAUACCUACAGGCCGCAAACACAAAGAUCAUCAAGAGAAACUGCAGGAUGAUCGGUCGUCUCAUUCCAGCUCUCGUCGAAGCCGCAAGAGUAGAGGACAUCAUGAUGGUGCAACGGCUCCUGGUGGUGGUCAGGUUGAUGGAGGCACCACCACUGCCUCCGCAGCCGCAAGCAGUGAUGUUGGUAGCGCAGCUGUUGUAGUGAUGACUGCUGCCCACCUGUCUAUUAUGGAUGGCGGUGACAGUGGUAGUGGUCAUGGUGGUGGUGAUGGCGGUGGUGGCGACGGUGGUUGAUGACAUUGUAGAGUUGGUGCUUUCUUUGUGCACUUUUGUUCAAUUAUUGCCUACAAUUGCAUCACUAUUUAAAUUUUUUUUUUAUUUGUUUGAAAGGAAUUUGGGAGGUAUCCUUUUGUGUUUAUUGUACUAGGAUUGUUUACUGCGUGCGAUUGUGAAGUUUUGCAUUUGAAUCAUGCAUGGUGCCUUCGGUAGCAAAUUAAUCUGUCUCAAAAGCUUUGUUAGGCUGAUCUUCAAACCAUCAGUUAUUGGUUGCAAUUAUCGAAGUCUGACGCAGUGUGACAUAGAGAAGAUCAAUCAAUGUUAAUUUUAAAAAACGAGAAAUUUGGGAUCCACCACAAAGAAAGAAAAAACCUCAAAAUUUAUUGAUUCAUAAUUGAUAAGAUAACAAACCUAAAGCCAAAGAAUCUUAUAUACAGUGUAUCUUAACCUAGAAGCCCUUGGAGUCGAUGGUUUUUUUUUUUAAACAAACAAUAUAUCUACACGAAAGGAGAGAGAUAGUCUCACAAUGUGUUAGCAAUUAUGUUAUUCAAAUUUGUUUUUAACGAGAAUCAAAUCUAAGACAUCUCACUCACAAGUAAAGAGAAAUAUCACUAGACCGUAGUACUAAGUGGCAAGUCUAUGAUUAGAAUCAAACAAUUAACAAAAUAAUGACGUCCAUAAAACUUAGAACCCUAAUAAAACACUAAAAACGAUAAAAUUUGACUACAAAGCCCAUAUAUCACAGCAAAACAGUGUGCUUAAUGCGCGUCGUCAUCACUUCAACAACAUAUCAUGUCCCAAAUUUGACACCAAAGCAAUGUGUUUGUUGCCCAAUUUGCGCCUUUCAACUUGAUCCUCAAUCCAAUCCGCCAUAUGAUCUACAUCAAAGCUAGAUUGCACUAUUAUACUAUUUUGAUCACAUCUGAUGGUUAAGAUAUGAACAUGUAUUUGCACUUUAAAAAGGCCUCCCAGAAGAAAUAAAACCAAGCUCACCAGCCCAAAACAAACACUAACAGUAAAGGCCCAACAAAACUCAAUCCACCAGCGACCAGCAACACAUACAUAAACCCAACCAAAACGCUUUUGCCUUCAUCUCUCUAACUCGGCACCACACACUCUCUCUUAAAGCCCUAAUCUUUAACCCUAAAAAAUCCCCAAAUCUCAUCAUCUCCUUCUCCCCGCACGUACAGCGAUGGCUCUAGUGAGACCCGGAUCCGGAAACCAACCCCCAAAGCUCCGAUGGGGAGAGCUCGAGGAGGACGACGGUGAAGACCUCGACUUUCUCCUGCCGCCGAGGCAAGUGAUUGGGCCCGACGAGGACGGGAUCAAGAGGGUGAUCGAAUACAAGUUCAACGAGAAUGGAAAUAAGGUCAAGAUGACGACCAUUACCCGGGUUCGGAGACUCGCCCAGGCCCGGCUCAGUAAGCGGGCCGUGGAGCGCCGCUCCUGGCCCAAGUUCGGGGACGCCGUGCACGAGGACGUCGGUGCUAGGCUCACCGUGGUCUCCACCGAAGAGAUCUUCCUCGAGCGCCCCAGGGCUCCUGGUAAGCUUUUGAAUUCUUCUUUUCGGGGUUUCGGUAUUAGGGUUUUUAAUUUCGGAUUUUGAGGAAGAUUAUAUGGAAUUUGUGUGAAAAACUACAUUUGGCUAAUUUGGAAUAUUUCCCAUGAGAUUUUGAUCAUAUAUUCCUCUGUUAGUAUUUGCGAUAGACAUCUAUUAAUCCUUUAGAUUAAAUUUUGUCUAAAUAAAUUUUUGCAAUUGGAAUAAAUGAAGCUAAAAUUGAAUUGUAUUUGUUUUAUUUUGUUGUUUGGAGGAAGGAGAGUGGAAUUUUAAAUGGUCGAUACGAAUAACCUAACCAUUACUCCCUUGCUUUUAUCUUGUUUAAUGGAAAUGUCUGUUUGAGGCAAUUGCUAUGUCUGAAUGAACAAUGCUGGCUUGGUGCAUGAGUCGGUAGACUGUCUAGCUGACCAUCGGGAUUGGUUUAAAUCUUAUAACUUCGUACGGACACGUUUGCAUGUCUAGUUAUACGAUGUAGAUUUCUAACCUGAGAUUGUGAGUAUGUUUAGUUUAAAUCUUAUAACGUCAUCUGGUUCCAUGCUCGAAUCCCCUAAUUAGGUUUGUGGAGAGGUUAAAGGUUGUUUUAGUCAAGAGGCCUACUGUUAUUAUGGUUACUUUCUCGGAUAUGAUAUAGUUCAAAUUUGUUGGAUCAGUUUGAUUUUUGAAGUUACCUUCACUGGCCAUGUGAUUUUGUUUUGUGGAUGAUGCAUUGUUGACAUGGGGGAAAAUAGAGGAACUAUUUGUUGAUGCCCUCAUAUAUCGCAUUGCAUCUGCGGCUUCUCUGUUAUGUCUUUUGUCAGAGAUUUGUUUGAUUUUCUCUUGAUAUAGAAUAGAUUUAUUUGCUAUCAGUCGAUGCCAAUUGGUCAUGGUAACUGGUAUGUUGGGUUUUCUGAUUAUUAUUUUCUGUAUAUGACUGAACAGGUAGCAAAGCAGAAGAACCAAAGGCUGGAGGAGACCCUCUGUCUCAACUCACAAAAGGAGGGGCUGCUCUCAAACUAUGUAGGACUUGUGGUAAGAAGGGUGAUCACUGGACUUCACAUUGCCCGUAUAAGGAUCUCGCCCCACCAAAUGAAGGAUUUAGUGAUAAACCUCCUACAUCAGAAGUAGUGCCUGGAACUCCUAGCACAGGUAAGUAUGUUCCUCCAGUCCAGAGAGGAGGUGGAGACAGAGUUGGAAGUGAUAUGAGACGAAGGAAUGAUGAGAACUCUGUUCGUGUCACCAACCUUUCAGAGGACACUCGUGAGCCUGACUUGCUUGAACUUUUCCGGCCUUUUGGUGCUGUUAGCCGUGUUUACGUUGCUUUGGAUAAGAAUACUUCCGUUAGCAGAGGAUUUGGUUUCGUCAACUUUGUGAACAGGGAAGAUGCCCAGAGAGCAAUCAACAAACUGAACGGGUACGGUUAUGACAAUCUCAUCCUCAGGGUUGAAUGGGCUACACCGAGGACAAAUUAGAGCUUCCCCCACCCCCUCCUUAUCGUUUUCUAUAAAGAUAUUCGCAUUAGGAAUGUUUUGCAGGAUUUUGGUCCUAUAAUGUUCUGUUCAGAUGCUUUGUUUAAACCUAUGUUCAGGAUUUUGGUGCUCUUGCUUGUAAGAGUACUAAAUGAGAAAUUAAUGUUAGUUGUUUUCAGCUUAAAAAUUGGUAUGCCUGAAAAUUUUGAUUGUCCUUGAAACAUUUUGGAGAUGUGCCUGGAGAUCGUAGGUUUACGCUGCAACGAAAACCGUUGCUUCUGCUGAAUAAACUCGAGGGUUCGAGUUUCGUACACAAUUCUUGCAUUAGUGAACAAACAUUCCAUGUAAAAAAAGGAGAAUACAAGAAACUCAAUAGCAUAUCAUUAUUUUUUCACAAUAGGCUCCUGCUAUCAACAUUUUUCUUAGUUAUUCUGUAAGCACCAGGUGCCGAUUUCUUGUUAGGAUAGGAUUGUACUGGAGGAAGAAGCGCAAACAGGGAACUGGAUCCCAGAAGAGGCAAUGGGUCGGAAGCUCGGGGGAGGACUCAUGGCCGAGGUAGAAGACAAGAGACAUUCAGACAGACGGAGUUGGAUUUCCGCUCGAUCGGAGCUUGCAGAAUCUGCCGGAAUUGUUAUGUAUGGCACGACAGGCAAUUUGCUGUACCAGGAACCUUCCAUGGUCAGUUGCCCACCGGCCUUAUACCGAAGUAUCGCCCUGUAAACGAAGGGUAUGAGGCCCUCCAUCCGAAAAGCGUAUGAGAGCCGGAGAGGUGAACUUUUCUUCUGUGGGGGAAAGACUUGGGAGUGGUUAUAAGCAAGAGGAGGGAUGGAUUAUGGAUAGAGUGUCCGGUAGAAUGUCAUUUUCUUCACGCCUAAAAGUGACCCAGUGAGGUAAAAUGAAAGCUCAUCUCGCCCACUGUUGGAAUUUGGUGCAUUGGUGGAUAUUCUUUCCACUUCCAAUCACUGUUUUCAUGAGACUUAAAACUUAGAACCUCUUUUUUUUUUUUUUUUUGACAAGAAACGAUAACGGUAUUUUAUUGAUCAUCACAAACAAAUACAAAGGUGUCAAUUUGAUACAUUGUUUCAUUGAUCAACACAUUGAUCUGAAAUGAAUUUGCACAAACAAGCGAUUAAUUAAAAGGAGGCAGAUUGUCUGCCCUCCUGUUUGGGGCCCUUCUCAUCCCCUCCUAUUUUGUGCGGUCACUGUUAAGCCACGUCAAAAUAAGAGGGGAUGAUAAGGGCACCAAAAGAGAAUGGCAGACAAUUUGUCUCCUAAUUAAAAACCCCUAAAACAACUACCACAAAUAGGGCUGGACACGAAUCGAGACGGGAUGGGUCCACCAAAUUUUAACACAGGAACCGGACAUAACCCGACCGUUCCUUUUUUUUUUUCUUUCUGUUCUCUCCUUCUUUAUAUCUCCCGACGAGCUCGUUGGAAUGGCGUGAUCUACUACCACAUGCCACCAAAUCUACGACGAGAUCGACAUCCUCCGACGACGGCGACAAAGUCAACAUCACCGACGACACCAUGGGACCUGGAAAAGCUUCGCAGCCAUGAGACCUGGAAAAGAGGGGUUGGUCUUCGACGAAGUAAUCAACAGCGUUAACGACGCCGACUCCUCACUCCCUCUCCCACUCAAACUCGUCCACCGUUUGGUUUUGGAACUCGUCCUGGAUGCUGUCUAGCUCUUAUCUGCAAUCUGAAUCAUUGUAAAUCCCUAAUUGCGCGAAGAUUCCAGAGAGCUUCAAAUGGUCGGGGACGAUUUCGCUCCUGAGGCUGUCAAGCAUGGAGCAAACCUCGCGGCGGAGGGCGUCGUCUCUCGGAUCGACGAGCAAUUUUGUGGUGCUGCGGGAGCACUGGGUGCGGAGGAGGGAGAUGGCCUACUCGACAUCGUUGUUUAAUUGGAGCUCCUUGACGGGGAGGUUGUCAAGCAAGGUGGAGAGGUCGAGGGUGAGCUUAGGGAAAAUGUUGGCGAGGGAUUCUGUCGAGGAGCCACAUCCGACUCCCAUUUGAAAAGUCCUCGAUGAAGGUCUGGAUCCUCUGGAGUAGGAUGUAGAGCUCAUGAAAGCAGAGGAGGGCGGAGAGGGAGAAGAUGGUGGUGGAGCUCCUGAUGAUGUCUUCGAAGAUCAAUUUGGGGGUGGAAAUCGGUUCGGGCUGGGGCCCCGUUUCUUCCAGGAGUUGGACCCGUCCCGCCAGCCCCGUGUUGAAUUUUAAAAUUUUGGACCCGCCCUGAACUGCUUAGACCCAUCCCGAUCAGCGGGUUCAGGACCCGUUUGCCCACCCCUAACCACAAGCACAGGUGCACUAGUACAAAUUUGUCACAAGACCGAUAGAUGUAACAAAACCUAUACCAGUGCACACACCGAUCUUCGCUAAUGAACCAGGCCACACAACAUCAUCGCUAGAGGAUGAGACCAUAUAGAGUUACCUCUGAAAGAUGAGACCAUAGAAUUAUCGCUCAAAGACAAGACUACAUCAUCGGCCAAUCGCUGAACAAACUCAAAUUUCUUCAGCAAAGACUAAAUAUUGGUAAAGCACGGACAAAAACAGGAGACUCUUCUGUAUUUCUGUACGCAAAGACAUUUAUUUCUUUGUAGCUUAAUCCACAUGCAGAGUUGCUGUCUCACUAUAUUAGUAGUUAGCAUUAUAGUUUAUGAAUUGUCCAACAGUGAACUGUGAAUGAUGGGGACAUGGGACUAUUAUAUUAUCAAUAUCUAUUAGAUAUAUAUGCUCUGUGAAAUUAGGUUUAAAAUUUUCAGAAUCUUUGUUUGAUACCGUGUCCUCCUGCCUUUUUAACAAGAGAUUUUUCAGUGUGCUUUAGGGUCGUUCGAGUUAUUGGAUUCUCAUCAAUGUUUGAAUUACUCAAGUAGACAUUCUCGCUUCUACUUCGUCCACUGUCGCUUGCACAGUUGCUUUCCUAAAAAAAAUGAUCUAAUACAUAAAGUGAAAUAAUACAAUUGGUUGGAAACUUAAAAAAUAGAUAUACAUCUUUUCUUAAAACAGGUCAUUAUGCAAAAUGUGGACCUAUAAUCUAAAGUUUCAAUUUCUUCAGGGCGGUACUAUCCACAUACUUCUUUUUACCUUCUCGUCGGGUGGAAUGAAUUGAAAAUAAUCAAAUGAUACAAAUUAAUAAGAAAUGGUGAGAAAUGUAAAAAUAAGUGUGUGGAUACCAUCACCUUAGCACCCUCCCUUUAUUCUUGUUUUAGUGAAAAGUUCAAUUUCUCUUGUCAAUUAUUCAUGUAUUUUAUACAGAUGACUUAACCAGUUCAUAAACAUAUUUUUCUUUCACAAAUUAUAAAAUUCGAAUAAAUAUUUUUUGGCAUCGACAAGUAGUAGGAAAUUCGAACGUAAAUACUUUUUUAAUAUCUGUACUGAUGAACUACUAUACGUUUGUUGAACUUAAAAUCUUAGAGAGUCAAUUUCAGUCACUGUGUCGAUUAACCCCUAGACGUUUAAAAAUUAAGAAUGAACUGCUAGACUUGUUUAGGCGCCUGCCUAGACCUGCCUAGGCACCCACUUAGAUCUUGACUCUCACUUAGACAAAAAAUACAUCACUAUCAUUUUGCAUUUUUUAUAUAAAUUAUAAGAGACUUGUUGAAUACUUGGAUAAACACUUAUCAUAUUAUGUUUCCCCAUGUUUUUAUUAUGUUUAAUACUUUGUAAUUUAUAUAUCAUUCUAUUUUAAUUUAUGUAUUCUAAUACAAUUUUAUUUUUAUAUGAUAUAUAAUAAGUUUACUUAAAUCUGCCUAGGCGCUAAGCCUCAGUUCGCCACCCAAUUAGUGCCUAGUAUCUUUUAGAAUCUUGAUUUCAACACACAUUUGUUCUCCACAUUCACACGCUAUACUUAUUUCUGAUGGUUAGAUCGAAUAAAAUAUAUAAAAAUACACCAGCGAAUAAGAUAAAUUAGCAAAAAAUUUUAUACAAUAAAAAUUAAAUUUGAUUAUUUUCUAAGAUUUAGAAAGAAAAAAAAAUACCACUAAAUCAAAAGCAAGUUAAUUUAAGUUGAUUGACUAAGAGAUAAGUGGCAGAAUUAUAUGAAACUAGCCUUUCUGCAUGCGCUCACGCGCGUGCGAAAGACAUUUUUUUUAAUCACGGCGCGCUACGCGCAACUUGCGCAUUUUAGAUGUAUUUAUAUGCAAAAAUUGGUUCAAUAUAUAGAAACAUAAAAUAAAGGCGAUUAUAACCUCUAAUAAUACAUGCAGGAAUUUAAAGUAUUUUAUCUAGAAUAUGUAAAAAAAAAAAAAGUAAUAAAUAACAUAGAAGAUCCUUAUAAUGUAGUUGCAAUUAAAAGCUAAAUAAAAAGUAUAAAAACAAUCCAAGAACUUAAAUUGACCUUGAUACACUUGACAGCAAAACAUAUCAUAAACUCAUAUCGUUCUGUCAUGUUGAAAAUUUAAUGCUUUUGGUUAAAAUCAAAUAUUAGCAUUAUUUGUAAUUGAAUUGCAUUAAAAGUUGAAAAAGGGAAUUAAACAUUAAAAGAAAGAAUAUAACAUUAUGUUGAGGGAAGCAAAAUAUCUUUGUACACAACAUUUCUUGUGAAGACUCCUUCAUGAUCGUGUAAUUCUCAUUUCUUUACCAAAACUUUUGUUGUAGACGCUGAAACUCCUCUUGAUAAAGCCACGUACAAUUGUCUAUGACUGAAUACGUGAUUUGGUAGCUAAAUACCCAUAUUUGGUAUUGUCUGCCCUUGUGAUUUAUUUAUGGUCAGUGCAAAACUCAAUUUCACUAAAAACAGUUUUCUCAUCAUUUCAAAUGGGAGUCCUGCGCUUUAUGUGGUCUUUAAAAUAUGAACAUGUAACACAAUAUGAACAGGUAUACAACUCUAAAAUAUGAAGACAUUAAUUCCUGUUCAAAUCACUGACGGCAGCUGCGAUUCACAAAGGAGAACAUCUUAAAUAAUCUGUCAUCCUUUUCGACUAAGGAAUUUUUCAAAACUUCGACUUUGUAUUCCCAAUCUUUAUUUACAAAUCUGCAAAGAACAAAGAAAAUGGGUAUUGCUGAAUGAACUGCAGUUAGAAUGAAAGAUUUUGGAUGCCAAUAUGAGAGUUAAAAGAUUUUGGAGUGAGAAAAAAAAAUGGAAUUGUAAACUACUUUGCGAAGAGAAAGAGGGUUUCUUUCCUAUUUAAAAUUUGGUGAUGCAGGAGGUGGAAGUGGGUAUGACUCAUGUACUUGUGGAACGGAUGCUGACAUCAGCUAUUUGUGGGAAAUGUUUUUGCUUCACAACAAACUGAUUCAAUUCUAGCUUUAUAAUCUCCGGCAAUUUUUCAAUUAAUAGUUAAGCAUGGUGUAGGUUUUGAAUUUAAUUGGUGAUGGGUAAAAUGGAAAAUGAAGACAUCAAUACGGUGAAUUUGAAUCACUGGCGAGACAUCUCCAAUUUCAGAACGAAAAUUUUCACAAUUUGCAGUUUAAUAAACACUUAUUAUCCAAGACUUGAAAGUAAAUGAACCAAAAAAUUAAAAGAUAAAGCAAUUAAACGUAAAGCAAGUAAAUGCUUGCAAAAAUUAAAAGAUUAGGCAAUUAAAUGGAGAAUUACCCUUGGAACUGAAAAAUUACUACAAAAGGUUUGAAAGUUACACAGUUAGAUACUAAAAAGGAGAGAGAUGAGAUGGACUGGGAAGGCAAAAUUAAGAUCGGCAAUGGUUAACAACCUACUCCCUUUAAUCUUUGCACUGUAUUCCUUGUUGGAUUGUUCCAACAUUGGGCAAGGCAGGGGGCACUGGUUCUGCCAUAAUCGCAACUACACAAUCCUAUCCAUCAGAGCGGUUUGAUAAUGCUUCCAUGGUUCUCAUGCUCCACGAUUUUUUCAUUCAAUCGUAUCCAUCAGAUCAAGAUUCCCAACUACACAAUCUGUUCAACCAAAAUUUAAUCAAAAUCUACUCAUCUCUAUUAAUCCCAAAACAAACAAAAGCAAAUAAAAGGUUAGAUUUUGUUUGCAUAUAAAAUUAAAAGUACCAGCAUUAAACAUCCAUGUUACGAAGUCAAGAAGGGGACUGAGUCAUACCAUCGACAAACACGAUCAUCCACAGAAUAGAUUAUUGACCCGUUGAAAUGUAUUUUUCGGUGGUUUGGCAGCAAUAGUAGUUAAACAGAAUGACAAAUUCAUGAUAGAAGCCAGUAAAUGAACAAAUCAAACCAAAUAAAAUAUAUCAAAGAAAUAGAACAACUUAUAGCAAAUAUGUUGUUUGAAUUCUUCUGAAGACUGGCUUCUCCUUCACCUUCACAUACUCGAAAACAAAACCUAUCUAAUAAUCCAACCACAAAAAUGCAUAUAUACUGAUUUAUAUACAUUCACAAACGAAUAUGUACACCGAUUAGGGUUUGCAUAACCCCUAGAAGAGAAAAUGGAAGCUUACACCCCGAUUAAUUUCCUUUGAACACCUGGAGAGAGGAAUCACUGCAAAUUCCGCCGUAUUCAGAAUUGCACACUUUCAUUCACAAAUCGCAAAGCAAGAAACCGAAAAAACUGAAAGAAAAAGAAUCGAGGACACGAACGUUGGUUUCUACCUCCUUUUAUCCCACGUUGGAGUGUGGCAAUCUCCAAAAUCGAGCAUCAACUCUUAGUAUCAGUUGCAAAACUGAAAAUUUUGAAUUUGUAUAUGGGAGUGCAUAUAAAAUACCGGAGUGGAAAGCCUAUCAAUCAUAAAGCGACAAAUUGUAGAAACAUAAAAGAAAGCAAAUAAAAGAUCACCAACAUCUUACAUGGAACUUGGAAGCAUCAAUGGGUGGACUUCUUCUUAUCUGCAUAAUUUUCGUAAAAAAAUAACAAUGAGAAUAGCAAAUCAACCAUGAAUGCUUGGCGUUGGAUUCAUGGAAGCAAAAUUGAGAACGUAAACGAAAUCAUUUAAACUGAAACGAAAUUAAACAAUGCCAGUACUCCAUGCAUGUGUUUUCAAUUCCUCUAUCCUGUUCUUGGAUUGCUGUGUGGACCAUGAUUGGGAGAGGUGGGGUAUCAUUCGCUCUUGAUAAAUUGAGUUGGAAAAGAACCCCAAUUGAUGGAAAAAUUUGUAGAACGUGGAGGGUUAAUUUUUUGACUUUGAAUCCCACUUUCGGCAGUUAUAUCUCUUUUCUGCAAAACUUUUUCUGUUUACAGCUUAACCUACUGGCUUUAAUCCAAUUUUUUAUGAUAAAAUUACCCUUGCGAAUUUGUCUAAAAUUUUUUGAUGAAGCCUUGAGACACUAAACUCUUAUUCUAGUUUUCUAAUAUUAAAGAUUUGGAGACGCUGCCUUACCCCCACUAAUUACUGCAAGCCAAGUGAUUCUUUCCCAAAUAAAAAUCAACUCCUCAAUGGGUAAAAUAUAUAUAUAUAUAUAUAUAUAUUUUUUUUUUUUUUUUAACAAUCAAUAUUAUCUACAUUAAGGGGAGGUGAUGAGUUUAUCCUCACAAUGAACUAGCAAUAAUAUGGUUCAAAUUUGCCUUUAACGAGAAUCGAACAUAAAACCUCUUACUUACAAUUGAAGAAAAGUACUACUAUUAGACCGUGAUACUAAGGGCUAGUUUGGUAUUGCUGUGCUUUGAAAAAAAGCUGCUGUGAGAAUAAAUGGAUGUGCUAUGAGAAUAAGCAACUGUGAAAUAAAACAGCAGAAUGUUUGGUAAACUUUUUUGUAAAAGUGCUUUUGGAAAAAAAAUCAGUCUGAUAGUGGGUCUUUUCAUUAAAAGAGCAUUGUAGCUCCGUGUGCUUUGAAAAAAAGCCAGUUUUCCAAAGUUGCAAAUAGCAGCUUCAACUUUUUCCUUUGAUUUCAGCUUAUUCUCACAGCAGCUUUCAAAAUAAGCUCUUUUUUUUUUAGUUUACCAAACAUCUAAAAUCCUCACAGUUUUUUUUCAUGGGUGCUUUUUUUUUUAAGUAUCUCACCCCAAACCACCCCUAAGUUGCCUCAAUGAGUAAAUAUUAAAAAUUCAAAUUUUCAUAUGCAAAGGGAUGCAAAGAGGUUAAAUUGGGUAAACCACAGAAAGAAUCAGAGGAGGAGCAAAACUCCAAAGUGGCAGAUAGACGUUGUUUUCCAAAAAAAAAAAAAAAAAAAAAAAGAAGAGGUGGCAGAUAGACGUGCGCACUCUGAACUCCGCUCGUCAGCUCCGCUAAGGUUAUCGUAUAUAAAUCCAACGGGGCCCAAAUAUACAAAGACCUCUCCAGAUUCCUAUUUGCGAGAGACAGUCUGUCUCAUCUCGCCUCGUGGGCUGCUUCUUGUAACUCUCCUUCUUCUUCUUCCUCCGCAUUUUCUUGGGUUCUCAGAUAUCUGCUUCUUCUGCCCCCCAGAAGCUGCUUUUCCAUGGCUUCCAUUGUUGAAUCUGGCUGGAGGGUACUUUUUUUAACAACCCCUUUGGUUUUAUAGCUCAAAGAUUUCACUUGGGGUUUAUUUAUUUAUUUGUUUUUUGGACCAAGGUUUGAUCUUUUUGUUGGGCAUUGGUUGCUUUUGAAUUGGAAUUGCUGUGUUUGUUUUUACCCGUGUGUGUGAAUUUGGUGAUAAUGCUGGCAUGUGGAUUAUGAUUGGUGUGAUGGGUUUUUUAUUUUUUUUUUGUGUGUGUGUGUGUGUGGUGGGAUUGGUGUAAUGAUUUGAUCUGUAUGGUGCAUUUGAGUAUUGUGGUUAUUGAAUUUAGUAAUGAGAUCGCUGGGUUGUUAUUUUUUGGAUUUCUUUUGAGGAAUAUGGAUUAGGGAUGGUGGGGCAGCAUUAGGUGUUGAAAGUUGAUUUUUGGUGAGGAUUUUGGAGAUAUUUUAUUAAGAAUAUGUUUCUUCGCAAAGAAGCGGGUUGGUGUAAUUUAUGGUCAAACAUUGUGAUCAUAUAUUUGAAGCAAUGUAAUUAGAUUCAAGUGUUAUUAUCUGUUUGUGGGAUAACGCAAUCAUUUGAUGCGCCUAGUGCAUUUAAUUGUCGUUACUGUUUUCAGGGUGGCGGGGUUAUUUGGUUUUUGGUUCUCUUUCAGUUGUCAAUUUCUGUCCUUUUUCCGUUAUAGUGACAUUAGGGAAGCAUUAGAUGUUCAAGAUUAAUGCUGCGGUGGAUUUGGAGGCACAUUGUUAAAUUGUUAGGAUUAUGUUCCUUCAAACAUAAGUGAGUUUCACGUAGGUUGUGUUCAAACAGUGUUAGCCCAUGAUGCUUGGAUGUGAAGUAAUACAGAUUGAAGUGGAAUUAUUCUAACUUCCUUUUCAUUAGCUAACUAACUACCUGGAGGUAUAUGGACAGAGAACUGAUACAUGGGCAGAGAAUUCAAAUGGAGGCUCUGUUUCUCUAUCUGAUUGAUCUUGUAAUUAGCUGCUAUUGAGAUCUGACUCAGAAAGUUCUGUUAAUCUUUUUUUUUUCCCUUCCUGUGGUUGAUGGUGGUUUUGUUUUGUUUUUUUGUUUAGUUUUGUGGGUGUGUGUGUUUGGGGUGGGGGGGGGGGGGUGGAUUGAGAAAUAAACAUUUUUUUUCAUAGGCGCUGAUACAUUUUAGGUAGACGGUCCUAAAAAAUCAUCCAACCUGUAUGUCAUUCAAGUUCAAACUUCAUUACUUUUUCUAGUAUAUAUUGGGCUACCGAGAACAUGGAUUGGGAACUGAGUCUAGGUUAAUAGCAACACAGUUCUUAGGUAGGUAUCAUUGUACUCUAGAUGCUAAAUGAUAGAAAUUACUUUAAUUCUUUUAACUACCUUUGGUGUUUACUUUUAAACAUAGUUCCUUGGUUGUUUGUUGCUUUUAUUGCCAUGUCUGAAUUUUGGAACUAUUGGCGAGCACAUGAAAACUAUAAGCGUUCCCAAAUGAAAGGAAAAUGUAACUGAUUUCUCUUGGGCAGCUCCUGUGGUCUGCGAUGAUGAAUUUCCUACUUCAUGCACCUAAUGGUCUCUACUGUUAUCUUAUAUUUUCUUACUUUUUUGAGAUUCUUCUAUUUUGACUGUGCAGUAUCUGAUCACAAAUUUCAACGACUUUCAACUGGCAUGUCUAGGAAGUUUCUUUCUCCAUGAAAGUGUUUUCUUCUUAUCUGGACUCCCUUUUAUAUAUCUUGAGAGGGCAGGAUGGCUGAGCAAGUUCAAGAUUCAGGUUCAUCUCUCUUCACUGAGCUCAUAGAUAUGAUUUUUUAGAUGAUGAAGUUUCUUUCCUUUUCUCUAAGAUUCAUCUGGCUAGUGGCGUUUGUAGGACAUGUUUUUCCAGCUCUGUUUAAUAUAGCUUCCUUAAGGAAGUAUUUAGUUUGCAAUUAUUUGGAGAUUGUAGGGACAAAUGUGGUCUGGACUGUAAUUUUAGCUGAAGUCUAAAUGAUUGGGGAUGGUUGGGGUUGCGUGAAGUUAGAAUUGAAGGUGAUGGAACAGCGCAGUUGGGUGGAGUUUAUGUUGUAGGAAGAAGUAUGAGACCAAGGCUUCUUACUGGGCCUUAUUGCGGCUGUCUCAGCUUUUGUCUCUUUGGGGAAGGGCUUAGGGGGCAGGUGAUGCUCUAAAGGUAGCUCCUUAUACAGAGGAUGCAGGUCUUAAGAAAAUAUUGACAUUUUAUAUAUGUGAAUCUGUGAUUAAGAGAAAGGAUUAUGGUUAUUUUUAGUAGGUGUAAGGGGAGGCAUUGUAUAUAUUUUGUUUUAGGCAUUUAGCUUACAGUGGUCUAUGGGUGGGGUGUAAUGGGCUAUCUCUUUCUUUGAUUGGGGUGACUCAGUUUAUAGCUAGUUUGGUGAGUGAGCUAUUAUUGGGUUCAAAUAGUCGAAGUGCCACGAAGCAAAAUAAAAGUUAUGUGUUUUUUGUCUUUGUGGAUGGAGUGGAGGAGCUGAUGUUCUAUAGUGGAGGUAAAGGCACAUAUGUUAAGAAGGGAUGUUUGAAGGAACUAGAUGGGCUAUUGCUACUAAUUUUGCAGAUUCAUAACAGUUUUCCUUCUCUUUAAUGCUUCUUUGUUACCUUCCAUUCAUACAGCUCGUGUACGAAGGUGCUGUCCCCUUGGCGUUUCAGCAAAAUCUUAUCAAAAUAGUGCCAUGACUUGAUUCUAGUUUUGUGCAGACAAAAAAUAACAGCCCUGCAGCUCAGGAGAAAUGUAUUACUCGCCUAGUCCUGUAUCAUCUUUGUGUCAAUCUGCCAGUUAUGAUUGCUUCAUAUCCCGUCUUCAAAUUCAUGGGCAUGCGGAGUAGUCUUCCAUUGCCGUCCUGGUAUUUUCAGGUUCUUUAUAUGCUAGAGCAUAUUUUCUCAGACAUCGUGGAGUUUGAUGCCGUUAUCAUAUGACCCAUUUAGAAUUAACAAAGACCCUAAACUUUUCCGUUUCUGAACAAUUUAGACUUUUAAAAUGCUUAGUUCUGUAAUUCUGCAUUUGAUUUGGCAGGAAAGUUGUUUCCACUCAGAUCAUUUUCUACUUCAUCCUUGAGGAUUUUGUAUUCUAUUGGGGACAUAGGGUUCUGCAUACAAAAUGGCUGUACAAGCAUGUGCAUAGUGUCCAUCAUGAGUAAGUGAGAGUUAUAAGUAACUUACUCGGUGCUAAGAGUUUUGAAUGUUGUCAUUUAUGAGUUGAAUCUUUGCAGGUAUGCUACACCAUUUGGACUGACUUCUGAAUAUGCUCACCCCGCCGAGAUAUUAUUCCUUGGCUUUGCCACCAUUAUUGGUCCUGCCAUUACUGGGCCCCACCUAAUUACUCUGUGGUUAUGGAUGGUACUUAGAGUGCUGGAGACUGUCGAGGCACAUUGCGGUUACCAUUUCCCAUGGAGCCUCUCAAACUUUUUACCUUUGUAUGGAGGGUGAGUGUGCUUUUUUCACCACUUGGCCAUUUUAAGCAAUGUGUAUACAAUGUAUUUUUCUCUGUUUGGUCAUUUGUAGCUGAAAAUGUUUCUGCUUUCAUUGUACAGCGCUGAUUUUCACGACUACCAUCACCGUUUGCUUUACACCAAGUCUGGCAAUUAUUCAUCAACUUUUGUUUACAUGGACAGGUAAAUUUUUAGCAUGUGCUGCUUAGGUAUCUCUGAACUAUUUAGUGAAAAGGAGAUGGAUCAGUUACGAAAGAAUUUCUUUACCUUUUCUUUAACAGCUGAUUGUUCAAUAGUUUAAAUAAGUAUUUUAACAAGGAUAAGUGUUACUAAUCUAACAAGAAACCAAAUUUUGUUCAUUUUAAGAACGUUAUUGUUAUGACUGACGUGCUCUGUUGCGUACUUAUAUUUUGCACUUUCCUAAUAUACCGUCAGGGGUUUGCUUUAAAAAUGUUUUAUAUUACAAGAUGAACUGGCUCUCAACUUCUUUUUCAUUGUUCAUAUUUGUGCGGAUGAUGUUGUUAGCCCAAAGUCUUACCGAACGGUUAAACAUUGAGACCAGUGAUGCUUCCAGACUCUGGCCAUGAAGUAUGACUGGUUUUAACCCAAAUGAUCAGUCAUGUUUUAUAUCACAAAUUAAACCAACAGAUGCCACAAUGCAGCUGAAAGUACGCUAACCAUCUCUUUCUACUAUACUUUUCAGGUUAUUUGGAACUGAUACAGGUUACAGAAAGCUGAAAGCGCUGAAGAAAGCCGGAGUAGAAGAUGACAGCAAGGAAAUGUGAUGUGGGAGCCAGAAUUUUUAUGAACUAACUGGACAUGAGUAAAUCGGUUCUUUGAUUUAUGGGCAGUACUGAAGAUGUUUCUGUGUCUGUCCCCGCCUCAUCCCGUAUUCCACCGCAUUUUUGUGUUUGAUUUCUUUCUGAUUUAGAGCUUAUGUUAGUGUGGAAUCAGUGGAAAUGCUUGAUGGACAUUUGUGCGCUCCUUUUUCUUACAUGAAUGAAGAAGCUGCCCUUCUAUUCUUUCCUCUUCUUUCGGUUCAAUUAGGAGCCUCCAAGAAAUAUGAUUAUUGAAUCAUUCAAUGAUACUCUGGAGUAAUUUUUUUUUGCAACAGACGCAAAUUUUGAUGAAAAGAUUUCCAAUUUCGCGUGUUUAAGAGAACGAGCUAUUGUUUCGCCUAGAAAUUCUACUGUAACAUAAAUACGUAAGAGAUUUAUUAUCAUACAAAGAAUGCACUUAUUUCAGUUUGGAUUCAAUGUGCUCGUCAUCUGGUAAUUUGGAAAACUUUUGUGUAUUAUAUCCUACAGAGCUCCUUAAUACACUUGAAUUCAAUGGUUUGCAUGUACGAAGCUUCACUUUAAAAAUAGGAAUGCCUAUUAUGUUAUUAAGAUAUUUAAAUCAGUCUUCAUGUUUAUAUAAUGGAACUAGAUUGGUUAACCCAAAUGACUAAUAAAGUUAUUGAAGCUAAAAUACUUAUUAGUAGCAACAUUGGUUAUAAAGUAUUUAUACCUAGAAUCGUUCUUUCAACAACAUAACACAAAUGACUUUUUAUUUUUAAAAGACGUCAAUUUUCAAUUAGACCAUGUUAUGUCAUGACAUUAAAUAAAAUUCACAGACAAUAUUUGAAACAAGUUGGAUUAUAUCUUUCCUAACCUAUAUUCACUCUGCAUUAUCAAGAGUUACAAAUAAGGCCACAAAAUAUUACUAGACAAUAAUAAAGAAAUACUAAAUAAAUAUAUGCAUAAUGUUUAAAGAUAUUCUUCAAAAUUUUAUGGCAGGUUGAACUUUAUACAUGCAUUGUUAAAAAUUUCUAUAUAUUUGACAACAAAUUACAUAAUGUUACACAUUUGUUUACUAACAAUAACAUUUAGCACAAUGAACAUAGUUCCAAUCUGCAAUUUGGAUGUCUUUCAAUCUGGCAAAAAAAAAAAAAAAAAAAUUAGAGUUCACGUGGGCAGAAUUUGGAGAUUCAAACAUUUCAACUCGACAAACAGUUCUCUAACUUGCACAUCAUAUUGGUUGAUGCAAUCGUAACCAAAUCAUUCUCUCAUACUAUUUUUAUCUAUUAACUUAAUACCUUUCUUGAUGAGCCAUGCUUUAAAACCCUCACAAUCCAUCCUCAAGUGCUCAGAAUAAUUGCAAUGAAAACAUCUUUUAAAGUGAGGCUUGUUAGGUUUAAGGUCAGAACUAGUGGUGGCAACAUUACCCUUAUUAGGUUUGGUAGAACUGUUUGCAUUCUUCUUGGUUCCAGAAGUUCAACCGGACUUGAAAUUCUUUGUUUUGGCUUCCACUUUUCUGAGUUCUGAAUAUCAGCAACCUUUUUCUUGCCUUUCCCUAUCUAAACGAGAUUCACUCUCACCCCUAUCUGAACGAGAUUCACUCACUUUUUUUACUUCUUCAUCACCUCCUCCUCUUGGCAACAAAUGGAAAUGAGUUCAUUAACACCCCAAGUCUUAUUUUGAGUGUUUUAGCUCACUUGUAACUACUCAUAGCAUUGAGGUUGUUGGCAAGGUUAACCAACUUGAGGAAAUGUAAUCUAACACUUCCAAUGUCAUCAUGCUUGGCAUGGAUGAGUUCUGAUAGGUAGACACCAGUCUCGACGUUAUUUGACCUCUUGCACUUUUCUUCAAUUUUCACCAUAAACUCAUUUGCCAAACCGCAUCUUGGAAUGCCCCCUCUUAUGUGAUCCUCCAUAGCAUUUUGCAUGAUCAAAAGUGACGUUUGAUUUGCUUUAUGCCAUUUGACAAAUUCCUCUCGCUGUUGACUGUUGCUAUCAGUAUUCAGAGCUGAAGGUUGUGGCUGUUUGAAGGUAAUAUGAUACUCCAACAUGCCCAAAUGCAUCCCGAUUUGCUGCUUCCAAGUUUUGAAAUUGUUCUCAUCCAACUUUUCAAUAUUAAUGAGAUUGAGCAGAUGUACAACAUGAUUUGCAAAUCCACAAGUUUGUGAAAAUUAAGAGAAUCAUAGCUACAUUGUCACACUAAAGUUAGGGUGGUGCUAUCUACACACCAAUUUUUACCUCUCACACACCCUUCUCAAUUUCCGGCCGUCGGAUCGAAUGAAUUGAAGAAGAUCAAUAGACAAAAAUUAAACGAGGGUGUGUGAAAGGUAAAAUGAGAUAUGUGAAUAGCACUACUCUAAAGUUAUAUAACCAAUCACACCUUUGAGCAAAUAUAUAUAUGAAUGAAUUACAAGUCUUGCAUAGCCAAGUAUACAACGCAUAAGCAAAAAACAUCUUUAGGCAAUAACUUUUCACAGAAAAGAAAUUUCAUGUCAAUCAUGUCAUUAUACAUUAGUUUAUAAUGAACCCAAUAGACAAAUUUUUUUUUUUUGGAAAUAAAUAUACCUAUUUAUGUAUAUAAAUAAAAAAUCAGUCAUUUAAGCUAUAGGUAAAUAACUCAUUCAUUAGUCGAUUAGACAAAACAAAAUUAGGUUUCCAUUUUUAUUCAUUUCAACAAGCAACCAAUUCAUUAUCUUGUUGACUAGCCAGAACUCAUUGUCCAGUUAUCAAGAUAAUUUUGACUAGACGAAAAGCAAUAAUCACCGAAUAAAUGUAAAAAACAAAACACACAAAAUUAUCGAAAAUAAAUGCAGCAGCAUUUAAACAAUACGAUUCUGAUCUUUAAACAAGUUUAAAGUUUUGAUUGACUGACUCUGACACCACAUAAAGCAUUGCAUGGACACCCUAAGCACUAUCGAAAUUAGUAAAAGCCAUUACCCACGCUAUAUGAAUAUUAGUUCGUCUAUCAUAAGUUAACCCUAAUCAAUAUUAGUUCGUACCUGCAGAAGACUCAUCAAGAAUGAAUUCAAACUUUGUGUUGGAAAAAUAUAAACGAAAGUAUUUUAGAGAUUUGAUUUGAUUUGAUCUAAUUUUCCCUGUCUUGUGUACAAAAAUUUAAUUUACUUAGUUAUUUUGUUUUAUUAUGUGAGUAAUGCCACGUAGAUUAAACUAAAUGAUGUGUCACCAAUAAUAAAUAAGCACGUUAAUAACACUUAAGUAACAAUAUAAUCAUUAAUUUACAUGUCAUUUAGUUUACUUAAUUUAAUUUACACGUUUAAUCUUCCUAACAUCAUCCUUUAUUAUGUAGGUUUCAUUAUUCUCAAGGAGUUAGGUUUACUUUUUCAUUUGGUUUACUUAUUCAAUUUGGUUUGUAUUUUGUACUCUUAUACCUCCUCAGGAAGAAGAAUAAAAUUAAAAUUGUAUUUGAAAAUUGUGACAAUGUAAAAGAAUACUAAAUUUAUUCCUCAACCCUUUAAAAAGAAGUGCGCAUUUGAACAACGUUAACUGAGAAGAACUACCAAAGACAGUGCAUAUAUUGACUAUAACCACCCAACAGUUACACCUAAUAGGUUAUAACCAUCUAUUAACAUAAAAUAAGCUCAAUUAAUUUGUUUUUUAUAAAUUCAAAACUAAUAUCUAUUUAAUUAAUUUUCAACCAUCGGAUCGGAUGAAUUGAAAAAAAUCAAAGAACAAAAAUCAAUAAAAAAUGUUUAAAAAGUUAAAAAAAAAAGUAUGGAUAGCACACCUCACCUCUUUGUUCAAUUACUUACUUACACGUCAAAACACAUAUACAUCAACCAUAAUUUGGUUUCACACGCAUUAAGAGUAAUACGUUGAACGUAACUUCUAGCUUCUGUCGGUUUUAGGAAAACAGACUCCAUUAAAAACGACUACAAACACAAGGCAAGGAAACUUUCCAUUCUGUCGGCUUAUUUUCCUUAAUUUGCCGAACAAACCUCUUUCUUCCCUUUUUUUUUUCUAUAAAAAUGUUCCAAAAAAAAAUAAAAAAGCUAGACUUUAAACUUUCGACUCCAAAAUAAUUAAAUAAAAAAAUAAAGAAAAUGCUCCACGCAACAAGCAGCGCAGACGGUCUACGUGUUGAGUCUCAGGUUCACCACGACGACGGUCACGUUGUCAGUGCUCUGCCUGGCCAAUGCCAACUUCGUCAGCAGCAUCGACGCGUCGGAACAUGCCUUGUCCGACGCCACCGCCGCCUCCGGCCCUGCGCGCUCGGCCGCAGCAGCGGCCCGUUCUCUUCUCAGGCACAUUCUCGCCACCCCGCACGCCGUGUCGUUCGACACCACGUCCCAGAGCCCGUCGCUCGCCAAGAUCAGACACUCGUCCUCCACAGUUCGAUCCGUGAUCGUCACCUCUGGAUCGCAGCUCACGUACGGCUUCAAGUAGUUGUCGCCUGCAAAAGAAACGACAAUUAAUAUACUGUCGUAAGAAGGCCGUCCCAUCAAGGUUUUUGCUUUUUUUACAGUUUUCCGUACCUAGGGCUCUUGACAUUGCCAAAACUCCGAGAACCCGUGGGCCGUCCCAGUAUAUGACCCGCCCACCCGCCUCCUGGAUCCGAUUCAACUCAUCGGGGCGAUCCGGCUGUUACAGUAACAAGAAAAAAAAUAAUUGACGCAGGUCCAUCGAAAUAAAGUGGACUCGCAUGAAUUCCACAGCAACCAAACAGAACAUAAACAAUGCGAUGAAGCCAAUUGUAAUUGACCAAUUGACCUUGUGAUCAACAGAGAGGGGAAGGGCCUUGCCGUCGCGGCAAAGCACAGCUCUCGAGUCGCCGCAAUUGGCCACGACGAUCUUAUCGGGAGAGACGACUGCUACGACGGCGGUGGAUCCGACAGCCUCGGACUCCGGAGUUUGAAGCUCGCAACGGCAAUUGCUCACUCCGACGCCGCCUUCGCGGCUCCACGCCACCACCUCCUUGUCCAUCCGCACGAAGCUCCGCUCCAUCGCCGUCUUCCAUUCCUCCAUGUUCUCCACUUCCUCCUUCACCAGCUCAUGCAUCCGCUCUCUGCAUUUCGUCGCCACCUGUAAAAAUACAAAACGACGAAAUUAUUUUUAAAAAUGCAAUUAAUUCAAAAGUCGUUUCAGGGAAAAAGAGACUCUGGAGUCGUUUUAAGUACGUGGGAGCAACCGUGGCCGUCGUAGACACCGAAAUAAUGCAAUUGAGUGGUGGCGUCUCUGAUGCGCCGGCAAAACGAGGGGUGUACAGACACAGCGUCCUCCAUAUCUCUACGGCGGCCGCAGACGGAGGCCAGUCCGUACUUCGGGAGCUCUCUCAAAGCUUCAGGGACGUUCGAUGACGAGGACGCUCGGAACUUCGUUGACUUCUUUUGACUCGGGGGGAUUUUCUCUUCGUCGGAAGAACCGGAGCACUGCAGGGCGUUUUCCAACUCGCGAGAAGCCGACGACGUCGUACGUGAUGCGGCUUUCUUCCGCUUCUCGGAAUUGUCCGGUGACUCCGGCGCCGGUGGGGCCACUCCGGAGACGAAUUUGCAACGUCGGAUCUCCAUCCUCCUCCGUCUCGCUGCUCGUGAACUCGCCUCGCAGGGAUUUGACGACGCGUCGCUUUCACUCACUACUCCGUACCAGAUCUCCGCCAUUUCAAAAUUGCCAAUUCAUGAAUGCUGGAAAGUCGGAGAAUUUUUUAAUUUUAUUUUUGAAAAAUAUAUUGAGAAAAUGUUGCAAGAGUACGCUCGCGCGCUCAUGAGUGAAGCUUAUAAAGAUAGAAGUUCGGUGGGUUCCCGGGCCCACCCCUAGCUUUUUAGGGUUGAAAUUUUUUGUAUUGUGUCGAAAACAUUAUUUAAUAUAUUAAAUGUUAAUAUUUUUAAUAUUAAAUUAUUUAUAUUAUGACCUUUGUUAUACUAAAUCGUGUUUUUAAUAUCUUACUCGAUUUACGUAGAGACAUGCAACUCUAGCUUCUCUCUUGCCCGAAGUCGUCUGGGGCAGACGGGCAGGGAAAAAUGGUGCGUGAUGUAGUGCUCUUCUUACUGAGGAGUAUUCAAUUGCGAUUUUGAACGGUUUUAAUUAUUUUAAUAAAUUUUAGAGUAUUUAAUUAAGAUUUUAAGUAAUUCUUUGAAAUUUAAGAUGUAUUCAAUUACAAUUUUAAGAUAAUUUAUUAAAAUUUUAAGAAAUCCGUGUGUAUUCAAUUAGAAUUUUAAAGAAGUUCAUAAUAUUAGGGGGUAUUUAAUUAGAAAUUGAUUUUAAAGAAUUUUAGAAAGUUGAAGAAUUAGGGGACUUGAAGAGAUUUCGUAGUGUAUUUUAAGCAUCCACAAAUUUCACCUCUGCCUAUAAGAUUUCUAGAGAAUUGAAUAAAAUUUUUAUAUAGAAUCUCUACAAAUCAAUUAAACUCCAUAAAAAUCUAUAAAUUUAUAAAUCGAUUAAAAUCUUUCAAAUUCUCAAUUGAAUACAUACGUAAAUUUUUGACCGUCGAUCUUGUUAUAUAGGUUUUAUCUUGUCCGUCAAGACCAAACACGUGUACCUAACAAUGCGGGAGGGCGGAGAUACGUGGGCGAAUCAAAAUCCGACAGUCAAGAAGGGAGUGAGCUUGACACGUAUGUGGUCCACUGCGCGGUCCCCCUAGAGUUUUCAAUCCAUUUUCCGUUCGACAUUUCAGUACGUGUAGCCAUGUGUCCUCUUCCAUCACGAAAUAGGGUUUUGUUUGAUUAAAGUUAGUGAUGACGCAUUUUUUAUCCCAAAUAGUGGUUCAUGUUUUUCGUUUUAUAUUUCAAACUCAUCGACAUCUAAUCACUUAGUUUUGCGUCUCUAACAUUCUUAUUAAUUUUAAAAUUUUUAAUUAUGAGUAAUGUUAUUCAUAUCAUAUUUUUAUACCACAUUUCUAUACCAUUUUAGGUAUCAUCUGAUGUAGAAAGUCAUAUUAUUUGAAAAUUUUGCAAAAUCCAAGAAAAUAACGGAGAAAGACUCCUCGUAUACGACACUCAUCAUUUAAUUAACUAAGUUUUCUUAAUUAUUAAUUUAUUAAAUAAUGAACUAAAUUUAAAAAUCGGAUUAAUUCAAAUAAUGUGAUUAUUCAUAUCAAAUAUUAUCUACGAAAAUAUGGUACAAAAAUAUGGUAUGAAUAAUAUUACUUUUUAAUUAUUGAUAUUCUUUAAAUUUCAGUUUUAAAAGUAGUUUAGAAUGCAAAAAAUUCCUUAAAAAAAGUGUAAAAGCAAAUAAGAGAGAAAAGGAUCGGCGAUUUCUGGGUCGGGUGCCGGAGCGGUGCGACAGCGGGUUAGAGAGAGAGAGAGAGAGUUGCCGGAGCCGGGCGACGGUGGGGUAGAGAGAGAGAGAGAGAGAGAGAUGCGGGGUGUCAACUGUCAAGGAAGGUGGGUGGGUGGCGCUGGGCAGGGACAGCAGUAGCGCUGCCUCUCCUCUACGUCCAACCUCACCCAACCUGCUGCAGAGUCAUAGCCGGCACCAUCCCCCACCAUAUCCUACGGUCCAUGAUCACGUCGUCUUCUCCCUGUCAUUGUCUUCUUCCCCAACUUUCUUCUCCACGCUUUCCUCAGAGCCGCCAUGGCCAAUGACUAGCCCCCAUCUGUCCUUUAUCCCUGUCAUGGGCCAAUGAUUUUCUCUGCAAAUUUUUUUACAGUAAUCCUAUGCUUACCACAUUAAUAUACCACAUUAGUGUACCAUAUUAUGUGACAUCUAAUAUAGCUGUCCACAUCAUCUAAAUUAAUCAUAAUUUAAUUUAAAUUAAAAACCAUUUAAUAAACCAAUAAUAAAUAAAAAAAUCUGGAAUUAAAUGAUGUUUGUGGCAUACGAGAAGUCUUCUCCUUCCUUCCUUCCUUAAAUGGUUUUUAAUUUAAAUUAAAUUAUGAUUAAUUUAGAUGAUGUGGAUAGCCACAUCAGAUGCCACAUAAUAUGAUAUACUAAUGUGGUAUAUUAAUGUGGUAAGUAUAGCAUUACUGAUUUUUUUAGGAUAAUGUUAAGAGACUAAAUUUAAAGAGAAAGUUUUGAAAACUAAAUAACAUUUAAGAAUAAUUUAUUACUUAAACAUUAUAAACAUGUUUAUUUAUAUUAAUGAUAUAUUAUUUAGUUUAUAAAUUUAGUUUCCAGAUUUAAUUUUCAUUACUCCUUUUUUAUGCUUCUAAACUCAGCGUUUAAUAAUGAAUGCAUGUGGUGAUUGUUAUUUGUUUAGCUUAAUGUGGGAGUGGAAUAUACGUGUCAAAUAAUAAGUGAAAAGGGCCAAUAAAGAACGGCAAUACUAGGAUAGUCAAAAUUUUAAAUUAAAAUUUAUAACCAAUUGAUGUUGGUGGUUUUUUUUUCUUCAAAUAAACGAUAUUAUUUAUAUUAAAAAUAAUGAGCUUAAUCUUAUAAGAGGUCAACUAUUGAUGUAGAUUUGGAUGGUUGAAUUAUUAUUUAAGGGAAGCUUUUAAGGGUAGGGAUUUCAUUUUUUUUUAUAAAAAUUGGGAUUAGUUGUGGGAUCUACACCACAUCGAACUUUAACAAUUUGAAUAGUUUAUUUUUCAAGUUGUACUCAUCCUUGCAAAAUAUUAGUCAAAUCAAAAAUAUUUUAAGAUAUCUAAUUGGGUUCAAAUAAAUGAACGAAUACUUUGUUAUAUAAGAAACAAUGAAAUUUGAUCUUGAUAAUUAAAUAGGCAAAUGAUUUUAGAUUGAAUUGAAUUUUUGCAAGGAUGAUCUAUGAAUCGAGACUUACAAAAUAGAUGAUUCAAAUCGUUAAAAUCCGAUGUGGAGGGGACCCCACAAAAAAAAAAUAGGGAUCCCUUUGCAUAAAGGGUUUGAUUACUUAAGUGUUUAAUAUGCUUAGUUUUGUUGAUGAUAUAUCAUUUAAUUUGUAAAUUUGAUUAGUUGUCGCAAUAAUUGAAACAAUAUCAUAAAUAAAAUUAUAAAAUAACAUUUUUAUUUAACAUUUUUUUAGUACAUCAAUAUUUUUACACUAAAAGGAAGAAUAGUUUGACUAAGCCACACAGUGGGCAACCUAAUUUUGGUAUUGAAUUCGUCAUCUAUAAGAUUCAAAUCGAAGACAUCUCAUUUCCAAGUGCGGAAAAAUAUCACCAGACCAUAGUACUGAAUGACUAUUUAACAUAUUAAAUACAGCAAAAAAAAAAAAAUACAAUUAACACAUAAACCACUCGGCAUCCAAUAUCUUUAUUUUCUUGGUUCUUUCUCUCACUCAUCUUUCUCUCUAUCUCGUCCGAUCCUCUCUCUUUUUUCCCUUUUCUUCAAUCAUCUCCGAUCCUCUCUUUUUUUUCCCUUUUCUUCAAUCAUCUCUUACUUUCUUUCCUUCCCUCUCCUCUUUCUCCCUCUCAUGUGAUCUCAUCUUUUUAGAUCUCUUUGUCAGAUUAAAAAUUUUUAAAUCGCAAACCAAUCAAGUUUUUUAGUCUUAAAGAAAAUUAUUUUCAAGAAAUGUUUUGUGAAAUGAUAAAAAUUUUCAAAUAGAAUACUAAACAGACCCUAAAUGUCUCUUUCAAGCUAAAUCUUAACUAAAUCCAACAUUGAAAAAUUCAUUGUAGAAAGAGAAAUGCUAAGACUCUUAAAGUGGGACGGUCUAUAAACUCUCGUCAUCUCAUCGUUUAACGUUAUUUAUUUUGUUUUAAAAUAUGAAGUGAUAGAUAACUGCUAAAAAUUUCACUUUUAAGAGAGUAUUCUUAACAUUUUUGUUUGUACAAAGCUAUUUAUCUCGUAAGAGUUUUUAAUGGUUUGUAAAUUUUGUUAGACCAGUUGUGUACUUAAAUUAACUAUGAAGAGCAUGAGUUUGUUGUAAUAGAAAACAAAAAGAAUUAUAUUAUUGAGUAAUGUUUGUCAUGUUGAAUAUUAGAUUAAUUUUGUGGGAUUCUUGGUACUGUUAUAAAAAUUCCCACUUUGUGCCGCUAAAUCUUGUCUAGACGCUAGAUGAUUAGAUAUUGACCCGGUUAAUCCUUAGGCAUUUAAAAAGUAAGAAUAGUAUUUAGAUCGGCUUAUGCAUCAUCUAGCCCGAUUAGACGCUUAUCUAGCCUGUCUAGACCCAUUUAGGUACCCAUUUAGAUCAUGACUCUCACAUAAACAGAAAAUCAAUGACUUUUAUUUUUCAUUUUAUUUUUUUAAUAAAUUAUAAUAAAUUGGUUGAAUACUUAGAUGAAUACUUAUUAUAUGCUUGUUCCUCAUGUUUUCAAUGUGUUUUAAUACUAUACAUUCUACUGUCAUUUUAUUUUACAAUUUAUGUAUCUGAAUACAAUUAUGUAUUAUUUAAGUAUAAAUAAACACUUAUUUAUACUAUAUGUUCCGCUUAGUCUGCCUAGGUUCUCAUCUAAGCCCUGCCUGACUGUCUAGACGUUAGACCCCAACUCGCCGUUUGACUAGCGCUUAGCAUCUUUUCGAACUUUGUUUGGUAUUCAAUUGCAACAAUGAUAUCUCCUUCUUAAGAGUGUUGGAGAAAGGGAAUUUAUUUACAAAUCAGUUAAUAAAUAUGUUGUUUUCGUUGAACAACAAAUUUUUAUCUCACUAAAUGGAGUCAGCUAUGUGAAUCUGUAACACACUUAAUUUUGCAUCAAGUCUUCCGAAGUAUGUUGCUUUCAUAAAAUGGAAAAAUACAAAAAUUUAAUAAAACAAAUCCAAGCGUUUUUUCAGAAGAACAAGGAGGAAAUUUCAUUAAAACAGAGGUCAAAAUAGGAUGAAUUUGGAUGAGCACCACAAUUCCAAAUGCUGGAGUUUCAUGCCAAAUACAGAAUAAACAACAAAGAUAAAACAAAGGCAUAAACAGUAAAGAAAAAUCAAUACUAACCUCUGCGCCGGAAGAAAUGGACAUCUCAAGCUCGUAAUACUAGUGUCGGAUCUAGAACACAUGAGUUUGCAAAUCGCCUUAAAUUCGAGACAAACAGAACGACACCAAGAGGAAGGGCAUACCAGCCAGCUUAGAACAAUUUAGGGUGAGACAGCCCCUAUUAAAAAAAGUUAAAAGGAAGACAAAACUCUACAAACGAAUGGGGGAGAGCAAAAACGAUGUUGAGUAAACUCCUUAUUUCCUUAAAGCUAAGAAAAGAUAUCGGAGAAAAACCCCCAAGACCGAAGACGAUCGCUCUGAUUUGUUUAAUUGGAUACGGUGUACGAAUGACCUGAUAGAGAACGUAUAUUGUGGGACAAAACAAUAGUCUCUAGCAGUAUUUUGCUAUUGUUACAUAUACGUUAUUAGCAACUUGAGACUUACAACAUGAAUUCGAACCCAAUUGAUAUUUAAUUUAAUAAAAUUUAUCAUUUAAAAAAAAACCUACAGUGUCAUUUAUUAUUAAUUGACAUGUACAUUGACACGCCCCGAUCUGGAAUGUCCAAUAAGAUUCCGAAUCGAGCUGUGUUGGCCGACACCUAGAAGGUGACGAAAUCAUAAAGUGUGAUGAUGUGGAAAAUUGUGAAUAAAUUUAAACCUAAGAGUGCCUAAAUACUAGAGUGCACGAGUGAGCGAGAAUAAACCCUCUUCACACAUGACGUUAGAGCAUAAGCAAGUACAGAAGAGAGAAUUAAGAAUCGUACCCAUGAAAUAAUCUCCAAUAUUAAGAAUCGCUACGAAUCUUUGAUGAUAAGAAAGCUCAGCUAAUAAAACCUGAAGGGUGAAGACAAGACAAGGGUGAGUGGUCCUGUAAGUAAAAUUUUAAUAGAAACUAUAUAAAACAUUAUAACCCCUCUCUACAACACCUGUGUAAUUUCCAAAAGAAAAAAAAAUCAUAAUAUACCACAACACAACAUCUCAUCAAUAAUUUCAAAUAAUCAUGCAAUUAAUAACUCAUACUACUACGCAAGUAAGAGUCACUUAGGGUGACUUGUACGACUUACCCAUAUCUCAUCACAUGUACUAGUUCAUCACAUAUUUCAUCACAUAUGUUAGCUCAUCACAUAUUCAUCACAUAUGCUAGCUCAUAACAUAUUCAUCACAUAUGCUAGCUCGUCACGUAUUCAUUACAUAUGUUAGCUCAUAACAUAUUCAUUACAUAUGCUAGCUCGUCAUGUAUUCAUUACAUAUGCUAGCUCGCCACGUAUUCAUUACAUAUGCUAGCUUGUCAUGUAUUUCAUCACAUAUCUUAUCAAUCGGGGCUAGCAUAUACGUCGGAGUCACCUCUAGUGACCUAUGCGACUGAAAUCAUAGCUCAUCAAUCAUUGCUAGCACAUAAGCCGAAGCCACCUCUAGUGACCUGUACGACUGAAAUCAUAGCUCAUUAAUCAUUGCUAACAAAUAAGCCUGAGUCACCUUUAGUGACCUGUACAACUGAAAUCAUCGCUAGCACAUAAGCCGGAGUCACCUCUAGUGACCUAUACGGCACUACAUCUGCACAUGAGUCGGAACCAUCUGUAGUGGUCUGUACCACAGGCCUGGGUAUGAAUGUAUACGCUCUAGUGCUACAAUCACGUGAAAGCUGUACGAGUGAUCGCGGGUCACCUACGAGUUGGAACCAUCUAUAAUGAUCUUUACGACAGGCCUAUACACCUAACUUGGAUCCAAGGUGAGCAUAUAGUGCGGGAGGUGAACAUCACGUGAAAAGACUGUGCCCUGGCCACGGGUGGGAGCACUAACAUCGGGGUGCAGGUUUAUGAGCUUUAAAUGCAUCUAAUACAACAUGUACGACUCAUAGGCAACCUGUACGACUAUGCCGGAGUUGCCUACUAUUGCAACAUGUACGACAAUGUCAGAGUUGCUUAAAACGUAAAUGUAGUCAUAUCAUACCCCCAUCAAUUCAACUAAUACCGUAUACUUACUUGAACCUACCUAAACUUACCUAAACUUACCUGAACUUACCUGUGUGUCUUGCGUUCACCUUUGCACUUCAGAGCAUUCACAAUAAUUAUGUGCAAGGAAUAUACGUAUGGAUAUGCCAUAAUGAAAUCUAAAAUUAAACAUUUCAUAAUAUUUCCAAUUAUAUAAUACGGUGUACUAACUAUUAAUCACCAAAACAUAAAGUUAAAACGCACAUUUUUCACCAAUAUCCCUCACAUUGCUCAAUUCCUAAAACAAGGCUAUUGUCUCGAUUAUUUAAUUUCAUUUCUUAUAUGGCUGCAUCUAACGUCUCGUUAGACUGCCUAUGUACCCUAAACAGGAAUCAAGCCAUUCGUAGUUCACGAUAGUAUUUCAAAGCAUUUACAGUAAUUAUAAGCAAUAAUCAAUUUAUAAACAUUUAUUGAAUUGUCAAUCAUAUAUAUGUAUAUAUAUAUAACACACGAUAGAAUGGAAAAACCCACUCACCUGAGGUCCGCGCUACGAUUUUCUAGCACGCAGAUCGAGACAUCACAAACCAUCGUCGCCUAUGACCAAUUAUCAAAUUAUAUCUCAGAAUUCGUACCGAUAAAAUAUACAAUUCACAUAAAACGCAUCUCUACACAAUUCAAUUCGGAAGAUCUGCAUCACAGAUUUCCGAUCCGUUGCUUCCAGAAAUCCACAUUAUACUUCUAAAAUAACUUCCUAAGGUUUCAUUAUGAUCCAACGGUCAGAUCUCCGCCAAUUGCCAUAAUCAAGUAGUAGUCAACAUUUUAUUUUAUGAACUUACAAAUCCAAUUCGGGAAGAUCCGUACGUCGGAUUCCCGAUCUGUAAAUUCUUGUGGUUCUGAAAUAUUAUGUACUAUAACAUAUUAAAGUUUAGUGACAAUCCAACGGUCGGAUCGUCAAUUCAUAUAGUGACCUAUUAACAUAACGUAGAAAAUUUAGAUUCCAACAGUCAACCUAUGUCAUACAACUACCAAAUUGAACUCAAGGCAUCUAAUUAGCCUAAGAAUAACAUCGACAACACCCUGACCACGCGCCGCCGCACCAGCCGUCGCGGGGGGUGGUCAGCCACCCCGGCUUGCCGGAAAAUUCAACUAUUUCUAAAAAUUCUCAAAAAUUACAGAAAUGAAGAUCUCAAAGAGUAGAGCAAAUACCUGCGGCCAAGGUCAAUUUGGCUGGGAAAAGCUCCAAUUUUGCUCAAACCCGUCGAAACCCUAGAAUUAUGUAUGAUUCGAUUCGACCCCCAAACUUAUUCCGACGCCUCCACCAAUGCUUGGGCUUUGUUUAUGGGUUCUAGGGAAGUGUUUUGGUGGUAGUGAUCGAGGGUAAGUGUUUCAGAAAUGAGUGGAUUCUCGACGAAGGGUCAUCGGACCUGUGGGUGGUUCUUCGUGAAACAUGUGAUGAAACUUCAUCGAUUAAGGCUAUAAUUGGAUGCUGGGACACUAUGGUGAUGUUCAGGGGUGAUGAGAGGUUGGAGGAAGCCGAAAUUUGGAUGGAAAACCGUCGGAAAACACCUAGGGAAACCGGGUCACCGCACGGGUCAAGUGAAAACCCGGCCCGUUCCUCUCAUUUUCCUCCUCCCUCCUUUCUCUCCUUCCCCCUUCUCUGGUUGGUCAGCUCCUCCUCUCUUCCUCUUCUUCCUGAUUGGGUAGUAGCCCUUCUCUCUUUCUUUUUCUUUUUCCGUCCCCCUUCCUCUUCUUCCACUUUAAAAUAAUCUAUUAAUAAAUAAUAUCAACAUUAUAAAAUAUAUAAAAAUAUAAUUAGUGACUGAAACAAAACUACUUCUCGAGUUUACAGUUUCGUAACGUAGAGUACUUCAGGAAAACGCUAAAGGAUUAAUUCAUAGACCUCACUAUACGCUGAUCAAUGAAAGUCAAUACCCCCGCCUCUACGGGCAUUUUCAUAAAAUCACGCUUUUUAAAUUAAUAGAAAUAUAAAAUUUAGGACGGGUUGUCACAUACAUACUAAUAAAUUUAAUUUUUAUUAAUUUUAUAAUUAUAUACUUAACAUGUGUCAAUUAAUAAUAAAAAACUUACAAAAAUUCAGAAUAUUUAAACGCUAUUAUCAACACCUUUGCGAGUGAAUGAAAACUGUUAUAUACACCACGUGUAUAUUUAUUAUUGAUAUAUCCUAAGUUGAAAAGCUAUAUUAUGUAAAAGCACUUGUAAUCCUUUAAGAGCUCUCAAUAUUGGAAUAUGAUUCUUUCGGCUUCAAAUUUUCUAAUUUUUUUUAUUUGAAAGGUUAUGAUUAAACCAUGAGCGAGGGAAGAAAAAGAAAAUGACAAACUAGGGGACCGGGGGGAAGGAGACUCCGAGUAGAGAAUCAUACUCUCUUAGUAUCAAAUAAGAGCAAUGUUAGGGAAAUUAAAUUAUAACUAGAGUAAAUUUUAUAAACUAAAUAACAAAAAAAUUAAUUAAAUUAUUACUUAAUUAUUGAUUAAGUACUCAUUUUUUUUAAUAAUACAUUAUUUAGUUUGUAAAUUUUACCUACCAAUUUAAUAUCUUAGUAUUACCCUUUAACGUUAGAGUAAUGUUAUUCAUAUCAUGUUUUUAUACCACAUUUCUAUACCACCUUAGGUGUAAUCUGAUGUGGACAGCCACAUCAUUUGAAAAAUUUGCAAAACCCAAGGAAAGAAAGGAGAAAGACUCCUCGUAUACCACACUCAUCAUUUAAUUAACUAGUUUUUCUUAAUUAUUAGUUUAUUAAAUAAUGAACUAAAUUUAAAAAUCUGAUUAAUUCAAAUGAUGUAGAUGUCCACAUCAAAUGUUACCUAAGGUGAUAUGAAAAUGUGGUACAAAAACAUGAUGUGAAUAACAUUAUUCUUACCAUGUUUUUGUACCACAUUUUCAUACCAUCUUAGGCAGCAUUUGAUGCGGACAACCACAUCAUUUGAAUUAAUCAGAUUUUUAAAUUUAGUUCAUUAAUUAAUAAACUAAUAAUUUAGAAAAACUAGUUAAUUAAAUGAUGAUUGUGGUAUACGAGGAGUCUUUUUCCUUCAUUUUCUUAGGUUUUGCAAAUUUUUCAAAUGAUAUUGUUGUCCACAUCAGAUACCAUCUAAAGUAGUAUAAAAAUAUAAUAUAAAAAUAUAGUAUGAAUAACAUUAUUCUUAUUAUUAACGUUAUCACCAAACGUGAUUUGUUUAACACAUGGUGAAGCACCGUAGGACGACGUGGAGAAGGACAUGAGCUUGUUACAAAUCCUCAAGUUAAUCUCCACGUAUAAAACCUCGCUGUCAACCAGUUGUACUUAAAUAUGCCACGUGAUAAAGAUGCCAAACUCAACGUACUAACCCUAGUUAGAGGUGGUUUGGGAGUUAGAUGCUUAAAAAAAAAAAACCCAUGAAAAAAAAUGUGAGGAUUUUAGGUGUUUGGUAAACUAAAAAAAAAGGCUUAUUUUGGAAGCUGUUGUGAGAAUAAGCUGAAAUCAAAGAAAAAGCUGAAGCGCAGUUUUGGAAAACUGGUUUUUUUUCAAAGCACACAGAGCUACAAUGCUCCUUCAAUGAAAAAACUCACUAUCAGACUGCUUUUUUUUUUCAAAAGCACUUUUACAAAAAAGUUUACCAAACACUCUGCUGAUUUUUUUCACAGCCGCUUAUUCUCAUAGCACAACUGCUUAUUCUCAUAACCACUUUUUUGCAAAACAUAGUAAUACUAAACCAGCCCUUAAUCGGAUGGUUUCCUUCACGCAAAGGAAACGGCCCGGUCCGAUCCUAUCCGGUCUGGUUAUCUCAGAACCCUUCUCCGACAUUGAAAUCAUUAAACCUAAUAAAGCAAAACCUACUCGGAGGGUUCUUUCCUUUUUGCUACGUAGGGGGUUUGGACGGAGGACACGUGGAAAGAGAGUCUAAAUGGGGGCUUCAUGCAUGCCAUGGUUUCAGUACGUUGCUGCUAUGUUCGGACACGUAUGUCGGUGAUGGUGAAGGAGUUUCGCAAGGGUUUUUGGGUUACGUGGUAGGUGGAAGACAAGUCACACGCGGAGGGUUCUGGGGAGCCGUAGUUUUAAGGGCUCGGGUUGCGUAACAUUUGGCGCUGUCUAUGUCAUGCGCGCAGAGAGUGAAAGAGAGGAGAGCAAGCUUUAGAUGCAUAUCUAUUUCUGUUUCUGCAGAGGAACUAGAGUGCCGACACAUUUGCAACUCUUCCUCUUCUCUUAUAAGCAGGGGAUCUUAAAUUUGAAUCUCGUUGAUGAAAAAUUUGAUAUCAAAUUAGACUAUUCAUUGUGUAUCUUAGCAUAACUCCUCAUUCCCUUAGUCUAAAAAUAUCGAUUUACUAAAAAAAAAAAAAAACCUCUAUUUGGCAUAGCCCAAUACAGAAUCAGAUCCUCUCUGGAUCUUCCCCUUCAAAACCCAGGGAUCAAGUGAUCCGAGCUUUUGAAAUUUGAUCUGACGGCUAAAAUUAUUAUAACUUUUAAAAGUUUUUACUAACUUCUUUGUUUUUUAGCUAUUGAAUCAAAUUUCAAAAACCUAGAUUACCUUCAUCCCUGGACUUUGGAGGGGAAAAUCCGAAGGAUCUGUUUCCGCCCAAUACGAGUGACUAAUCAGAAAUAUAAAUUUGUCUGCAUCUAUAUUUUUUUUUCUUUUGACAAACAAUAUGACACUGAGGAGGUAGAAGAGUGAACUAAAUCUUACAAUAGGCUAACAAUAAUAUCGUUCAAUCCAAUAAAUUAAAGGGAAUUUUAAUGAAAAGGGCUUGGACUAAGUUUAUUUUAACAAAAAACCAUGCUAUAAACUUUAUUUAAUAAAAAAGAAUUAAAUUUUAAUAAAAAGGACAAAAAAACUUAAUUUUUAACGAAAAUGACACAAUUUAAAAAAAAAACAAAAAACUUGACGCGCGCGCAGUACAUGUACACUGUUUAUGAAACUGAACACUGUUUAUAAAACUGAACACUAUUUAUGAAACUGAACGGUACUAUACUUUAUUGGUUCAAUUUCCUAAAUAAGGUCUAGUUUUUUGUAUACUUUUAUAAAAUGAUGUCUAGUUCUUGAUCAUUUUGCAUAAAUAAUGCCUAGUUAUUAGGUAUAGUUUCAUAAAUAAUGUAUAGUAAUUGAUACAAUUUCAUUAAUAGUGUCUCUUUCUUGGUCCAGUUUCAUAAAUAGUGUCUAGUUAUUGGUCAACUUUCAUAAAUAAUGCCUAUUUCUUGGUCAUAGUUCAUAAAUAUUGUCUAGUUCUUACUCCAGUUUCAUAAAUAGUGUAUAGUCCAGUGUUCAAACUAUGCUUAAUUCUUGUUUUCGUUUCAUAAAUAGUGUCUACUUAUUGAUCUAGUUUCAUAAAUGAUGUCUACUUAGUGGUCUAAUUUCAUUAAUAGUGUCUACUUAUUGGUGAAGUUUUAUAAAUAGUGUUUAAUUCUUGAUUCAGUUUCAUAAGGUUUGAAACUUAGACCUUUAUUGGUCAAGUUUUAUAAAUAGUGUUUAAUUCUCAGUAAUUAUAUUUAAAAAGCUGUUUUCAAUUACCAAAUUAAAAUUUCCUCACUUUUUUCAUAUACUUACAAUAAUAAAUGUAGCUUUCCAUCUAAUUUCUUGAGCUUAGGUGUCAUAUUCGAGAAAUUUUUCCUUGUACCCAUAACACAAAUGAUAUACCAUAUGUUAUUAUAUAAGUGUGGUGGAAAAUUUUAUUUUUUAUGUUAUUAAUUUUUUAACACAAGAUUUUCAUAACUUGUAUGGAGUGUACCAUCCCGUGUUAUGGGCACAUUGAAAAGUUUCUCAUCAUCAUGAUUACUAUUAGAAAACAACACCACAAAAAUAAAACAUGAGAAUGUAAUUCAAUUCGAAGUUUUUUUUUAAUUCUAUACCAAAAAAAAAACUAUUAAUGUAGCUGAAUAAUGGGACAAAAGGUAGGAGAAAAAAAAUGGAUUGGGGGGGUGGUUGGGGGGGGGGGUACGCGCCCAACGCUAGUGGGUUUGUUAUGUUUUUUUUUUUUUUUGGUCUUUUGUCCUUAUUAUUAAAAUAAAGUUAGUUGGUGGUUUUUGAUUAAAAUGUAAAGAUUUGAAGCAAUUUUCAUUAGUUUUCCUUAAAUUAAAUUUAAAUAAUUUCACUUACAAGUAAAAAAGAAUACCAUUAGAUUGUAGUACUAAGUAAAAAUCUGCAUCUAAAAUUUUAAUAUUUAAUAAAGAGCAAUGUUGGACUAAAUUUGUAAACUAAAUAAGGUGUUGUCAAUAAAAAAUAAGCACAUUAAGCAAUAAUUUAAUGCACAAGUUAAGCCAACAACCCAUUUUGGAGUUAGGGACGGAUUCACCUUAUGGCAAUGUGGGUUAGCUGCCCCUCUCAAUCUCAUAAAUUCUACAUGGAAAGUGCCUCCCUUGAAAACAUGAGAUGUCCUUGAAAGCUGUCAUCUAAUUGCUCGACGAAUUGUCUCUCCAGACAGUUGAUUGGAUAACUGCUAGCCUUAUGCCUUUGUAUGAUGGCUAUGGACAUAUGAUAGGCUCCCUCAUCAUAGGUUAGCAUAUGUUGGCAUGUUCGUUCAAACGUAGUUUAGUCGACAUGCUUCUUCAAAAACUGUAAAUCUCUGUCCACAGGCAUGUAAUAUAACUUGGCAAAUAACUUUAAGCCUCCAAAACUCAAUAAAAUGCCAAGCAUGCAUUGCCGUCCAAUAAUUUGGCAUUGAAUAUUUUUAGCACUAAAAAUUCAAGUUUUUCAUAGCUUUGGCGGAACGACCACUUUAGUUUUUUAUUUUUGGAAUUUUAAGAGUUGUUCUAUGUUUAUCUCUGCUUCAAUUUUGAUAAAAUAUUACAUGCCAAAGACAAAAAAUCUCAAUAAAAAAUAGUUACAAGCUUAUGUAGAGAGUCAAUUUAUAUUUUUGUAUAAAAUCAUAGGAAAACUAAUUAAAAUGGUUUGAAAACUUUGAGUAUUAAUGAUAAAGACAAAAUAAAGGGUAAAGUGAAUAGUAGAAUGUUUGACUUUUUUGUGUAAAAAUGUGGUUUUUCGUUAAAGUGAAUAGUACAGUGGGCUUUUCGUUAAAACUCCCUAAAAUCAUUGACUAUACAGGUGCAGACAUGCCGCAUUUUAUUAAUUUACUAACAUUCAUGCACAUGCUUACGUUUGUGCAAAAAACAUUUUUUGAAUCACGGCGUACUAAGCAUUAUUACACAUUUUUUGAAUCACAUUAUUACUAGCCACUGUUCUAAAAAUCAUUGCCUAGCGCUAGGCGGCUAGUCAUCACCCCGAUGCUUAGGCGUUCGAAAAUUAAGAAAGGACACCUAGACCUGCUAAGACGCUCGCCUAGACCGCCUAGCCGGCCUAGGUUGCAUUUUGUUUUUUUAAUAAAUUGUAAGAGACUUGUUGAAUACUUAAAUGAACACAUAUUAUCUGCUUGUUCUCCAUAUUUUCAUUAUGUUCCAAUACUUCAUAAUAUAUAUGUUAUUUUAUUUUAUAGUUUAUGAUGAAAUUAUACAUAUUUUAAGUAUAAACAAACACUUAUUUACACGAAAUAUAAUAGAUUUACUUAAAUCCGUCUAGUCCGGCUAGACACCCGCCUAGACUCGGCCGCCUAGGCUCUAGGCCCCAACCCAUCGCCCAACUAGCGCCUAGCAUUUUUUAGAGCUUUGUUACUAGCCAAUUGUGGGGCUAAACCCAACCCCUCUCCCUUAGUGUAGAUAAUAUUGUUUGUUAAAAAAAAAACUCAUUUGACAACUAAUUGAAUACAUUAUUAUGCUCGUGCAAAAUAUAUUUUUUAAUCGGCACUAUGCCUCUUAAGAUGUUUUGAACGUGUUUAAAAAUAGAGAAAAUAAAAUUUAAUAAACAAAUGAUUGAAUCACAUUAUUGUUAGCCCAUUGUGAGGUACUAAUUAUUAAAAAAAAUUAAAAAAACUGCACCAAAAAAUUAAUUAUAAAAACAGUGUUUAUAUGCCGAAAAUACCUUUGCGUUAUUUGAUGCAUUAUUUUGACUUGUUUUUUGGACAUUUUUGUUUUGGGGCAUUUUUGUCCCAUUAUUUUUGGUGAAGCCCAUGACCCCAAAUGGGGCUGUUGGCUUUAUAUAGUAGUAUAGAUUAUUUGUUUCUUGAGUUUAUAUAGGACGGCAACAAGUAAUACUUAGGCAUAUAGUGUUAGGCGGUCAAUAAUACAUAGCAAAAAUGAUUAUAGCGGAUAUAAGAAUAAUUCGUUAGAUGUGUAAGCACACAAAAAAGACAGUAUUAAGAAUGAGGAUAUCCGAAGCCAAAUAGGAGUGACUGCAAUUGAAGAGAAUUAAGAUGAGAGAAAAUUGGUUAAAAUGGUUUGAAAAUGUGAGCUGAAGAUCUACAGAUACUCUGUUUAAAUGCAAUUACGAGCUAGAUGCUUAGAGAAAAUGAGUAGAGUAAGACUUAGGAAGAUUUAUAAAGAAACUUUAAGAAAAUACAUGAAGUACCUAGAGCUAAUUGGAAAACUUAGUAUAAAACCAAGCACAAUGACGUUCUAGAAUUCAUACAGUCGACUGCACUUAAUGAAAUAAGAUUUUUUUGUUUGCUAAAUUUCUUUCUUGAGUUUGAUACGAUGCACUACAUAGUUUAUACACAUCAUGACCAAUAGAAUUUAUCAAGACAUUGACCAAAAAAGAUAGUAGAACCGAUUACAACCAAAUGGACUUGUGUUUAUGUUUGAAGCAUGUUACAUGUAAUUAGGUUUUGACACGCCCGGAUCCAAACGUUUGUAGGAUAUCGGGAUGGUCACGUGCUGGCCAACACCCGAAGAUGAUGCAAGUCAUUUAUGAAUGCAAAUGCUAAGAACUUGUGACAACAUGCAAAAAAAAUUUCAUACGAAUACUAAUAUAAUAAAAUAAUAUUCAACUGCCAACAAUGAAUUCACAAUGAUAAUGCAUGGCAUGCUCAGAGCAUAUUCUAAAUCAGAUUACAAGUGGAAUGUGCUAUUACAAUGAAGUCAAGCAGAAGAGAUGGCACAAAGUCACUGGUAUGGGAAUGCCUCAUAAGUCGGAUUGUAGUCCUAUUUCCUAUGUCCUGAAGUGAAGCAAUUGGAAUAGUGUUGAGAUGAACACAUAUCGUUGGAAAAGAACUACUAGAGUACGAUAUGAUGUUUAUGAAUUGCAGCAUGGUAAUGAGUGGUGACAAUUCAAUUCCGCAUGAAGAUAGUGAUGCAAUUUGUUGAUCACCUACACUAAAAUCUUCACCAAUCUUUACUAAAAGACGGCUUAACUUCACACCUACAUGGAACUCUUUCUGGUACGUCUGGUAAACUUGUGGAAUGGUUAUGCUCCUAAGUAUGCUCUGAUACCAAUUGUAAGUUUUAAUAGUAGAAAUGCAUACAUAAAUAGCAUGAUUUAAUGAUUACGUUCUAUGAGAAAUUGAUUAUGAUGCUAUACUAAACUUACAUUGGAAUACCAUAUUUUCUAUCGAAUCCAUGUUCUUUGUAGGAUAUCUAAUGGAUGACGAUAUACUAUUUAGAAGAUGUUUUCACACACUUCUUUAUAUUAUAGAUGAUGAAUGACUUUAUACUAUGAAGAUGCUUUUGAGAUAUAUAUACCUAUGUUUGGAAAGAUUAUUUUCAGUGGUUUUGUGCUUAUCUAGUGGUCACUUAUAUUGACCUUCCGGUUGGUUGUUGUAAGAGCCUGUGGGUGAUUGAUAUUUGUGAAGGAAGUUUCUGAAGGAAGAGUUCUAUGUUCUGCCUUCGGGCGAUUAUGAUACCACUAGUUAGCACACUAUAUACGAUAUAUGAUUUAUGAAAGGUUUUAUGGCAUGCUAGGGUUUUUGGAAAAACCUACUAUAUAUUAUGCUAUUAGUUUUCAUAAAACUCUGGGGGUUAGUAUGUUGAUAACUGUUUCAGUAUUAUAUAUAUAUCAACUUGGUCCACUCAUGUUUGUUUUGCGAUCGAGGUGUACAAUCCCUGCAUCAAGGAAGUUUCACAUCGGCAUUUUCAAGUCCUCUCGGUGUAGGACCCAUUCUUUCCUUCAUUCAAUUUUAUAUUAUUUCUUUUAGUGCUCUAGUUAGUUGUAUGAUCUGAACAUGUCCCCAUUUGUAUAUUAAUUAUAUUUAAGUUUCUUCUAUCUUAUUCAUAUUUUAGUUCUCAUAUUUUCAAUAAAUGGUUUUUGUCAUCCUUGGGUGUCAGCCAGCACGUGACCAUUCUGAUGUCUCACGGAUAUCGGGAUCGGGACGUGUCAGGUUUGGUCAGAACAAAUUUGAAUUGUUUAAAAUAAUGUGAUUUGAAAGAAAACAAAAUUGUGAUACUGCUGCAGUUCCUUCGUGGGCAGGCUAAUAAUGGUCUUUUGGUGUUGUUGAAGUUUGAGUAGUAAAAGUUGGAAGUAGUUAUGCGCGGGGGAUGGUGCGUGUGAUAUGAACCAUUCUUAAUCAAAGGAUUCUACUUUGUUUCUUAGUUUUGUAAGCAAUUUAGCAUCGGUGAGAAAAUUCCGGAAAACUCUCGUACUACCUCCCGCAAGUUCUCUCUUCCCCCUCCUCUCAAAAUCUGCCAUUGUUUCUCCCUUUUCCGGUUAUCUUUGACCUCACGUUUCUAGAUUUAGAGGGAAUUCACUCAUAAUCCACAGGAAAUCUACGCAAGGCCAUUCAAAACCUAAUUGAAUUAUCCGUAGUUCGAGGACUUAUAUUGGUUUUUCUUGUUAUUGCGCGAAUCACUUUUAAAAUAACUUUUAGAUAAUAAAAGUACUUUUAAUAACAUUCCUACAUAAGUAUUUUAAACAAACUCAUUGGGAGUGAUUAUAGAAUGGCUAAUACAUCUUUUAGAUAACUAAAAGCGGUUCUAGUAACAUUCGGCAUACAAACUUAAAAGCUAAUAUAAGUGAAAAUUUUACUUUUAUAGUUAAUUUUUUUGAAGUAUUUCUAAAAGAAGUGCUUCCAAUAAAAGCAAUUAGUCUCAUAAAUUCUACGAAAUCUUCUUAAAUCAUUUUCGCUAAAGUUAGAUUAUCUACAUUCUACCUAUUUAAGCACAAACUUGUUCACAUUCUUGAUCUCUGUAGCUGAUAACUGAUUUUGCCAUGUUUAAUAUUUAAUUACUAAAUGCGACAAAUAUUUUCGGUUUAGACUGCCAUUCAUACUGAUCUUAACCUAGAUUCCUAAAGUCGUACAUGAGUCAAUGAGACAUUUCUAGAACCUCGAUUAAAUUCGUCAUUGACACACUCCGACCCAGAAUGUCCACCUGGAUUCCGAAUCAAGCUGUGUUGGCCAACACCAUAAAGGUGACGAAGCCAUAAAGUGUAGGGCAAUAUGAGUAAAUUUAAACCUAAAAGUGACUAAAUGCAAAUGUGUGCAUGUGAGCGGGAAUAAACUCAUUUCACACGUGAUGUUAGAGCAUAAGUAAAGUACAAUAAAAGUAUAAUGAAAAUUAUACCAUCAAAGGUAAUCUCCUAUACCAACAUUUGUCGAGAACUAAAUGCAAGUGUGCGCAUGUGGGCGGGAAUAAACCCAUUUCACACGUGAUGUCAGAGCAUAAGUAAAGUACAGUAAAAAUAUAAUGAAAAUUAUAUCAUCAAAGGUAAUCCAUUGACACAAAAGCUUUGCCACAAAAACCUGGUGGGGCGAAAAACAAGGAUGAGUGGGCCUAAAAAUAAAGCUUUCUAAAACCUUUUUGAAAACAUAACAACCCCUCACUGUAAACAAGUAUAGUUUCCAAAUAUAACAUACUACAAAUAGUAUGAAAGUUUGGUAUUAGAGCCAGGUUUCGAUCCUGGGACCUGUGGGUUAUGGGCUCACAACGCUUCCGCUGUGCCACUCUUACCUGUAGACACUUUUAGGCUUAAAUUUAUUCAUAUUUUUUCACACCAUUACACUAUAUGGCUUUGUCACAUUUCUGGUGUCGGCCAACUCAUCUCGAUUCAGAGUCUAAAUAAACAUUCCGGAUCGGGGUGUGUCAGUCAUAAACCCUAAACCACAUAUGCACGCUGAUGAGCUAAUGAAAACACUAAUUACAUGAGAUUUCGUCAUGAUUGUCUCGUGUUUCAUGUGCAUCGAGAGCGCAUAUUGUCAAAUAUCUUUAGCUCUACCAAUGACUUUCUAAAUUAUACAAACUCUUCCACUGCGUUCAUAUAUUUUUUGUAAAAUUCAAAUUAGUUUUUUAAUUUAUUUUUAUUUUUUGGAGUAAUGGUCCCUUAAUUAAAAAUCUAUUACCAUUGGUCCCUCAACUUAUCAAAACGUCUAAAUGGUCAUUUUCGUCAACUUCGUCAAAAUGAGUUAUGUUGGAAUGACCAUUGCUACAAUUGGGUUAAAGUUGAGUGACCAAUGCUCCAAUUGGGUUAAAAUUGAGUGACCAAUGCUCCAAUUGGGUUAAAGUUGAUGGACCAUUUCUCCAGUUGGAUUAAAGUUGAGGAACCAUUGAUACAAUUUUUCUUGUUUCAUUUUCCAUAUUUGCCCCUUGAUUUAGCCUCAUGUGCAUGACACGCAACUCAUUUUGACGGAAGUUCUAACGGAGUUGACGAAAAGGAUCAUAGAUGCACGUUUUGAUGAGUUGAGGAACCAAUGGUAAUGAAUUUUAGUUGAUGGACCAUUGCUCCAAUUGAGUUAAAGUUGAGGAACCAUUGUUACAAUUUACUCUUUUUUUCCUUUUUAAAUUCCAAAGUUGAGGAAUCAUUUUUAAAUAAGUCUAUGAAUUCAGGUGCAUUUAUCCAAUAUUUUAAAUGAUUUUAUGAAAUUUCCAAAAUUUGAAAGAAGUUUUCUUUUUGUUUGUUUUGUUUUAACAAAAAAUUUGAAAGAAGUUUUGAAAGUUCAUAGAAAUUCGAGUGUAUUUAAUUAGGAUUUUUAAAAAAAUAUAAAACUUCUUAGAACCAAUAAAAGUUCAGGUGUCUUCAAUCAAAAACUAAUUUUAUAGAAUUUUCAAAUGUAAAAGAUAUUGAAGGAUUUGGAGGGGUUUCAUAGUGUAAUUCGGCAUGUCCCCUUAAGAUUUCAAAGGAAUUCAUUCAUAAUCUACAUAGAAUAUAUGAAGUCCAUUAAAACUCCAUCAAACUCGUAUUUUCAACUCUUUUAAAACCCUUCAAAACUCAAUUGAAUACACCCAUGGAUGGAGGAUUUUUACUAAUUUUGUUUGUUUGUAGUGCUUCUAAAAAAGAACUUCAAGAAAAACGUUUAUAAGCAUAAGUAUUUUCAAACAAGCCCUUUUGCAGUACUUUUAAAAUAACUAAGAGCAAGUCCACUCCUAAGGAUUUUGUGCUAGCACCCAGCGCAUUUAUCCACUCAAGUGAACAGUAAUAGACCAAAGCAUCUCCACCCUUAACAAAAAAUAGCCUAGUCCAUUUUAUUAAAAUAUAAUUAUUUUUUAUUAUAAAAUAAUAAUUUUAUUUUUAAUUUCUGAAUUUAUAAAAAAUAAAAUAAAAUAAAAUAAUAAUAAUAUCUAAAUUUAUUAAAAAAUUUAUGUAUUUUUUAAAAGUGAAAUUCUUAAUUUUUUGGGGGAAAAAACGUGGACCGUUGAUCUGUGAUCGGACGGUCCAUUUUAAAAGUCAAAUUUAAUUUUUUUUUACGGUUGGAAAUCCAAUGGCUAUGAGCAUGCCACGUCGCUGAUGGGCUCCGGAGCACAAGUGGGUUGACAGCCCUCUGCAGCCUUGACGCGCGAUUGUCUUGCACGCGCCAGCCAAAUAGGCCAACUCUUGGAUCUGUCAAAAUUGGGCUGGUCUGUUGCCUGGCAUGGGCUGGAGCAAAUUGACUUAGGGCCAAUUUGUUUUUUGGACUGAGGGCUGGGACAUUUUGUUCCGGAUGGACUUGCUCUAAAAGAACUUAUAGAUAACUAAAAGCGCUUCUAAUAACUUUUGACGUAAAAAAUAAAAGUUCUUUUAGGUGAACUGAUUCUAAUAUCAGAGCUUUCAAUAAAACCACUGAUGACCCGAGGUGGUUUUUAGAGAAACAUGUCCAAAUAGUCUCAUAAAUUCUUCGAAAACGUCAUAUAUCAUUUUCAAUAAGGUUAAAUUAGCUUUCAUUAGUCUUUCCCUAGAUAACGCCAAAUUUAACAACAUUCUCGAUCUCCGUCGCUUAUAAUGGAUUGUGCCUUAUUUAAGAUUUAGUUAACUUUCUUCCAGUUUUUUAGAUGCGACAAAUUUUUUUUUUUCUGUUGAAUCGCAUUUUCCUGUUGAUCUCAGCCCAGUUGCCCAAGGUCAUACGUGAGUCUUCGAGAGUGUCCAAGCAUCGAUUAAAGCACAUGUGCACGUUGACGAACUAAAGAUAACACUAAUUACGGAUACAUGAUACUUCAUCGUGAUUGUCUAGUGUUGCAUGUGCGUUAAGAGCGCAUAUUGUUUUAAAUGUCUUUAGCUCAAUCAUUGACCUCCGAAACACCCAUAGAAUUGAUUCAUGUUCUCAAAUUUUGUCGCUUACAUGACGUAGCCCGGAAAAUUUAUGUACUUUAUUUGUCUCAACUUUCCAAAUAUAACAAAUGUUCCUUUUUUAUAUUCUCUUUUCAUUUUUACCUCCAACUAAGCUCUCUUUAUUCACAGGUGACCGAGAGUCUGUCAUAGUCUCAUUGUUGGUACGUACAUAAUGACUAGGGGCUAUUCACAACAUGCUUCUUUAGAAAGCACUUAUGAACAUAAGAGUUUUUAGUAAACAUGCUUUUGUUAGAAGAAAAUCGAUAUUGGUUGGAAAAAUAAGGUCUAACUGCUCUAUUUUAAUAACAUAAAAAAAACAAUAAAUAAUUUAUGCAACCAAAUACCAAAUUUAAUGCAUACUCAUAAUGGAAAACAAUGUCAAAUGCACAUGAAUAUGUUUUUUUUUUUAACAAACAUUAUCAACACUAAGAAGGUGGGGGAGUAGGCUAAGUCUCACAAUGACUUAGCAAUAAUGUGGUUCAAAUUCACCUUAGACAAGAAUUGAACCUAAACCUGAAAUAUUGUCGAGGCAUGUUAGACAUUAUGUCUUUAAGACAAUUUUUACAGCCCACGAUAGUGCUCAUGGUUGAUUAGCACUUGUUUCCCAAGAUACAACGAUCACGUCUUUGUAAUAAUACCACUCCACAUCACAAGGUUCCAUUAAAUUACGAUUGUGUUAAACUCUCUCAGACUCACUUAAUCUCUAAGCAUGAUCUAACUCAUAUGCACUUGUAAUGACUCAGUGUGAUGAGGUCUUUAGAUAAAUGUGGAAGUGACUCUUCAUAAUAGUUAUGUAUUUCCUUGAAGAGUUAAUAAUUGCAUAUCUUUAAUUAAAAGGCAAGGGUUGCACCUACAACCUGUUCGUGAAAUCACAACACAUCAUAUAUAUUUUCCAUUCAAAUAAAACAAUCAAAUUCACUAUGAAUUGAAUUUUCCAACAACCCUUCACAUGAAUGGAAAUGAACUCAACACUAUGCAAAUGACAAUGCAGGCAUUGGAAAUAAUUCAUUAAUGAAAGAUACCGCAUCAGGAUAGGUAGCUUUUGGCCUUGAACCUUUCGUAAUGAGUUACUAUCGAAUUUACUUGGUUAAUUAAUGGACGCGUAUUUGUGUAAACCAAGACAAUGUUAAUCACACAAUAAAUUUCCUAACACCUCGUGGUUGCACUUUUAUGAUGAGUGCUCUAGAGAAUUAAGCCCUUUAGAAAAUUCUCAUAGAAACGGCUCCAUUCCUGACUUAAGAGAGGUGACUUCCCAUUAAGAGUAUUUCCCCACUUGGACCUCUAAGUAUUCCAAGCUAUAGGAAUCACUAAAAGCAUAAAACUUAAUCUAAUCUUGAUGGCAGACAACAUUGUUAUCAUCAAGGGACAUGGGGAUGAGAGUAUACAGAUCUUUGCAGUGUUAUUCCAAGUUGUCAUAAUUCAGUUGUCUCUUUUUUAUCCUAGAUCUUUGAAUCUCCAAUCAACUAGAUUGGGUUUCCACUAUAUAUAUAUGACUACUCUAAUUACGGGUUUUUAACUUAUUUCCCUCGAUGAUCCACUAGGUUGACUAUCUGUAACAUAUGACCAUCACAAACUUCAUAUCCAUGCAUAGAAAUUAAUUUCUUCCAAGAGUAGUUGUUUUCUAAAGUUAAGUCUUCCAAACAUAAUUGGGACUUACUAAGUAAUUUGCUAACACUUGCGAAAUCCCCCACAUUUAAGAUAUUUGUAGGAAAUUCUCUAUUCUUUCAAUACCUUAACAUUACUCAUUCUAUUUUGGCCAAAAAAAUUCUAUGAGAUAAUUAGUGAACUAAUCAACUAUAUUUUUAUUCUCUCUUUCAAAAAGAAAAUUACGUUUUCUGUUCUUCUUAAUUAAGGAUAAAUAAACACUCAAACAUAACUAAGCUACACCCCCACAAUUCCCUCAUAUUGUAACUGCUUUCAAUGCUAUUAACAUAUCAUUCUUCAUACUUAACAAGUAGGUUAACUAUAAAGAUAUUGUUGUUGAGUGUCAUUGUAAUACCUUUUUGUUGAGUGUCAUUGUAAUACCUUUCCCUUGAUUUAAGGGAGUAGACUUGCAUAAGUUAAGUUUAGAUAGGUUGGCAGCUUUAUUCCUUAUUUUUUUAUUUUCUUGUUGGCUACUUGCAGCAGCUUUAUUUUCCUCUUUCUUCCUACUACUUUCUCCCCAUUUUCCUGAUUUCUUGUCGGCUGCAUAUAGCAGCUUUCCCUCCCUCUUCUCAUAUAUAUCCGGUCUCCCUCUUGUACCAAUACACAUGAAAUACAUAUGAAAACUUUAAACCAGAAAUUCUAUAUGGUAUCAGAGCAGGUUUUGUAACCUGUCUCUGGCCAUUCUUCCCGCUGCAUCUUUCUUUCAAUCGUAAGCCAUGGCUGAAGAAGAUUCAAUAAACAUUGAGGGUGACAUCUCGCAUGCCUCUCUUUCAAAUUUCUCAGACGUCGAGGUUAACACCAAUCAACGUUUGUGUUCAGUUCUCUUGAAUGAGUUUAAUUAUCUCCCUUGGUCUCGAGCUGUGUCACUAGCUCUCGGAGGCAAAGGGAAAUUAGGAUUUGUAAAUGGAAGUGUGGAAGCUCCAGACAUCUCCUCCCCUUCAUACGGUGCAUGGCUUUGCAAGGAUCAACUUGUCAUGUCUUUGCUGCUCAACACCAUGGAGAAACAUGUUGCUGAGAUUUUUAGCUACUACAAUUCUUCAUGUGAGCUUUGGAAAGCAUUGCAAGAUAUGUAUGGAAAUCAAAACAACUAUGCACGUGUCUUUCAACUUAAGAAGGACAUAGCCAGUGCCCAACAAGAAGGGAAAGCAUUUGUUCAACAUCUUGGAAGCCUCAAAGCCAUAUGGAAUGAGUUGGAUGUAUACCUUCCACAUACCACAUAUCCUAUCAUUCUCCUUAAACGAGCCGAGGAAGACAAAAUCUACCAACUGUUGGGGAGUUUGAACUCCGAGUACGAGGAUCUAAGGAGUCACAUCUUGAUGAGUCAGGAGCUUCCCACGUUCAACAAUGUCUGUGCAACUAUCCAACGAGAAGAAGCAAGAAAGAAAGUGAUGAAUGCUGAGCAUAACUCGAGAUUGACUGAGACUCGUGCAUAUGCCUCAAACUACAAGACCUCAGAGGCAAAAGUGUACAAGGGUAAAAAUACACACCUGAAAUGCAAAUAUUGCAAUUUCGUUGGUCAUGUGGAAGACAAGUGUUGGGAACUUCAUCCUGAACUCAAGCCUAAGUUCAGCAAAGAUGGAAAAAUGAUACCAAGGUCCUCACAACAAUUUCAACCUCCUACAAGGCUCAACUUGCCAAUGCUCAUCCCUCUACUAUCUCACAAGGAUCCAUGGAGUUCACUACCAACCCAUUGUCACUUAUCAAUGAGUUUGCAGCUUACCUUCAAAGUAAGGAACACGAAGGAGGUUCACAAGCUCGAGGCAAUGAAAAGAGCAGUCAUACAGCCAUGUUGGGAUAGUUUGCCGGCUUUCUUGCUGGAAAUGAGAAAGUCCCAAAGGAUGAAGCACCAGGUAUACUCAAAGCUUUCACUACUGCCCUAUUAACUAGUACUGAAAAUGAUUGUUGGGUAAUUGAUUCAGGAGCCACAGAUCAUAUGACAAACAAAGUCACAAAUUUGAAUCAUUUUAAACGUUUUUUAAGUCCCUCACAUGUGUCUAUUGCAAAUGGAAAAAAUGUCUUAGUUUUGGGAAAAGGAGAAAUAAACUUACUCUCACACAAAACACCUUCCACUGCCUUAUAUGUACCAACCUUUCCUUUCCAACUUCUGUCAAUUGGAAAGAUCACAAACACCCUAAAUUGCCGUGCCAUUUUCUCACCAGAUAAUGUGAUGUUUCAGGAUGUUCUCACCAUGAAGAUGAUUGGUGAAGGGGUCUUUAUAAAUGGACUUUACUACCUGUGCAAGAAUACCUGUUUUACUCAGGCCCUUCAAGCUCAAUCAAAGUCCGUAGAUGAAAACCAACUUUGGCAUAAGAGAUUAGCUCAUCCCUCUGAAGUUAUCUUGUCUAAAUUAUUUCCAAAUUUUUGUAAAAAUCAUGUUACUUGUGAUACUUGUCAACUUUCUAAGUUUACUAGACUACCUUUUGAUAAUUCAAUGUCUAGGACAAGUAAACUCUUUGAAAUGAUGCACACCGAUGUAUGGGGACCAACAACUGAAUCAAUAGAAGGGUUCAAGUACUUUGUUCUAUUUAUCGAUGACUUCUCUCGAAUGAGUUUUGUGUACCUUAUGAAAUCAAAUAGUGAAGUUCAAACUAUUUUCAAAGAUUUUCAUAUGCAUGUUAAGACACAAUUUCAAUCAGACAUUAAGGUGUUAAGAUCUGAUAAUGGCACUGAAUUUCUAUCCAACAACAUGCUUCAAUACAUAAGUUCUCAGGGCAUAAUACAUCAAACCAGCUGUGUAGGGACUCCCCAACAAAAUGGAGUAGCCGAGAGAAAAAAUAGAGAUAUCUUGGAGAAGACUCGUGCCCUCAUGUUUCAUAUGCAUGUUCCAAAGAAAUUUUGGUCAUUUGCUAUCCUCACUGCCACCUACCUCAUCAACCGAUUCCCAAGUCGUGUGUUAGGGUUUAAAUUUUGGUCAUUUGCUAUCCUCACUGCCACCUACCUCAUCAACCGACUCCCAAGUCGUGUGUUAGGGUUUACAUCUCCCUAUGAAGUACUCAAGGGUAGGAAAAUUAAUUUGAUACACCUCAAGGUAUUUGGAUGUGUUUGCUUUGUUUACAUUCAAGCCUUGAACCGUGACAAAUUAGAUGCCAGGGCAACCAAGUGUGUGUUUGUGGGGUAUUCUUCCACCCAAAAGGGAUACAAGUGCUACAAUCCAACCACUAAGAAAUGUGUUGUGUCAAGGGAUGUGAAGUUUGAAGAAGAUUGUCCUUAUUUUACUCACAAGGGAAAUACUGCAAGUCAGGGGGAUGAACUGUUUGAAAUCUUUCCACUUCCUCAGAACAUUAAUAAUCCAGUAUUGGAAGAGAGUUCAGUUACUGUGAUACCAGAUAUUGAAGAAAUACAAACUGACUCAAUCACUGAUAGUAGUAUCCCGGCCAAUGAGAGAGACGAGGAGUCUCAUUCUGAUAAUUCACAAUCUCCUACAGAGCCUCAAGGGCUUAGAAGAAAUCCUCAUCGAACUAGAAAACCUCCAACUAGGCUGCAGGACUAUGUUACUUAUGCCUCACGGUAUCCUAUCAGUGAAAACAUCAGUCUUGGUAAGUUCUCAACAUCUCAUGCUACAUUUCUCUGUGAAAUUGAUAAACACAAUGAACCUAGAAGCUUUCAAGAGGCUUUUCUCCUCCCACAAUGGAAACAAGCCAUGGCAGAUGAGCUUAGUGCUCUAGAAGAAAAUAAAACUUGGAGCUUGGUUCAACUACCACCAGGAAAAAAGGCUGUUGGAAGUCGUUGGAUUUACAAGAUUAAAUUCAAGGCUGAUGGUUCUAUCGAGAGACACAAGGCCAGGCUUGUUGCUCGAGGUUUCACCCAAACCUUUGGGGUAGAUUACAAGGAAACAUUUGCUCAUGUGGCCAAGAUGAAUUCAGUGAGGGUUCUACUCUCAGUUGCAAUCAAUUAUGGGUGGACUCUUUAUCAAAUGGAUGUGAAGAAUGCUUUCCUUCAAUGAGAGUUACAAGAAGAAGUGUAUAUGCAGCCUCCUCCAGGUUUUGAUGGUAUUAAAGGCAACAUGGUUUGUAAGCUACACAAGGCAAUCUAUGGAUUGAAACAAUCCCCAAGAGCUUGGUAUGCCAAGCUCAGUUCAGUUCUAGAGAAGGCUGGAUUCCUACGAAGUAAUACUGAUUCCUCAUUGUUUGUAAGAACUGGCACCAGUGGGAAAUUGGUGGUGCUCAUCUAUGUAGACGAUCUCAUCAUCACAGGAGAUAGUGUUGCUGAAAUUGAGGCACUAAAAGUCUCGAUAUGCCAAACAUUUGCUAUCAAAGAUCUGGGGAAACUAAAGUAUUUUUUGGGCAUAGAAAUGGCAACCUCUUCAAAGGGGCUAUUUCUACAUCAACGGAAAUAUGUAUUGGAUCUUCUUCAGGAAGCAAAAAUGCUUGAUUGCAAACCUGCCAUCACUCCCGUGGAUUCUAAACUAAGGCUCAACACAGAUGGAGAAGCCAUGCAUAAUGUGAGUUACUAUCAACGAUUGGUGGGCAAACUUAUAUAUCUCACCAUCACACGUCUGGAUAUCACAUAUGCAGUGAGCCUGGUAAGCCAAUUUAUGCAUUCUCCUACAGUUGAUCAUCUUAACAUGGUUAAGAGAGUUCUGCGUUAUCUCAAGGGUUCGAUAGGGCAGGGAAUCAUCAUGCGUAACAACAACUCCACUGCCAUCAGUGGCUACACUGAUGUAGAUUGGGCAGGGAAUUCUCUUGAUAGGAAAUCUACCACGGGUUAUUGCACGUUUGUUGGUGGAAAUCUUGUCACUUGGAAGAGCAAGAAACAACAUGUGAACUUAUAUGGCUUAAAGGGCUUCUUUCAGACUUAGGGUUUACUAGCACUACUCUUAUGUCUCUUAUGUGCGAUAAUCAAGCAGCCAUGCACAUCGCUGCUAACCCUGUGUUCCAUGAAAGAACGAAACACAUUGAAGUGGACUGUCAUUUUGUUAGAUCUCAAGUGCAAACUCAAGUCAUUCAGACCAUCUUCACGCGAAGCAAUGAUCAACUGGCAGAUCUCUUUACCAAGGCUCUGACAUCUACUCCAUUUCAUCGUUUUUUGGGCAAGCUUGGCUCGAUUAAUCUACUCGAUCCAGCUUGAGGGGGAGUGUUGUUGAGUGUCAUUGUAAUACCUUUUUGUUGAGUGUCAUUGUAAUACCUUUCCCUUGAUUUAAGGGAGUAGACUUGCAUAAGUUAAGUUUAGAUAGGUUGGCAAAUAGGUUGGCAGCUUUAUUCCUUAUUUUUUUAUUUUCUUGUUGGCUGCUUGCAGCAGCUUUAUUUUCCUCUUUCUUCCUACUACUUUCUCCCCAUUUUCCUGAUUUCUUGUCGGCUGCAUAUAGCAGCUUUCCCUCCCUCUUCUCAUAUAUAUCCGGUCUCCCUCUUGUACCAAUACACAUGAAAUACAUAUGAAAACUUUAAACCAGAAAUUCUACAGAUAUGUUCCAUUUAUCUUCACUUGUUAGGGAUUUUUCCUUGGGACUUAUCUAGUUCCCAUGAUUACCUCACUCUAGAGUACUUAAUCCAUUCAAGAAGACAUCUGCCCUCAUAAUGCAAUGGUCAUCUUUCCAAGAUAAUGCUAACUCAUACAAAUGAGUUCGAACUCCUAUAUAUGGUCGUUACCAUAUCAAAAGCCUCAUUUUUAUCAAAGGUAUAAGUGCUUUAUUAAAAAUACUUGAACUACUUUUUGAAGAAAAAAAAAACAUAUAUAGAACUUCAAAUUCUUUUUGUAACAUAUAAGCAUAUUGUUAAAGCUGCAUUUAGUAAUUUUAAAACCACUUAGAGACAAAUUCUAACUAGAGUGUACACUGCAUCUUUCAAAUAUUACAUGUUAUAUAUGAAUCUACAUGCACCAAAUAUGUCGAAUGAACAAAAACAAUGACCAAAGUAAGUUAAGAAACAAGCAAGCAUAAAGGACACACGAUAUGAUGUGGCUCACUCCCAAUAUUGGACUAUGUCCUCAGGGCGUUGUGAUGAUUCUACUAAGCUAGAGAUUUUUCAAUGUGACCGGAACGCAAGGUGGUACACCACAUGUCACUAUACAAAUAGUGGGAUAUGUGUGUUAAAGUUAAUAAAUUAAAAAAAUACAAUUUUCCUCCACUUAUAUAAAAACAAGUAGUGUACCAUCCGUGUUCCGAUCAUAAUGAAUUUUUUUUCCUACUAAGCAGACAUGAAAGGCGAUUACACUUACAAAGAUGAAAUAGCAUCUUCGAACCUUCUCAGCAAUCAUUCUAUUACGUACAUAGAUUGUCAACUGUAGAACGAAAUGCUCGCACCUUCAAUAGAACCAUCGCCAAACCUACAAGACAGAAGAAAAACCCCUUGACUUUCAAGACUCGGUAUUUCUUCCCCCUCCUAACGAGUGCAGUUACUAACUUAAUUGCAAUGGAGUCUUUGUAAAAGGAUGAUAAUACCCAAGGUCUUAAAUGCCGAUAAUAUCGGCGAUAUUUCACCGAUAUUAUCGGUUUUUCGCGUUACCGAUAUUUUAAUGGUUAUCCAAUUAGUUUUCGUCAUAAUAUUACGAUAUUAUCGAUAAUAUCAAUAAUAUCACGAUAAUAUCGAUAAUAUCACGAUAUUACCGAUAAUAUUGCGAAAUUUUGGAUAUGUGCAAAUCAGAUAAGAACGCCGGAGCUUCUACCGAUAAUAUUGCGAAAUUUUGGAUCUGUGCAAAUCGAAUAAGAACGCCGGAGCUUCUACAGCUUCGGCCGACUGUAAAAGAGCACCCUAGACUCCGAUCUAGGUAUCAAAAUGAAAUAGAAGAUGAGAGGAAUGCUUUUAUAACUUCCGUUUGCCGUGAAACGGUCAAAAGUGUUCGGAAAGUUCGUCGACACCCACGACCUCGCCGGAGAUGGGUGUGCCUAUUCCCGAGCCGAUUUCAUCCCAAAAACCUUGCAAAAACACAAGAUAGAACUUCAAUUUCACAUCUAAGCUUUGAUCUAGAACAGAAAGAGGUAAACCCGAAGCUUACCUAACCGAAGAAAUUCAAGAAACUUGCCGGAGGGUUCCUGCGUUCGCCGAGUUGCAGAGACGAGAAGGAGAGGGAGAAAGACGAGGUGGGUGUCUUCCUGAAGCAGGUGCGAUGGUGUGCGUGUGUAUAUGUGGGUCUCGGGGCAGAGAGAAAGGAGAGAGAUGAGAGUUUUGAGAGAGAGAGACGGCGCCGACGAGGCGAAAGACGCAGACGAGGAGAAAGACGAGGGAGGAGCAAAAGGCCAUGUGGGAGAAAGAUCGAGAGACUGAGGUCUCUGUGCGUGUGUGUGGGAGAAAGGAGAAGAGAGAUCGAGAGAUCUCUGUGUGUGUAUGUGUGGGAGAAUGGAGAAGGGAGAGAAGAGAAAAGGAUCGAGAGAGAAAGACUGAGGUCUCUGUAUGUCUGUGUGUGUGAUGUUUGUGUGCGUGUGUGGUGGCGUGCCUGUGUGUGUGUGUGUGUGUGUGUGUGUGUGGUUCCUGUCAGGACUCACUCAGGAAGUUGCUGACAACUUUUACAAUUACUUUUGACAAUUUCAGACCAUGGACAAAAUAAUGGCGAUUUCAUUGAAAAGAAUCUAAAUAAUUCAAAACCCAGACAACUUUUACAAUUAUAACUUGUACAAUUUCAGACCAUGGAUGGUGGUUUCAUUCAAAACCGUAUGCCACUGUGAUAUUCUUUCACAUUCUCAGAGGUGGAGUAUCAGAUCAUCACACAUUUUUUGACCUUUCGAAAAUUAAAACCUCUAUUACACAUUUUCGUUUCUUCUUCUUCCCUUACCCCUUUCAGAGCAAUUCCAGAUUCAUUCUAGAGCUUCAACACAAAAGGUUCCAUAUUUAAGGUAAGUUUACAAACUUAUAUUUAUAUUAUUGUAAUUUAUACAACAACAAAAAAAUUUGUGUUGACUUGUAUGUUAAUUUUUUUAAGUAAUUAAGUAAUGUUAUAUAAUUAUUCCCUAGGAUAAUUUUAAUACGUUUAAUGUUAUUUAUUAUUUUAUUAAUAUUAGGUUUUAUUAUCAAAUUGGAUUAUUAUUCAUUAAUAUUAGGUUUUUUUAUUAUCAAAUUGGAUUAUUAUCAAAUUGGAUUAUUCAUUAAAUUGUAUUAUUAUUAAAUUGGAUUAUUAUCAAAUUGGAUUAUUAUUCAUUAAUAUUAGGUUUUAUUAUUCCAUAUUAUUUUUAUAAUUACUUAAAUUUUUACAAUCAUUUUCUUUACUUCGUAUUUAAUUAUUUUGUAUAAUAACUUUAUUUAGGUUCUCUUAUAUAACCAUCAUCACUACUAUAUUUUUUGGCCAAAAAAAAUUUGUCUAAUUUUCAUGAAAAAUAAAUAUAGGUAUGUUUAACAUGUCUAGUGGAGUUACUAAACGUGAUCCAACUUGGGAACAUGGAGACCCAAUAGACGGAAACAAACAUGACACAAUUUGCAAAUAUUGUGGUCGGGUAAUGAAGAGUGGCGGAGUGACACGACUUAAAUACCAUCUUAGUGGAUUAGAUCCAGCAAAAAAUGUCCAACGAUGUGAUAAUGUCCCCCCAGAAGUGAAGGCAUUCAUCACCACAUUAUUAAAAAAUAAAAAACAGCAGAAGGAAAAGAUAACACAUGGAAUGGAAAAUAUUCGAGCUGGGCUACGAGGAGAAGUCAUUGGCCAAGCAGUUGACAGUGAUGAUGAUGACGAUGAGGACGAAUGUGAUGAUGACAUGGGACCUGAAGAAUGACGCAGUUUGAAACAAGCAUUACGUGCCUCCAAACAGUCAACAUGGGAAAGAGAACACCUUCAUAAAAUUCCUAAUAGAGCACAAGGUUCCGGGACAAGUGGUGGUGCACAAAUGAGACGGGGAGGCAGUGUUAGAGAAUCACAACCAACACCACCAAUAGCCCCAAGUUUAUAUAAGUCAUCCAAAGCACGUUAAAAGAUUGUUUGGAGUUAUUUCACUGGAGGUAAUGUGAAGGAGGGAAUGGGGCGUCUAAUUAGCAAGUUCUUUAUCUAUGAAAAUGUCCCUGCUGAGAAGACAUCAUCACAUCAUUUCAAAAAUAUGGUAGUGGGAUGUCAACAGGCCGGUGUUGGAGUACAACCUCCCACUCCCUAUAAGGUAAGAAACAAAUAUUUGGAUAUAGAGUGUAAAGACAUUUGCGAGUACGUUAACAAGUUGAGGUCAAAGUGGGAAACUAAUGGUUGCACAAUCAUGUGUGACGAAUGGACUGGCCCGACCAUAUUGUUUAUCAUAAACUUCAUGGUAUACUCCAAAGGAAAGAUAAUUUUUUUAAAGUAUGUUGAUGCUUCAUACCAUAUAAAGAACUACAAGUAUAUUUACAAAUUAUUGAGGGAUGUAAUCAUGGAGGUGGAAGAUCAUAAUGUUGUCCAAGUCAUGACUGACAACGGUUUUGCAUUUGUCAAAGCUGGAAAAAGUUAAUGAAGCAUCAUAAUGUGUUUUAGGGGUGGGUUCAAAAAAUCGAAAACCAAACCGAAAAAAACUGAGGCCGAAAAAAACCGAACCGAAACUGCCAAACCGAACCGAACCGAAUCUGGUUGGUUCGGUUUCGGUUUUAAAGGUCCGGAAACCGAACCGAACCGAAAAAAAAAAUCAUAUAUAAAUACUAAAAAACAUGUUGGCCGCGUCAAGGUUUGAACCCCUGACCUGCGGGUUGGGGUAAGGUGCUGCUAGCCAACUUAACUGUAGGCUUUGUGUUGUUAUAAUUGUACCAGUAAUAUAUUUAUAGGUUUCUUAUAUUUAAUGCUUUAUAAAAUUUCUUAACUUUACAAACCCUAGCCGUCUCACUCCCAUUUCAUUUCAGAUCUCAAACACUUCUUCCGUCCGCUGCUUCCUCAGUCUCUCUCUCUCCCUUUCCCUCUCCUUCCUCUCUUCCUCCAAAUCACUUUCUCUCUAGUCUUCUCAUGUCCUCUUCACGGAUUCCUUCUUCCAAAUCAUGAUUUUCCCUCGCCUCUUUCGAGACCUGACGAAAAGAUGAACUGUUAGAGCUUGCAAUGAUCAUGGCGAUUUCGCUGCAGCAAAGGUUGUGGGUUUUAUUUAUUUGUCAGUUCAUGGGUUUUUAAUUUUAUGAUCAUGGCGAUUUUAUGGUUACCCAUUUGAAAUUUAUGUAAUUUAAGGUGAAAAAGUUUGUAUUUUUCUUUUAAUAUGUUUCGGAAUUUUCUAGAUCUAUUGUGGACUUGACUAGGAAUUUGAAUGUGGGCAUUGGGCAUGCGAUAUUGGAGUCCGAUUAUGACAUUUAGACGAACCUAUUUGCUCUUUUUUUUUGUUUCGAUCUGCAUCUUAAUUUGUUGAAUUAUUUCAUGAUUUUGUAAAUUUUAAAUUUUUAGAAUUUUGAAUCCUGGCGAUGUACUUGAAGAAUAUAUGUUUCUGUAUUUGCUUAAGUUUUGAAAAUUUGAACUCGAUCUGCUUGAUCAUAAGUAGUUGAAUUACUUGAAUAUAUUCGGGAUUUUGAGGUGAGAAAAUGUAUAUGUUUGGUUAGUGAGAAAAUGCAUGAAGGUGAAAGGUUAGUACCUAAAAUUGCUGAGUUCAAGUUUUUCGGUUUGUUGUAAAGUUUUAGCAAAGACCCAUUGGGAUUUUCAUAUGGUUCUUCCUCUGUGUAGUCUUAAAAAAGCGAAUUAAAUUCUUUUGCGUCUCUUAUUUUGUUUAUGAUGGAAUAGUUAUAUGAUUUGUACUUUUGGAGAAGAAAAAAUUGGGAAGAGGCUAGAAAAGUCUUAACUAAAGGAUUAGAGAUUUGUGAUGUAGAAGAGGUAAUGGAAGACGAUGCUUGGCGGAGCAGGCUCCAUUGAUAUAUGAGAACUGGGAGAUUUAUUCCUUCCAUUUACAUCAUUAAAAAAAAAAAACUGAAAAAAACCGAAACCGAACCGGAAAAAACCGAAACCGAAAAAAUGGACCGAACCGAACCGAACCGAAAUUUCGGUUCGGUUUCGGUUUUGGCAAAAAACCGAACCGUUUUGAACUGAACCCAGCCCUAAUGUGUUUUGGACAUCAUGUGCAGCACAUUGUAUUGAUCUCAUGUAUGAGGAAAUGGGGAAGAGAGAGAAUGUUGCUACUGUGGUAAAAAGAGCUAGAACAAUCACAAAUUAUAUUUACAAUCACGGUUGGUUGUUGGCAAAGAUGCGUGAAUUUUGCAAAUGAGAAAUUAUUCGUCCAGCUACCACUCGAUUCGCCACCAACUAUAUUGCAUUAGACAGCCUACUUAAGAAGAAAGUAGGGUUGAAGAAACUAUUCACUAGUGAUGAUUGGGCCAACCAAAAUUUGAGCCGUUCAAAUGCAGGUCGUAUGGUGGAAAGUAUAGUGUUUGAUCAUGCUUUUUGGACUCAAUCAGAACAUGUGUGCCAAGUGUUUGAACAUUUUUACAAAGUUUUACGGAUCGUUGACACAAAAGUGUGUCCUACUAUGGAGGCAAUAUAUGAGUUGAUGUGUGUAGUGAAGGAUGAAUUGGAACGAAAACAUGGUGCAAGGUGGGUCAUAAAGAUAAUUGAAGACCGAUGGUAUAAAACAUUAUACCACGAUUUGCAUGCAGCAGGUAUACAUUAUGUCAUAAUUUGCAAUUCAUUUCCUUAGUUGCAAAAGUAUUAUUUCUCUUAUUAGAGUAUGUGUUUCUUUGAACAGUAUAUUAUUUGAAUCAUCGAUACCAACACAGACUCGGUGUUGGAGAUGAUGGUACCCUUAUACGUGUUGUACAUAAUGUAUACUCUAAAUUAGACCACGCAUCACUAGCAGUUGGCCAAUUUGGAAAUAAGGUACACAAUUACUUAAAUUAUAAUAAUUACUUUGUUGGAUUAAACUAACACGAUUUAUUGAAUUCAGCUAACAUGGUUUAAAGAUGCAAGAAGAACUUUUGGAGAACCAACAUCAGUUGCUGCUCGAACAAAAAUGUCUCAUAGUGAGUUAAACAUAUUUCACUAUCAGUUUAUAAUAGAAUUUUUUGGAGUUAUUAGGCUUAUCAACAUUGUUUUUCAUAGUAGAUGAAUGGUGGAUCAUGUAUGGGACUGAUGCACCAACUGUGAGAAAGUUAACAAUCAAAGUAUUAUCACAAACAACUUCCUCAUCUGCUUGUGAAAGAAAUUGGAGCACAUUUGCACUCAUACACACCAAGCAAAGAAAUAGGUUGGAAAAAUUAGUUUAUUGUUACUACAUCAUGAAGCUUCAAAUUCGAGAUAAGGAAGCAGAAAUAGAUCAUGUUGACCGUGGUGACUCACUAGAUGUGUUUGAUAUUGUUGCUGAAGAUGAUGAUACAGAGGGUAACCAACUUUAUCAAUGGAUUAGACCUCUUCAUUUAGAUGAUGAUGAAGGCAACCCAUCUUAUAGAAUUGCUGAAGAAGCACGUAAUGAAUGGAUAAAUGUAGAAAGAGUAUUAGAGGAGAAGGUGAGAUCUAGCAGCGCUGACUCUUUGGAAGAACUUUUGCGCCCAAGACUAAGAAACACUCGAAUUCCACCUUCUUCCAAUCCUUCACAACCACAACAUCGUGCUGAUACUAAUGAUAGCUCUAGUACAAGAUUAGGAAACUCACCUACCACCGGAGGUGGGAAUGAUGAAGGAUAUAGUGGAGCUGAAGGUAGUGGUGGUGGAUAUGGAAACUAUGUUGGACCACCUCCCGGAUUUAUGAGCCCCUUCACUGGUGAGGCAAACUUCACGCAUGUAACACAGGAUGGGGACCAUGGCAGUAGGCGGGCAGGACCAGGAAUUGGUGCCAUAGGGAAGGACUAUACUCGUAGAGAAAGAGGCAAGGGGAUUUUGUCAAGUCAAGAAGAUGACUCGUUAUCUAUAACUUCGGACUUUGUUGGAGUGGGAAGUAGUAACUAUGGUUAUACUCAUAACCAACCAUUUCCCUACCUUUCAUAUCCCAUUCCUGUUGGGAUGGAAUCGAGCGACUCAUGGAAACAAUCCGAGACUCAAUUUUCAAAUGAUUUUGCUUAUGGACAACAUCAACCAAACCUGGAUCCAUAUGGGUGGCAUGUUAACAAUUACAUGCAAAACUAUUUUGGGGAUUUAUCAUUUGAUGACUACUCUUCACAAUACACUCACUCUAUACAUAAAGAUAAUGAAGAUAGUGAAAAAUUUGAACCUCAUAGGAACUCUAUGUGGUAAAGUCACUCAUGUAUCUUACCAUGCAAUGUAUAAAGUGUAAAAUAUUGUACUAAUUCAUUAUAUAUAAAUGAUUAUGGUGUGUUUAAACUUCUUUCAUUAAUAAUUACAUAUUUUCUACACUCACAAUGUUUGCCAGUUCGCUAUAUAAUCAACUUAAUCAAUUAAAUUCAUCAUGCAAUGCAUUUCCUUCCAAUUUUUUGUGAUAAACUAAUAGAUAAUUGACUAAAUAAACAUCCUGCAAAGUUUCAAUAAAAAUUUCCAAGUUUUUCUUACAAUUUCCGUGGUUUCCAUAUUAUUUUUAUCGAUAUCGAUAAUAUUCUGAUAUUUCCAUCGAUAUUUCCGUGUUUUUAGAUUACCGAUAUUUCCGAUAUCAUCGAUAUUUAAUACCUUGAUUAUACCCUUUUAGCAAGAAAAAUUGACGUUCAAUAUAAAUCCUCACAAAAUUUUCCUUCCAUGUCUAAGUGACGAAAAUGAUUUGCGAAGGACAAUCUGGGACAAAUGUCAAAUAGAACUGUCCAGUGACGGAUAAUGACAUGAUACCUCAACCAUCAUUUAUCAUAAUCAAGAUUAUUGUGUAUUUGGCUACGAAUUAGGUUUUUUUUUUUGCAACUAAUUCAACUCAACACUUGUCGAAAUUUCCACCCUCCGUCUAAACCAUUUCCUAGAAACACAUUAAUCGUAUACACAAAAAAAAAAAAAAAUCAGUACAUUUUAGGGAUAAAGAUGCAUGGUGUCAAUUUAUUGAUAUUUGAUAAAAAGAAAUGAAAAGAGAAUUAUUAGUCAGGGGUGAAAUUUUUGUCGUUAUAUUGUAUUAUAUCAUUGCAAUUAGGGGUUGGUUUGAAAAACCGAAAAAAACUGGACCGAGACCAAAAAAACCGAACUAAAGCUGUCAAACCCAACCGAACCAAAUUUGGUUAGUUUGGUUUCGGUUUUUGAGGUCCGGAAACCUAACCGAACUGAUUUAUAUAUUUAAUUAUUUUUUAUAAUAUUUUAAUGGGUAAAAGACUGUUUGCUACCUUCAUGUUUCGUGGUUUUCAACAUUUAGUACAUCAAGUUUUUUUCGUCUCAGAUUCAUACCUAAAGUGUAAAUUUUGGGACAAUCUCAUACAUCCGUUAGUCAAACUGUUAAGUUUUCUGUUAACUGUGGCGUGGCGCACUGACUAGGCGCCACGUGUCAACCGAGUUUUUUUUUUUCUUUCUUCUUCCUCCGAAGAAGAAGAAGAAGAAGAAGGAAGAAGAAGGAGGAAGAAGAAGGAGGAAGAAGAAGAAAGAAAAAGAAAAAAAAAGAAAAAAAAAACAAACUUCCCCAGAUUUCGGAGGAAAAAGAAGAAGAAGGAGAAGGAAGAAGAGGGAAGAAGCGGAAGGAAGAAGGAGGAAGGAAGAAGGAGAAGGAGGAAGAAAAAAAGAAAAGAAAAGAAAGUUGCAGUCGGAGGAAGAAGAAGAAGAAGAAGAAGGAAGAAGAAAAGAAAAGAAAAAAAAAAAAAAAACUCGGAUGACACGUGGCGCCCAGUCAGUGCGCCACAUCACAGUUAACAGAAAACUUAACAGUUUGACUAACGGAUGUAUGAGGCUGUCUCAAAAUUUACACUUUAGGUAUGAAUCUGAGACGAAAAAAACUUGAUGUACUAAAUGUUGAAAACCACGAAACAUGAGUAAACAGUCUUUUACCCUAUUUUAAUUAUAAAAAUCAUAAAAAAUUUGAAAAUUCCCCCCCCCCAACAGUCUUUUACCCUAUUUUAAUUAUAAAAAUCAUAAAAAUUUUGAAAAUUCCCCCAACAAUCAGCUGGCAGCUAGGGGUGGGUUCAAAAAACCGAAAACCAAACCGAACCGAAACCGAAAAAACCGAACCGAACAAAAAAACCGAACCGAAUUGAAAAAACCAAACCGAACCGAAUUCUUUUGGUUCGGUUCGGUUUUAGUGAUCUAGAAACCGAACCAAACCGAACCGAACCGAAUUAAUUAAAUUAAUUUUUUUAUUUAAUUAUUUGUUUUGGAUAUUAUUUUCUAAACCCAAUUUGUAAGUUAAAAUAUGCUAAACCCAAUGUGUUGCCAAACUUUAAGCUCAAAAUAUUAAAAAAAAGUCCUAUAAAAACUUUAAACCCUAACCUAUUAUUUAUCCCCCAUAUAAGGUUCCGGAGCCAAACCUCAUCCUGAAGUACCUACAUCCAUCUCCAUAGCACUGUCUACUUUUGUCUCAGCUUUCUUUUCCAAAUCUACUCUCAUAUAACAUGUAACAGAAUCUAUAAACAUUUAUUUCGGGUAGAUUACUUAGGGAAUUUGUGAUGGAAAAGAAUCCAACACACACUAAAAUAAAUCCACCCACGCAUUUCUUUUACUAAUCAAGUUGUCAACAUGCAGUUACAAGCAAACAACCCUGAUCUUUGAACAACAUCAUACAAUUUAACUUUUCUAAGUCAUUUGUACGAUUUUUGUGUUGUGAUGUUGUUAGUUUGGACUUUGGAAGACUUGAUUGAUGAUUUUAGUUCAACUUUAAAUGUUUAUUUUCAUUGUCUUUGAUUAUAGUUAGAAUGCUUGUGUUAUGAUUGUGUUGGAUACGUUAAAAUUUAAAAUUUCAAUGUUUUUCAUUUUUUGAAAGAAAAAAAAAACAAAAAACCGAAACCGAACCGAAAAAAACCGAAAAAAAAAUGAACCGAACCAAACCGAACCGAAAUUUCGGUUUGGUUUCGGUUUUGGCAAAAAACCGAACCGAAUUAAACCGAACCCACCCCUACUGGCAGCAGUGUUCGAACCCCUGCGGUUUAGCUUGAAAUGCUUCGCUCAACCCAACUCGACAAGCGGUUCUGUUUUGUAAAGAUUGUACGACUAUACUAUUUAUAGGGAUUGAAAUCUAUACUCUUUUGUGGAAUUAGAAAUUAACAAGGUCCUAGCCACUGGAAUUAGGGCAGCAGCCGCACCUUUUUCUUUUUCAUUCCCCUCUUCUCUCUCUCGUCCCCUCCAGACUCCUUCCAUGUCCCUGCCUCCAAUUUCUCCCUUCUUCUCCAUAACCCGCAGCCAGCCCUCCCUUCACGAUUGGUCGCUCCAUUUCUUGAUCUUUUCACUCCAGGCUAAGAUCCCCAGUCUUUCUUAUUUAUUUUGUCGAUUUAUGGGUUUUUUUAGGGUAAAUUCCAAAGAAGGAGAUUGAAAUUUUAGUGUAAAUUUAUGGGUUGUUGUUUUGGUUCGUAUUGCAUAUCUGUUCGAUUUUUGUGUUGUGAGUUUGUUAGUUAUUUGAAUUUCAGAUGAAUGAACGUAAUAUUUGAUUAAUGCAUGCAUAAUCGGAGAAAACUUAUGUUUCAGAAAUUGUAAUAUUUGAUUGAUUAUUCUUUGUCUUGAUUGAAGAUUUUGAUGGUUUUCUGGGAUUUUGAGAACCUGUUUGUGGAAUUUGAUGGGUCCAAUUCUUCAUUUAUUGAUGGAUGGGAGUGAGGGAAUUGCAGUUUAGAGGUGUGUUCUUAGCUUUUUUGGUAUUAUUUUUGCAAAAUUGAUCAAGUAAUUAAGUCAUUAACUGCAUCAAAAUGAAUGGAAAAUCGGAGAUAGGGACAUGACUGUUCUUUUAUGUUCUUUCCUUGUUGGUCAUACAUGUUGAUUUUGAUUUCAUGUUAAAGUUACUUUAGUAUAAGAUUUCAAUUUUUUUCAUUCAAAAAUUUCAGAUUUCAAAAAACCGAUCCGAAAAAAACAAACCGAACUGAAUCGAAAUUUUGGUUUGAUUUCGAUUUUGGUAAAAAAUCGAACUGUAUCAAAUCGAGCCUAACCUUAAUUGCAAUAACUCAUCAUAUCAAUUUUGUGCCGAAUAUUAAUGAGACGAUAAUUGUAUCAAAUCGAAUCAUUUGGUAUGGUAUUUGUUUGGGAUAAAAUCUGAACUUUGGGCCAGAGAGAAAGUCGGCCCAAACCCAAGGCCCAGAGGAAAACUUAGGAGGCAGGAAAGAGGCUUUCGGCUGGGCACAAGUUACAAAGGCCACCUGCUUACCUGCUCAAAGACCACAGGGGGUAGGCUAUUCAGUCACUACACAGCCCAAUAAAGUACUUUAUUGGUGGCAUUCAUGUAAAAAAGCUAGUGAGUCAUCACCAAACCGCAUUCGGGCACCGCUAUUGCUACAGGAACCCAAGCUGAAGUCGUCUAUAAAAGGAGGAAGAGAAGACAGAAUUAGAGACACUCAAACAAACAAACAAAAGCCAAAACUCUGCUCAAGCCAGAUUUGCCUUCAACGAAGCUGUAGUCAGCACAAGCCUUCAUCCCAUUCGGGAUAAACCUUCCCAAACCCCUGUAAUAGCUCUGCUACCUUGUUCAUGGUGGUAUCGAUUCAUUUUGUAUCCUCUUCUCCCCCGUCAACCCCUCUAAAAGCUUUCAGACCUCUGACAGAGCCACAAAGAUAGAUUUUGUAAGAAGUUCAGCCUUGGCCGAUAAGGUUCAAACUUACCCGACUAUCUUUGCUCUGUCUUUGUCUUUUCUUUCUUUUAAAAGCACAAUAACAUGUUAUAUAUUCCCAGUUAUAUACAAGUUAUUUCUAGCAAUGUCAUAAUGAAAAUGAGUCUUCAGCACUUGAAUCCGAUCUGAAUCGCGUCAGAGUUCAAAUCAGAUCUAAGUCUUAAGCCCGGGGGGCAUGUAAUUUAAAGAUCAGUUUAAAAGUCCUUGGCCUCAAGGCAUAAAAAAGAACUCUAUGUGGACUCAACCCAUCCAUGACAAUCCUUGAUAAGCGAGAAGUCCGAAGUUACUUGGGGCGCAAGUAAUCAAUCUAUUUCUCCGUUUUGUUGCUAUUAUAUCUUGAUUCGUAGAAAAGGCUUAAGCAUGAAGUGAAUUCUGAUAGAAAGCCUCAAGGCCUACACCUAAGGCCCCACGAAGGCAUCUAUUUAGCUUCAUUUCAUGUUGCGGUCUAGUUGGUCCGAGUAUAAGGAUUAACUCUGAUGGGAAGCCUCAAGGCCUAUACCUAAGGCCCUACAAAGACACUCAUUUGGGUUCGUCCUACCUCUUGGAUUCAGAUAAUCAAAGGUAUAAUAGUGAUAAAACUCUGGCAACCAUAAAAGACCAAAUAUGAUACAUCCAAGCGCUGGUUUAGUUUGACAGGAAGCCUCAAGGCCUAUACCUAAGGCCCCACAAAGGCACCUGUUAUAUCUAACUUGGUUUCUCGGGCGUAUACAUAUUCAAUCAAAGCUUAACACCCAUUCAACAUCUACCAUACUGAAGAUGGUAGUGGCACGCCUGAGCACGACAAAGUUAAUCUUGAUUGUGAGCCUUAAGGCCUACACCUAAGGCCCCACAAAGGCACCCUUUCAAAUUAACUCUGUCCUUCUCUUUCAGAACUGCCCGACGAGCCUUGCCCGAAGUGUGUCUUGCCCGACCAAGAUCUGCCCGACAAAGGCUUGCCCGAGCGAGCCCGAGAAGAAAGCAGAAGUACGACAGAUACCCUCAACCGACGCCAUUCUCCCAGGGGAGCUGUGUGCUCGUCCGCCAGGAGAUUCCUGCGACGAACAUAGUUUUGGCACGCCCAGUGGGACAAGAAACAGCUACACUUCUAAGAUCUUACAUUUCCAAAAAGAGAAGCUAUAAACUUGCCAAAAAAGAAGCCAAGAAGGAUCUUUUCCAGAUGACAGAACAAUCAGAAAAUCCUUUAUCCCCAUCCGGACAGGUGGUCUCAGGUAGUUCGACUGCAUCUGAGAAAUCACAGGGGAAAUGGAUUAAUGAAGAACUGCAAGCUACAAUGAUCCAAGUGUUGAAAAGCAUGGAAAGAAUUUCCUUGAAGACUAAGGGAGAAGUAAGCAGACUCUGCAUGCUUACAGGAAAUCUACAAAGGAGGCUGGACUUGGAGUUCUCUACUCCAAAGGGUGCUCAAGGAAGUGGAAUGAGUCCAGUUGUUAUAAGAAGUGAGCCAAUCAUUCCUUUGUUUCCACUACUAGAAGAAGAAAAGGAUAAGGGAAAGAAGAAGGUGAUACCUGAAGGAAGUCAAGCAGUGAUGGAGUCAGCUUCAGAAAAGGAGUUUCCCAGCUUCCCAUUAUUAUCAUUUAAUAAUAGGAGGCAGAGCGAACAAGAAAGAAUGAAGUUUGGACUGCCAGCCACGGCUGGAGAAACUAGCUGGAAAGAAACAACCACUACUACGUCAGAUAAACCUCUACCUUAUAGGCCACCCCCGAUGGUCAACAAAGGUGGAGGAUCUAACUGGAGAAAUCUGAAACCAGGAGGGAAGCAAACGCGGGCAAUGACCGGAGUCCGAAGAUUGAGUCAGCUAUCCAUGGCCAGAAUGAUAAUUUAGCUACUCAGCAACUAAGAGAAGAAUUGGCUGAGUUAAGAAGAACGGUGAUUCAAAACGCCCAGCCUCGAGUUCGUCCAGUAUUCAGGGUUACCUACCAGAAGCCAUAUCCUGAAUAUAUCGAUGAGUUAAAUCCAUUCCCUCUUAAUUUCAAGAUGCCCGCAUUCCCGACUUUCACAGGGGAAGAUAGCAGUGUGUCCUCCAGAGAUCAUAUUUUCAAAUUUUCUAAUCACUGUGUGGCGUAUGAGGACAAUCCAAACUACAAAUUGAGGUUGUUUGGAAAUUCACUAGCAGGAUUGGCAUCUCAAUGGUAUUCUCUAUUACCCCCCAAUUUCAUUGCUAACUGGGGGCAAAUGGAGAUGGCUUUCCAUGAACAGUUCUACAGGAUAGAGCCAGAGCUCACCAUUAAUGAUCUGGUAGAAGUGAAACAAUAUGAUCAUGAGUCCACCGAAGAUUUUAUGAUAAGGUUCAGGAGGACAAGGAUGAGAUGUCAGUUCCCUGUCAACCAGGCACAGCUCAUAUCCAUUGCUCAAAGGGCUUUAAAAUUACCUUUGAGAAAAAGGUUCUAUGAUGCACAGUUUAAUGAGCUACAAGAGUUGGUGAUUGCUGCUACUAAGUAUGAGAGGCUGUUACAGGAGGAACAACAGGUAAAACAUACUUCCAAAACUCCUCCGUUCUACAAAAAUAAAGCUACUAUUCACCAUGUAGAGGUAGGGGAAGCCGGACCCGAAUGCAAAGAUGAUCAUGAGGAGAAGAGUAUAGAUGUGUGUGCUGCUGAGAUGACCACACCCUUCAAGCCAUUGACGAUCAAAGGGUUAGUCCAACCAGUCAAGGACCAGAAGAUCGUGAUGAAUGAUGGUGGGUUCGUACCCAUGAAACCCCCAAAGUAUCAAAGUUAUUCUUUCGAUCUAACCAAGGCGCCAGAAAUCUAUGAAGAACUUGUGCGGGCAAGAGUCAUUUUGCCCGACAGCACCAAAAAGAUGCCCAAGCCCGAGGAACUCAGGGGGAAGAAGUAUUGUAAGUUGCAUUAUACCUUCAACCACUCUAUAGUCAAUUGUGUCCAGUUUAGGGACUGGGUACAGGAUCUUAUAGUGAAGGGGAAGUUACUACUCGAUUCACCUCAGGCUAGUAUGAUGGUGGAUACUAACCAUUUCCCCGAAGCUCCUAUUAGCAUGAUCGACCUCGUUUUCAAGGAGUCGGGGUUAUCAACAGAGUAAAAUGCCAUUGAAAGGACCCGGGGGCAGGGGCUAAGAUUGCCAACAAUAAAGAUGGAGGAGAAAAGCAGGUAGGCAAGGGGGCAUAGAGUUGCCUGAGGCCUAUCCAAAUGGAGCAGAACAGGAGGAAUGUUACAUAUCCAUUCUAAAACAAAAAGAGAUUACAAAGUAAUUCUAUUCCAAAAACUUUACAUCUUCACAUAAGGUGAUUAUUCUAGAAUGGUAUGUUCGCAUGAUGGUAAAAAUCCUAUUUGGUUCAGCCAAGACAGUAUGGCUGUUUACAAGUUCAGACUUGGUUUGCUCUAACUCUGAAGUCGCUUUUUCCACCCCUUCGAUCUGUUGCUCAAGGUUAUCCAGAAGAGUUGUUUGCUCCGCUUUAAGGAUCAUCAGUUGUCUCUCCAACUUCUGAAUUUCAGAAGAAACAACUUCAAUCCGUUCUUUGGUCUGCAUACUUUCUUCCAUCAGCCGACUAACUUGGGUAGAGGAGCUCGAUUCUCUCUCUAUGAAGCAUUUUGCCCGGUUAGCCAGCCGGUCUGCUCUCUGAUGUUGCUCCCUGAGGGCCCUCAAGUUUUCAAAGAAAGAAAGGAAAGAAUCAUACUGAGGCUUGGAUAAGCGAUCGUUUUUAAAGAACUCAGUAAUGACUCUCUCGAGGUCACAGAGAGCCUUGAGGCUAAAUGAUGCAGUGAAUUCUUUCUUUGCCCAUGUUUGAAAGAUUUGUUGCUGCUCCGAAGACAUAGAUUUUGUUGAAGCCUGCUUUGAAAACUUCAACCGCGUCUCAAGUCGCCCGAGUGCUUCGAAGAAUUUGGGCAACUUGGCAGGAUCAGAGGAGGAAGGAGAAGGGUCCGGCAUAACAGUUUCUUCUGGUGAGAUAAUGCCUAUGGAAGGGGCAAUUUCUGUUUGUUCAAUCGGUUCAUUUCUAGACAGGGAGGUGUCAACAUCUCCAGAGGAAGAAGGAGGUUGAAAGCACCUUGGGUUACGGGCCAUUGGAGGAGGGGAAGUUUCUUUUGGGGAAGCUCGCUACAAAACUUCAGGAUCAGGACAAGAUGAACUAUACACAAGUCAAAACAAAAGAGGCUUUGGAGAGAAGGAAGUUACCUGACUUAACCCCGGGGUUUCACUAGAGAAUGCACUAACUCCUUGUCGAGGUGAAGAUUUUUCACCACCAGCGAAAGAUGGGAAAGUUGUGCCUGAACCUGUGCCUACAUCCUGGUUGUAUCCGAAGAAAGUAGUGAUGAUCAGCAAAAGGUCACCAGAGGAAGAAACAAGAAGAAAAUAUUCCAGCACCUGAGGUUGAUCUUGAGGAGAAGAAGGAGGUUCAUCGACCGUCUGGCGAGUAAGCGCUUGCGAAAUAGUUGUGUCUAAAGCUACAGGGAUCUCAGGAACUAUGGGUUCUUUAUCCAAGGCCACUGACGGGGAAAGGGGUUCAUAUCCCGAAGAUGGCUGCAAAGAACAUGGAUAGGAGUUACUUGGGUAGCAAUGUGCAAAGUUGAAAUGAAAAGAAAGAGUAACUCACCAAAGUAUCAUCCUCAUCCACAAAAUGCAACAUGAUUCCUGUGGAAGGAUCAAAUUGAGAAGAAGGGGUUGCAUCUAGGGCAGGUUGCGGAGAAAGACUUUCUUUCCUUGUAGCCUAAGCCAAAUUAUUCAAAAUUCAGAAAGGUUUGAAAAUAAGAAAGUAUAAAGAUAGAAGUCAUACCUCUUUAAGCGUAGCAGCCCUUCGUGAUUCCUUCUUAGAAGCAAGGGUUGACCUUUUAGAAGCUUGAGGUCCUGUUGAGUGAUAAAGGGAUAAUCAGAUAAGGGAGAAAGGUAGCCAUUUGAUCCAGAAGAGGAGAGACUCACUGGAAGAUUGUUCUGUCUCUUUACCCGCUUCAGAAACAGGAGCAGAUGGGGCUGCUGGUUUAGGAGGCACGGUGACUCUUGCCCGCUUACUCUUUCGGGUAAGAAUUGGUCGUGUGGUUGCUGAAGGAAGUGCCGGAUCAGAGAUUGUGGUUUUAGUUAUGGCCACCCUCUUUCGUUUAGAUGCUUUGGUCGUAUCUUUGGCUAUUUCUUUAAUUGUUUCUUCGGCUCCUGAAUCCCCAAGAGAUUCUGAGACGUCUGUCCCUUCCCCGGCUUCCCGCCUUUCAGCUUCUGCUGCAGCACCAUGAAGAACUGCGGCAUCAGCAGAAUCAUUCUCUGAUUCGAUGGCUUCGGAUUCAGUAUCAACUGAAGUUGCAGAAACAGGUAAGAGUGAGGAAAGUAAACAACAAGGAAAGAAAAAUCGGAUGGGAAGAAAGUCACCUAUUAGGAGUAAUCGGUUUUUCUCUUGGAUCAUAUCUUUCCAAUUUGCAAGCUCGCUCGAGCUAGGAUAUGAUUUAAGAGAAAGCUGGCUGAAAAUACGAUCGUGGUUCACUUUCAAAUCUCCUCCGUAUUUUCUAGUCCACAUUUCCUCCCACCAAGAGGAAAACAGCGAGGUACAUUCGAAAUUAAGAACAACGGAAUGUCGGGCUGCUUGGCUCAUCACGUCCAAACUACGGCGGGCAGCUCGAAAUAUUGCUUCAGAAGGAGUCUGUAACCGAAAUGAAGUGCCACAAUGGAUGGAGUCGAAGAAUGGGACAGGUAUGGAUUGCCUAAAUCCUAACUGCCUGCUGCAGAAGUUAGGAUGAUACACCUCCAAGCCUCGAUCAUACCGAUUUCCCCGGACCCCCCAGGCCAAGUCUCUUGGCUGAAUACAGCUGAUAAACUUUUCCCUGCAGAAGGGAGCAGCAUCCUCACCAGGGGCAUCUUGGAAGGCUUGGUCAGAAAACCAAGGAUAUCUCCUCAAGACCGAUGCACCCCAUUCCAAGUCUGACCGAGUCCUGCAGACUCGGAAAAAGUAGAAGCAUGCAAAGGUGGAAUGAUCUACAGGAGGAGCUUCAGCCAGGAUUCGGGCAGGAGCCACACCCUCUGGAAACUCUAGAUUGAUAGCCCGAAAUUCUGGAAAAUACCAUUGUAGCCAAAUCUGUAUCAUCCAGAUGGGGCCGUUCAAAUUGGUCUCAAAGGGCUCAUCCCGGGUCAUGUCAAAAAGAAGGUGAUAGAGAUGGGAGAGAAGGAAUGGACCUGUGGCAACGUCAUCAAAAUUGUGAAGAACCUCUACCAAGGGGAUCCAUUCUACCCGUACCCCCUUGGAUUUGUUGGGGAAGACGUGUUUGUUAAGCCAGUAAAGAAGAAAGUACAUAUGCUCUUGAUCUUUGUCGGCUUGAGGAGAGCCUGCCCCGAAGUUCUUCUUGACAAAAGGGAUGAAUCCUUUAAAGGAGGUCCCAUAACUUUUGAAAGUAACUGAGUUAUAGCUGAGAGGAAGGAAGUAGGUGGAAGAACUUGAGCCCCCGGUGGUAGAGGAUGGAAUCCAAUCUUGAGUAACAUCUAUCACCCUGCCCGAUGGCCUCAACCCGAAGACUUGGGCCAUAUCAAGAAUGGUGGGAGACAUGGGACCCAUACGGAAAUCGAAGGUGUUUGUGCCCGUAUUCCAAAAGAGGAGGGCAGAAGCAAGCAAUUCGGGCUUAGGGGUAAUUGAAAUCUUCGAAAGCAUAAUCAGUUCGUAGAUGCCGUUACUCAUCCAUUUCUGCUUGAAGGAAGGUUCCAAUUCGUCAAUCCACUGGGCCCAGGCAAGAUCAUUCACCAAGGGAAAGCCUCGACGAUGAAAAGACCACUUAGAAGAAGAAAUGCCCGAGUCGGCCAAAUAAGGAUUUGGGGUAAACCAGUUUCCCCUAGGCAUAUUACUUUCUUCUACUGAGGGAACCCGAGAAAUCCAGGCAGGACCCAAAGAUUGAACCCUAUGUAUCUCAAAGAAGAGUUCAGAAUGUAGACCUGCCCGCGGACGAUGCAGCCCGUUGAGCAGACGGCGUAGAGUGGCAAUUCCUUCACCAGACUCGUAGGAUGGUAAGGUUUGGCCGGAUCCUGAGGCCAUUUAAUGAAGGCCGUGGGGAAGAAAAACAAGAAGAACGGUAAAGAUGCAACCUCGUCGGACAACGAGAAAGAAAUGAUGAAAGAAUUGGGGAAGUUUUGUUGUAUCAGAGAAGGUUUUCUUUUUACGAAACACAGAGAACGGAGAAGUUCACUCACAAGGGUUCUAAGAGUUCUAAGGGUUUAAAACAGGGGUCUCUUUCAAUUAAUAUUGGCGCCUGGGAUCCCAACCUUAACAUCAAUUGAAGGGGGCACUGUUUGGGAUAAAAUCUGAACUUUGGGCCAGAGAGAAAGUCGGCCCAAACCCAAGGCCCAGAGGAAAACUUAGGAGGCAGGAAAGAGGCUUUCGGCUGGGCACAAGUUACAAAGGCCACCUGCUUACCUGCUCAAAGACCACAGGGGGUAGGCUAUUCAGUCACUACACAGCCCAAUAAAGUACUUUAUUGGUGGCAUUCAUGUAAAAAAGCUAGUGAGUCAUCACCAAACCGCAUUCGGGCACCGCUAUUGCUACAGGAACCCAAGCUGAAGUCGUCUAUAAAAGGAGGAAGAGAAGACAGAAUUAGAGACACUCAAACAAACAAACAAAAGCCAAAACUCUGCUCAAGCCAGAUUUGCCUUCAACGAAGCUGUAGUCAGCACAAGCCUUCAUCCCAUUCGGGAUAAACCUUCCCAAACCCCUGUAAUAGCUCUGCUACCUUGUUCAUGGUGGUAUCGAUUCAUUUUGUAUCCUCUUCUCCCCCGUCAACCCCUCUAAAAGCUUUCAGACCUCUGACAGAGCCACAAAGAUAGAUUUUGUAAGAAGUUCAGCCUUGGCCGAUAAGGUUCAAACUUACCCGACUAUCUUUGCUCUGUCUUUGUCUUUUCUUUCUUUUAAAAGCACAAUAACAUGUUAUAUAUUCCCAGUUAUAUACAAGUUAUUUCUAGCAAAGUCAUAAUGAAAAUGAGUCUUCAGCACUUGAAUCCGAUCUGAAUCGCGUCAGAGUUCAAAUCAGAUCUAAGUCUUAAGCCCGGCGGGCAUGUAAUUUAAAGAUCAGUUUAAAAGUCCUUGGCCUCAAGGCAUAAAAAAGAACUCUAUGUGGACUCAACCCAUCCAUGACAAUCCUUGAUAAGCGAGAAGUCCGAAGUUACUUGGGGCGCAAGUAAUCAAUCUAUUUCUCCGUUUUGUUGCUAUUAUAUCUUGAUUCGUAGAAAAGGCUUAAGUAUGAAGUGAAUUCUGAUAGAAAGCCUCAAGGCCUACACCUAAGGCCCCACGAAGGCAUCUAUUUAGCUUCAUUUCAUGUUGCGGUCUAGUUGGUCCGAGUAUAAGGAUUAACUCUGAUGGGAAGCCUCAAGGCCUAUACCUAAGGCCCUACAAAGGCACUCAUUUGGGUUCGUCCUACCUCUUAGAUUCAGAUAAUCAAAGGUAUAAUAGUGAUAAAACUCUGGCAACCAUAAAAGACCAAAUAUGAUACAUCCAAGCGCUGGUUUAGUUUGACAGGAAGCCUCAAGGCCUAUACCUAAGGCCCCACAAAGGCACCUGUUAUAUCUAACUUGGUUUUCUCGGGCGUAUACAUAUUCAAUCAAAGCUUAACACCCAUUCAACAUCUGCCAUACUGAAGAUGGCAGUGGCACGCCUGAGCACGACAAAGUUAAUCUUGAUUGUGAGCCUUAAGGCCUACACCUAAGGCCCCACAAAGGCACCCUUUCAAAUUAACUCUGUCCUUCUCUUUCAGAACUGCCCGACGAGCCUUGCCCGAAGUGUGUCUUGCCCGACCAAGAUCUGCCCGACAAAGGCUUGCCCGAGCGAGCCCGAGAAGAAAGCAGAAGUACGACAGAUACCCUCAACCGACGCCAUUCUCCCAGGGGAGCUGUGUGCUCGUCCGCCAGGAGAUUCCUGCGACGAACAGUAUUAAUAUCCUCAUUUCUUUAUAAAAAUAGGGAUUAGGUGUUGGGUUAAUAUCACAUCGAACUUUAACGAUCUAAACUGUUCAUUUUUUAAGUUAUACCUUAUAGAUCAUUCUUGCAAAAUAUAUACCAAAUCGGAAAUAUUUAAAACAUCUAAUUGGGUUCAAAAAAAUGAACGAAUACUUUAUUAUACAAGAAAACAAUGAAAUUUGAUCUUGAUAAUUAAAUAAGCAAAUAAUUUCGGAUUGAAUUGAAUUUUUGUAAGGAUGAUCUAUGAAUCGAGGUUUACAAAAUAGACGGUUCGGAUCGUUGAAAUUCAAUAUAAAGUGGGCUCAACACCUAAUCUUUUUUUUUUUUCAAGAAAUGGGGAUCCCUUUGCCUAAAAGACCUGUAUACAUAUAUGUUAUACAUUUAUGGCGUGUUUACCAAACCGGAACGGAAUGGCAAGAAAUGGAAUUGCAUUCUUUUCUAGGCAUUAAAGCCGUUUACUAACAUUUCCGGAAUGAAAAACAAGAUGAGGUCCACUUAAAAUCAGGAUUUGGAUCCUUAAAUCUCCUGGAAUCAGAUCUCUUAUAUGGAGGUGGUAUUUGGAUUCCAGUGAGAAGGCUAUUCCAGGAAUCCAACUUUUAUACCCAAACUACCCCUAGAUGGAUGGGCUUCGAAGACUGAGUUGGUGGAAUGGGUUGUCUUUGGUGAAGAACGGAUUUGAAACUCGUUCGAUGUCGCAUUUGCCAAUUGAACGACACUCUAACACCUGGAAUUGAAGCUCCAGUGGUGGUAAAUACACUCUAACACCUGGAAUUGAAGUUGCAAUGGUGGUUAUUGGGUAUAUUCUAGUGGCUGUGUGGUUGGGGAGAGAUGGAAGGAGAUGAGAAGUAGAUGGAAAAAUAAGAGGGGGAAGCUGAAGAUAGUUGGGGUAUGAGACGGCAACGAGACCGCAGUGCAAUUGGACAAGGAAAGGUGGGGGGUGAAGAGCAGUGCAAGGAAAGGCAGGGUGGGCUAUGGAGGCGUAAGGGGGUGGAUUUGGUAAUUGGCAUGUUUGGGUGGAGAAGGGAAUAUGAUUAAGAAAUUUAAUUUAAUUAAGAUAUAGAUGAAUUUUAUUAUAUAAAUUUAAUUAAAAUAAUUUAUUUGUGUAAGGACAAUUUAGUAAUUAAACUAGUUUUAAUUCCGAUUGAAGUGAAUUAGUAAACAACUUAUAUGGACUUAACAUCAUUCCUACUCCGAUUCCAGACAGUUUUAGUAAAAAACUCCAUCAGGAAUCUGAUUCUAAUUCCACCUCAUUUCAAUUCCUCCUUAAUCCAAUUCCUCUCAAUCUGAUUACAGAUUAGUAAACGCGCCCUUAAUGGAAUUGGAUCCUAUAUGGAUCUACUUUGUGGGGAUCAUAGGGAUCCCUACAUCUUAGCCAUUCAUCGUGUAUCGUGGGGUUAAAAAUUAUUUGACUUUUUUAUUGUUAGGCCAUGUAUGUGUUUUUUAUUGUUGCUCACUCGAUGGGUCACUCUCUUGAACUAAGACACAUCAUUCUCUUUGUAUCCACUGCGUCCUCUUCACCAUGAAAGUAACCUCAUGUAAGAAUAAUUUUUGGCUCGAGUAGGAGUUUCUACUCUAAAUUACUCGUUGUCAAUUCAACAAACUUCGUCUUUAUGAUGAAAAUUUUUAUAUCAAAAAUAACUCUAAAAGAUCGUCUGUGCAAAAAAUUAAUUUAAAUUAAGGUUGUUUAAGUCAUUAAACUGUAUAAAAACAGAUGAACAAAAUUGAUAAAAGUAUUACAAACCGUCUAUGUAUUUGCUACAAUUGAUUGACUAAACAACUUUGAUUUUAAUUUAAUUUUUGUAGAUAUGAUCUUUAUAAUGUGAUUAAUAAUAUAAAUGCUUUUGAUCUUAAGCACAAAAGUUUGUAAUUUGAACACAGAAUUUUGAGGAGGAAUUCUUACUCAUGCUUGACUAGCGAAGCAUUGUUCCACAUGUAAAUAGGUGAUCCAUCAUUUUCAACCAACAUAUUAUUAUGCACUUAAUCAAGGCUGAAAACAACCUUUUAUUCGUUUGGACGUCAAAUCUUUAGGGUAACAUUAGAACUUUCUUUUAACAAUUUUUGAGUGUGAAAGUCAUUGCCUUUCCUUGAAUUGAUUUUCUUCUAAAUAUUUGUUGGACCUAUUUUCACACGCUCAGCCCAUAUGCUUGUUUGGACCCAUUUUCACACUAUCAAGCCGUGUAAUUUAGGCUGAUUAAUGAAGGGGAAAUCAAGAGGGUUAUUGACAAUUCUCAUAAUCUUGGGUUUUUUUAAAAAAAAAUGAAAAAAAAAGGAUGCUAAUGUGAUAUGCAACUUUAUAAUGCAUGGAUGAGUUUAGUAUGGAGACGUGUAAUGGAGCGCAGAUGUUUUGAGAAGUUCUUUUGGAAUUUGCUUUCUAAUUCAUUGGCUCACAAAUCUCUGUACGCUAAAAUUGUGGGAAGACAUGCACUCAUUCACUGAUGUCGCGGUUAUUAAGUUCUAUCAGGAUAAUCGAAAAAGAAAAUGUAAAUUAAACUUAUGAAAAUAUUGUUUACGAAAGACUCACUCACGUGUUAAUACAUAUAACAGUUGUUCAUUCUUACGCCACAACAUAAUUAUCUUUUUUAAAUAAAAAAAACACACAAAAUGACCAAAGUAGCCAAAGUACUCUUAUUGAAAUCACUCGACCUAGAUUUUAUUCACCAUCUGUGGUAUUUAGCACUAGCGCCACCUACAAGUGCUAUAUUUGGAUUAUGACACAUUUGUAUGUGCUAUUUCGAAUUCAUGGUUCUGGGAAAGGGAAGCCAUUGACGCUCAUUCCCCCAUCAAUGCCAAUAGUCUGCCCAGUUACGUAAGAAGCUGCUGGGAGGCAUAGAAAGGACACCACAGCUGCAACCUCUUCUGGCUCUCCAGGACGUCCUAAAGGGGUUCGGGCGUUGAUCGCAUUCGAAAAUUUCUCCACACUGAGAAACUGUGGAGAAAACAAAGAUAAGCUUAUAUGUGUAAAUGCAUUAGGUCAACCAAAGUUGCUCAUCAAAUUUUCUACUCUAGGGAUGCAUACAUGUCAGCAUCUCACUUGCCUCAAUUUUGAACGAAUAAGAUGAGCAUCUUUUUUUUUAGGAGAUGACUUCUUUAGAUUUGAUUUUGAUUUUGGUAGUUUGAUAAUUAGGUGCAUUACUAUGAUUAUACACACGCUACAUAUAUGAUCACAUCAAUGCUCUAUGUGCUAUUCAGUCACAUAAAAUUGAAGACUUUGCUGUGCAUUGUAACAUUGUAUGUAGGAUUGUAUGUAGGACUUAUCUAUAUUAAAAUGCGUGAGCACCACUCUUAUAUAGUAUACUUAUCUGGAAGAACUAACCUUUCUAAAUAAUGUACAUACCUACCGAAGUAGCAAAACUUAUAAAAAAGGAAAAAAACUUAAAAGUUGUUAAAAUUGCAAGCAUAUGAAGACUAUGAGUUUAGAGAUCUCACAGGUGCAGAGAGGGGUGUUCGAAUGAACCAAGGUGCUACACUGUUGACCCUUAUGUUUUCUUUUUCUUUUCCCCACUCACAAGCCAAGGAUCUUGCCAACGAAAUUAUUGCUCCUGAAUAUAAAUUAAGAGAGAAGAGUCACAAGCUUUCAUAACACAAUGACGUUAAAAAUGAAAUUACAUAAAUGAAAAACAAAAAUUUAUCCAUCAUAUUAUUGUUAGAAACCUCCUCAUCGCGAUUGAUACCAUGUUAACCAAUAUUGAUUGAAGAUCUUUGAUGUAUGUAAGGAUGAACAGUUUCUAGAGAGAGAGAGAGAGAAGAGAAAUGUGUAUCUUAUUUCUUAAUGACCAAGUAAUACAAGGUACAAUACUAUUUAUACACAACAAUCUUAACUACAUAACAAACAUACCUUCUAAUCUUAUGACAAGUGUAACAAUCCUACAUUCACUAACUCAUACACUCUAACACAACGGUCAUAAUUAAAGCAGGUUACUGGUGUUCAAGGUGACUGCAAGAUUUUAAUUGAUCGACAUACAACAACAUACGUAUAUUAGCAAACACAUCGAUAUGCUUAUUUAGGUCUAUCAGUAUGAUCAUGCCAUGCUUGUGUUUGGUUUAGUAAAGUUGAAAAUAAUACGAAUAACGAAGGGGCUAACAAACGGAAGAAUACAUUGACUAUAUAUAAACAAAUAUAAUAUUAUUAAUUGAAGAAAAAGAUUGGCAUGACGACUAAAAAACUACAAUGUGACUGACUCAUUAAUAAUAACAAAUACAAGCAUUACUAUAUAAAGUGAAAACUAAGGCAAAACCAUAAUCUUUAACGGACAAGAAAUCUUAUCUUGACUCACAAGAAAACCAUAAAUAGUAAUAAAAUAAAUAACUAAUUUCCAACAAGUAAUUUUCCUCAAUUUUCACUACCUAUAUUACAGUUUAUAUGUAUGGUCUAAGGCCUAGUUUGGUAUUACUGUACUUUUAAAAAAAUAUGUUUCUACUGUGCUGUGAGAAUAAACAGCAAUAAAAUAAAGCUGUUGUGUGUUUGGUUUUUUUUUUUUUUUUUUUUUUUUUGUAAAAAUGCUUUUAACAAACAACAGUGUCUGAAUGUUUGGUAAACUUUUAUAUAAAUUGUUGUGAAUAUGUUAAAUGAUUAAAAAAGAUAUGGUAUUUAAUGUGAUAUAAUUACUGUCAAAGACAAUAAUGUAGGUGCAAAGAUUGUGAUUUUGUAAAAUAUGUGGAGGGUAUACUUGUCAUUUGAAAAUUUCAUUAAAUGGGCAUUGAUUACUGUGGUUUGAAAAAAUAAAAACAUGUCAUGGUCUACCAUGCUUUUGCUUUUCUACUGUCAUUGACAAAAGUUAUUUGAAAAAACAAUUUUUUUGUUUUGUUUUGUUUUUCCAAACACUUUUGAUGUUCUAGAUUUUUUUUAAUAAGUUAUUUUAAAAAAAAAAACCACAACAAUACCAAACUAGCUCUAAAGAUCAUCACACGAUCUCUUUUUUAUAAUCAUUUGUUCGUAAGAAAAAAUUUCUAUAAGAAAGUUUGAAGCAAUAUAUUGUAAUUAGCUGAAAAAACAGUACCUUUAGUCGCAGCAUAUACACUUCCAAUCCCUGCAACUGAUACACCCCAGCAAUAGAUGAUACAAAAACAAUGUUACCAGCUCCUGAAGCUUUCAGAAGAGGAUGCGCAAAUUGGGACAGAUUGUAAGCAGAUUCAAGAUUUGUAGUUGUAACAAAUGCGUAAUCUUCAGCUGUGCAAUCAACUGUUGGUUUUGAUUCGGAAGUUCCCACAUUGUUUAUCUACAGGCAAACAUUGGGGAGCACGAUGAUUAGCUAGCUGAUAGCCCAAGUGUUCAUGAAAUGCUAGAAGUGGAUUUUUAGGUUCACGUACGUAGAAGCUAAAUUCAUAAAUUAAAAAAAAGGAUAUAUAUUGCAGACAUGCUACGACUUUUUAUAUUAUUCUAGAUUAAAUUCAUGAAGUUUUUCUUGUCCGUUUUCAAAAUAAAACCAUGUAGUCCACUAUGCGUUGCUUAUAAUGGAGUUAUUGCAAUUGAGUUAGGAAAGGCACAAUAAUGACUCAUAGAAUGGAGAAAUCUCUCUAGUGUGCACCAUAUUCAAGUGGGUACUCCACAUAUCAUAAAAUAAGUGGAGAAGCAUGAAAACAUAUAUCAUUUACCCCAUUGUAUUAUGAUAUUUGGCAUGCCGCUUGAAUACCCAGCACUUUGAAGAAAAAAAAUUAUUUAGUCAAAUUAUAUAUCUUGUAAUCAACUUUUGUAUCUUAUUGUUAAUUUUGGAUACAUUGUUCAUUGUUUUCAUAUAAAACAUACACUUAUAUAUUAAUAAGGAUAAGUAUAAUAGUAUACUACAAAAUUAAUUAAAUUUAUACAUAAGCAUUAAGAAUGAACAAUAAACUGAAGGUACGCAAAAGUUAAAAAAAUAUUCGAAAACUUAUAUAAAAUAUGAAUUUUCAAAUUAUGUUCUAAAAUUUUCAUAAUUACCGAAUUCUGAUAUUUCCAAAUAUGCCUAAAAUUCUGAAUUUAAAAAUUGUAAUCCGGUCCAAUUCCGAAAUUUCGAAACGGAAAUUGAAAACAUUAUUUUCGAUCCUUGCAAAAAACACCCUACGAGCACCAAGAUGAUGAAACAUUAAAAUCCCUUCAUUAAUUAGUUAGGACUACAAAUGAAUGACAAAUUAAUUACAGGGGUACACUAGUAAUUCAACCUUAAUUUUUAAAUUGAAGAAUCCCACAUAUUGGAACAAGUUUGAAAUACUUUGGAAAAAUUUGAAUCGGAAAUUCAGAAUUCUCGAAAUCUUUAAAUGCUUUCCGAUUUUCCAAUUUUUCACAAAAUAUUCGGAUUUAGAAAUUUCAGGUUCGAAUUUGGAAAUCUUAGUGUUGGAAUUAGAAACAACAUUCUAAUUUGCAGCCCUAGAUGAUCACUUUAUAUAAAGAAAUAAUUUUUUUUUGUUUUUGCUGAUAUAUGGAAGAUAAAGUUAUUUUAAUGAAUAUAUAUCUUUCUUUUUUUUUAAUAAUUCAACAAAUUUUUUCCAAUAAAAGAAUUCCUUUAUUGAGUAUUAAGCAUGGAGGUCUGGAGGGGAACCGAACGGGAUUCUCACCUGUCUUUGAUAACAGCAUUAUCUUAUCUUUUGAAAACAGAAAUAUUAAUAUAUUAGUAUUAUCUUAUCUUUCAUAAAAGAUAAAAACAGAAAUAUUAAUAUAUUAUCAUAUCUGUUGAAAAAGCAGACUGAUAAUAUUAAAAAUAGGAUGAAAUGCCGAUUUAGUCUCUGAACUAUUACUUAAGUGAAAAUUAGAUUUCUGAAUUAUUUUUUCAGUAAAUAAAGUCUCUAAAUUCAUUAAAAAUUGCUAAUUUCAUCCCUACUAUUAUAUUCAAAGCUAUUUUGUCCAAUUUUUCUUCAACUUAAGUCACUUGACACACUUUAGAGUGUAAUACCGUCAUUUUCUUGCCUAUAAGCCCUUCACAUUUCAUAUAGGUUGUAAAUAUAACAUCUAAUUUACCCUUUAAAGUUAACUUACAUUAUUUCUUAUGAAAAACUACCAAUUUACCUUCCAAAGUUAACUCCAUACACUAUUUCUUUAUGGAAAACUACCAAUCUACCCUCUAAUGUGUAUCACAUGUAAGUAACGUGACUUAAAUUGAUGGAAAAUUGAAUAUAGUAGCUUUGAAUAUAAUAUUAUGAAUGUAAUUGGCAGAUUUUUAUAAUACAAGAACUAAUUUUUCUGAAAAAAUAAUUUAGGAACCUAAUUUUCACUGAUGUGAUAAUUCAGAGAUUAAAUUGGCAAUUCACCCUUAAAAAUAAUCUCUUUCGUUUCCCCUUUCCAUUAUCAAGCGAAAAGAAGAUAAUGCUAGUGGGAGUAUUAAUUUAAGGAAUUAUUAUUGGCAUUCUAAAAAUCUCAUUUUUCACUUCAAAUUUUCUAUAAUUAGAAAGAUAAAUACACUUGGGAGGAGUGUAUAAUAAGAUUUGUGGAGUGCUAAUAAUAGUUCCCUUAAUUUAAAUCAAAUUUGUAAUCUAUAUGACAUGGUUAGUGAUGAUUAGAUUAUACUUAACUAUUAAUUAACGUGUUUAUUUCUUAUUGGUGACACAUCACAUGGUUUGCAAAUUUGGCUAAAAAAAAUAUUAUGUACCAUUUUGUUUGACGACAACAAAGUUAAUGAGGUAUAAGUUUAUUUAUACGUGUCAAUGAAUAAUAGAGGCCAUAGAAAUGUUAUAAACAAAAUGAGUGCAUAAGAUUUGAACAAAAAUAAUUGAUCUUCCUAGUAUUACUCUUACCAAAAAAGGAAAAAUGCACAUUUUAUCUUUAGAAUUUAAAAAAAUAAAUAUUUAAAUUAAAUACUUAUAUAUAUUUAAUAUAAUUACUCAGAUAACGCCUGUAUUAAAUACAUAUAUAUUCACAAGAAACCCAACUAAACUUUAACGUAAUAAUGAAUGACUUUGGUUUCCUUUCUCUAGCUCAAGGUUUGUGCAUGCAUUGCUGAGUUUCAACUAAUAAAACAGCUAUUUACAACAAUUAAAAAAAAAAAUCUCUAAUCAAACGAAAAAUGUUAAACCUAAAACUAAUUAGUAGGUAUUUGAGUUUCAUCAUGACUUUAUUUUCUAUAAACUAUUAGUACAACAAAUUAAACUGAGAAAUUAAUUAAUAAAUAUAGAGUACUUACAAGGAUGUUAAGUUUUCCGUUAAAUUGUGAUGAGAUCUUGUUUAUUAACUCCUCCCUUUGUGCUCUUGAAGACACAUCACAGAUUGAACCAGUGACUUGAUGAAAACCCUUGGCCUUCCAUUGACUCAAGCAGUCAUCCAGCUGCCCUUGACUCCGAGAGCAAGUAUGAACAGCUGCACCUAGCCCCGCCAGUUCCUCCACAAUAGCACACCUAAUAAUAAACACAUUACGUACAUUUAUCGCAGUGUAAAGAUCCAUUACACGCUUUUCCAAAAAAAAAAAAAAAUAGAUCCAUUACACACUCAUCAAAUCUCUUCUCUCAAACUUUCUAGCAACGUUAGGUUAGACAAAGAUACACUGGUGCUCUGAAAUUUUUAACCGCCAAAUCUUAUUUUCUUUUGUUUUUACCAAAGAUCCAGCACUUAAAAGAGACAAUCCAGAGUACUGUAGAAUAUCUAGGUUAGAAAAUGGUUGUGUUGCUAGUCGCUAGAUUUGGUCAGUAAAAACGCAUAAACAUGUUUAAAUGGAAAUGUGGAACAACGGGUAUGGCCUCUGGGUAAAAAAAAACUGCCUUAUUUGUUAGGGUUGUAGAGUUCAAAAUUUGUGUCAUUGGUAUCUAUGGUAUCAAUUGAUUUUCUUGCUCUGUAUCAACCAAAAACUGGAAUGAAAUAGCAAUGUAGAUGCACUUAUCAGCUGGGAAAACACAAACGUGAGUGACAAAAAGUAAAGAGAAGACUAACCCCAUCCCUUUGGUUCCACCAGUGACAAGAGCAGUCUUUCCCUCAAGAGACCAUCUGCGACCUCUGCCAUUGAUCUCUGCAUUCGCCAUCUCUCUCUCUCUCUCUCAAUUCAUCCCACUUCCAUCCGUGCACUUUUUAUAUUAGAAAUGAACUAGUUACUUGUUAUAAUGUACCGUAAAACACGUGCUAACACAUGCAAAACACAUGAAAAGUGCAUGCGCCUAAAUUUGAGAUAUACUCUCUCUCUCUCUCUCUCUCUCUCUCUCUCUCUCUCUCUCUCUCUCUCUCUCUCUCUCUCUCUCUUACCUUUUUUGUGGGGGAUUCUAUUCUCUGCAUCACUGCAUGUAAAAUUACAACUAGAUUUUUUUGUGGGGGACUAUUCUCUGCAUCACUGCAUGUAAAAUUACAACUAGAUUUUGAAAAUUUAAAUCAUCACAACUUCAUUUACUCUAUAAUCUUGCUCAACUUAGAGAGAAAAAAUUUAAAUCUAAACCUUCCUCAUGGCGACAGUAUUAUGUGAUUAUAUGAUCAGCCUAAAUUGUCUAACAGAAGUGUUUUUAAAAGUCAUCUGAUAGAAGUGUUUCUUGAACUCAGAGCCAAGUGUGACAACUAUGUAUGUUUCAUUUUCUUUGAACCUCACACUAGCUUAUGCGUACUAAUUCAUAAUUUUUUUAUUUACGAGUUAAUUAAUUGAAUAUACAAUGUGCCAAAUAAUUAUUAUUUUUUCACUUUCUUACCUUAAUAGCACUGUGAAACUAAAUAAUUUGAAGGGGAAUAUUAGCAAGCUUAUCACUUAGAUCUUUUUUUUAUAUUUUUGGCUUUUCUUCUCAUGUUGCAAUAUUACUUGAUGAUCGAAAUAUCUAUCAUGUAGACCACUUUUUCAGAAAUAAUUCCCAUCAUGAAGCAACAUUGUAUAAUAAAAAUGAGACAUAAAAAGUAAAAUGAGAAGAUUAAAGUGAUAUAGCUCGCAUCCCUCAAAUCUAAACAACACCUUCCUGUUGAAUAAAACGUGACUAGCAUCCCUCAAAUCUGAACAGCACCUUGCUAAGCGUGACAAAUCGAAAUCGAAAUUCUACUCAAUAUCCAAUUUUUUAUUCUGGUUUUAUAGGGACAAACUAAAUCGCAUUGAUUCGCUUUGUUUAUAAAAAUCUGAUUAUGACCUGGCUGUUUAAAGAAACAAAAGAAAGAGACCCGGCUAGCUUUUUAUUCUACCGACAAAGGUCGCAAAAUCCAAUCUUCUUUUUUUAAGAGUAACGGAUCGUAACUUUUCUUUGCCAUUUCUAAUUUAGUUUAGAAAAAAACAUUGGCUCCCUUGGAAUUGCAAAAACAAUAGUAUAUAAUGUAUCAUAUAAGAGCUUUUUCAGUGUUUUUGGAAUAUAAUUGAAUAUACUAUAUGUCAUGGUAUAAAGGUGAAAUGUUUAAAAUUAUUUCUCUUACCACUUGUGUUAUGUCGUAUAUAAUGUAGUAGUUCAUGUUCUAGAAAUACUACAAAAUUCUCAUAGUAUACCAUGAUAUAUUUCUUCUCUUUCUUGAGAAGUUUUUCCAGGUACCUGUCACAUACGCUGACUGGGAAUUCCAUGAACAUUUGAUAUCUGUAUAUUUUAUUCUUGUAAAUUUAAAAAUUGACAAAUAUUUUAAAAUAAACUCAAAAAUGACAUCAAGGUCUCCCGAGCAUGACGACGACGCCGAACCACCCGCACCCACCUUCAUCACCGGUCGGUGAUUUUUCUGGCAUCAUCAUCCUUCUCCCUGUUCGACUUUCUCUUUCUUUCCUUUCCCCUCUCUCUUCUGCUCUUACCUCUACAUGGAACCCAGAGAUUGACGGCGGCAACCCAACUCAGAUAUGCUGUCGUCAAUCUCGAUCUAUCAGCCGGAGUUCGCCGACAUCGUUUUUGUUCUUACUCUGGAGCAGGAAAGAGAAGAAAUAAAAAAGGGAAGAGAGAGAGAGAAAGACAGAGAUAGGGAGAGAGAUGAUGCGGAAGGGCAGGAUGGGUGGACUGGUGGAACCGUGGAGGGAUGGAGAAUGGGUAUGGGGGAUGGGGAUGCGGAUGGGAGAUGGAGAAAUGGGUAUUUUCGAUUUGCAGGAAAGCGUUGGAGCUCACCCCACAACUUCGAUUUUUUUUUAAUUAUUUAACUAUUUUGUGAAAUGAAUAUAAGGGUAAAAUGGGUAUUUUAGUGUCACUUAAGAAGUAGAAGGAUAGGUGUCAGAUGCUUAUUAGUGGGGAACUCCAAGUCAGCAUAAUAAAUUGAUAUUAAACUCAUUAUUUCCAAGAGUUAAACUCAAAAUCUCAUUUCUUAGGUGGAUAGUACUAAUGGCGAUUAGCUUAAAAUAUGAAAGAAUGCAACACAUGAAGAAUUGGAAAUUAAGGUAUCGUUUGGUACGCAGAUGGGACGAGACGGAACCGGAUGAGACUGAACGGAAUGGGACGGGACGGGACGGGACAGGACGGGACGAAACGGAGAGGGAGCAAAGAUGCCCUCGGAUGGAAACAAAGAGGAAGAAAAAGGAGACGGAGAUUUUAUAAUUUUGUGUUCCACGGAUGUAGAACGAGUCGUUCUAGGGGUGAGGUGGAACGAAAAUUCACCCAAAAUUCGUCUCGUGGAACAGCGCGUUCCAUCCGUUUUAGGCCCACCAAACGUGAAACGGAACGCCUCGUCCCAUCCCAUUCCGUUCCUGUUCCACGUACCAAACGGUACAUAAAGAACCGUUAUUUCAAAGAUACUUUUGGAACAGGAAUACAAAUGGAAAAUAUUAGAGUGGGAGAGAACUUGUGUGUUUACAGUCCCACAUCAAGAGUGAGAUCGAUGACUUUUUGGUUUAACUUUUGGCAAAUAGAUAUGUCAUUGAGACUAUUGUCUGAAGGCAUACAAUUCUACCUUGUAUUUUUUUUAAUGCAAUCUGUUGUUAAUGGUCAAACGAUAAGUUUAAUACUCACACGAUGAUGCGUAAGAAUCUCGGCAACAGGUGGGAUGAAACUAUGCUCCGUUUGAAAAUAUUUUUUUAUUAAAAGUAUUUUUUCUUAGAAGCGGUUUUAUUUUAGGGAACUUUAACGAAAAGCACCCGGUACUAUUCACUUUAACGAACAACCACAUUUUUACACUAAAAAGUCAAUCAUGGUACUAUUCACUUUACCCUUUAUUUUGUCCUUAUCAUUAAAACUUAAAAUUUUCAAGCCCUUUUCAUUAGUUUUCUUUUUAUUUUAACCAUAUCGAAUUUUUUAAUAUAAAUACAAGUGUUUUUUUUUUGUUUUUUUUUAAGAUUUCAAAAAUUGCAUAGCACGUGCUUAAUCCAGAAAACUGUUCAAGUUCUCUUUAAACCCAGAGACAUUUUGAACUAUUUUUACUUAACAUCAUCAUAUUUAAAAGAGCUUUAGUUCUUUCAAAUACACUUUCAAUUGGAAACCGCCCCCUAUAACAAGCUAGACAUAUGAAGUUAUGAGAAUACUUGAAGAGCAAGUUGUCCAAAUCAUCUUUAGGUAAUCUUUGGAGGGGUCAGUUGAUGUUGCUUAAAGGGUUUUUGUAACAUCUCUCGUCUAAGUUCACCUCAGCACUUAAGUUUAGUUAUUUUUUAAUCUUUAAUUGCACGAAAAGAAAAAAAAGGACAUAUUACAUUAACGUAAUAAGCAAUGGUGAAGUUAGAAUUUUCAAAUAAUAGGAUCAUUAUAUCAACUAAAAAAGCUUCAUUGGACUAUUUCAUCAAGCACCUAGUAGGCAUCUACCAAUGCCUACCAACACAUACUAAAAGCUUAGGCUAACGUAUGUCGACAACUACUAUUAUUUUAUAGGCUUGUCAAUGGUGAAUGCAAGAUACCGCGGAGUAAUGUUGAAGAUUGUUAAGGCUUGUCAACUAAGAUAUUUCAUCGAGCACAUGAUGGUCACAAUAGAGUCGCACACAAGAAGAGAGAAGGAAGACAAAUGUGAUAGAAUAAAGUAGAAAAAAAAAAAGUGGGAGGAGGAGGUUGUAAAUUUUGUUUGCCUUAGUUGUUUAUAGGGGUCAAAUACAAUACACAAACAAAUAUACAUGAAGGUUUUUAAGUUGUUGAUAUCAAGAGCAACCAAUGAUCCUAUGUUGACUUUGUCUAGUACGACCUAAUGCUUGAAGUUCGAACAUGUUAUAGAAGCAUUUUUUAUUGUUCUGAUCAUACAUGUCGAUCAUUUUCAAUGAACUGGCGAUCUCGAUGGUGCUCUUUGGAGGAUGUUGGAGUCUUCUCUUCAUCAGGUUUGGAGGCCGUGUUUGGCGUGAUCUCAGGCAUCUGUUGGGACGAUGGUUCGAGAUGGUUGGUUGGUGGCGUUCUGGCGGUUGCGGAGGGUAGCAAGUUGCUGGAGUUUGUUGCGGUUUUUUCUUUUAUGGUGGCCUCACACUUUUGUUUUGGGCCAUUUUUGCUUUACUCUGGAGGUCCACGUCUAUGUUGUGUGCUUAUUGUGAUUGAGUCUCUUUCUUUGUAAGGCUUUUUAUUCAAAAUGGUUCAUGAGAUUUGCAUCAUCCAUAAGUUUGGUCCUUAAGAUUUAAAAUCAAUAGAAGUAGCCCUGAGAUUGUCCACCAUCCAUGAUUUUGGUCCUUCCGCUGAAGCUUUUGGCCGGAAGUUUGGGCAAUUUUUAAAGCUUCGUAACUCAAUCGUUUCUUAACCAAAUUCGACCCAUAAUAUAUCAAAAUGAAAAUAGGAAAGUGUAAAAUAAGAUUAUAUCUAUUUGGAAGCUCAAUGAUUGCCAGAGAUGGUCAGAAAAUAGCCUCAAAGUUGACUGGUCCGAAGAAAAACUGAAAAACUUGCCGGUAACUUGCCGAAAAUUAGGUAAACUUUAAACGUUCAUAACUUCUUCAAUACUCAACGAAAUCAAGUGAUUCAAAAACAAAAAUCAUACUUUUCAACGAGAAGAAGAGAAUGUUACCUUUUUCAACGGCUAACUUGUCGUGGUUUGGCCGUAAAAUGGCUCGAAAGUGUCUGUUGAAAAGGGUACCAUUCUCUUCCUCUCGUCGAGAAGUAUGAUUUUUGUUUUUGAAUCACUUAAUUUUGUUGAGUAUUGAAGAAGUUAUGAACAUUUAAAGUUUACCCAGUUUCCGGCGAGUUUUCCAGUUUUCCCUCAGACCAGUCAACUUUGAGGCUAUUUUCCGACCAUCUCUGGCAACCAUUGGGAUUCCAAAUAGAUAUAAUCUUAUUCUAUACUUUCUUAUUUUCAUUUUGAUAUAUUACAGGUCGAAUUUGGUUAAGAAAUAAUUGAGUUACUAAGCUUUGAAAAUUGCCCCAACGUCUGGCCAAAAGCUUCAACGGAAGGACCAAAAUCAUGGAUGGUGGACAAUCUUAGGGACCAAACUUAUGGAUGAUGCAAAUCUCAAAGACCAUUUUGAAUAAAAAGCCUCUUUGUAAUUAUAUUGUCUUGGUAAUGAUUUUAUCCUUUAAACAAACCAAAAAAUAAAAAAAAUAAAAAAUCCAGGCUUGGAAGCUCUUCUACUAGAGUGAAACGAAAUGUCAAUAUACCAUAUGGUUGGCAAUCUUUUACUUAUUUAAUUAGAAAUUAAUGUCACCUAUUUUCAAAUACAAUUAAAGCACACCACUUUGGAAUUAGAUACGAGAUUUUAUUUUUCCAGACCUGCAACACUGUCUCUAUGACUGCAUAUGCAAUUAUGUAUACAUGCAUAACUGUUUCCAAGUCAUGCUCCUUGGAAGAGCAAGCCAUUGACGGUCACCCCGCCGUCUACGAUAAUAGUCUGCCCAGUAAUGUAAGAGGCUGCAGGUAGGCAUAGAAAUGCUACCAAGGAAGACACCUCCUCUGGCUCUCCAGGACGUCUUAAAGGGCAUCGAGAGUUUAUCAUCUCCAAUUUCUUUUCAUUUCGGAGAACCUGCAUGCAUAGAAGAGAUAAUGGAUGAAAAGAGAAUGGAUGUGUAGGACACAUAUAUUAGCGACGAUCUUAAAAAUUGGUCAAGCUAUUCGUAAACAAAUUAAUUAAGACUAGAUGUAUGAUCUAAACUUGCUGUAAACUUUUCACCGAAAAACUUGCUGUAAACAAGUCAGGUCUAAGAACCUAUACAGACAUAUGGACUUUCGGCAAAACCCAACUUUUUAUUCUAAUUUUGACCAUAGGUUUUUGGCAGACUCAUUAACGAAAUACGGAUUAGCUUGAAGUUAUGAGAUGAUUGUAAUAUAAGAAGUUAAAACAAUUCACUCAUGUAUCUUAAAUGUGGUUUUGAUUUUCUUGCCGCUACAUCGAUUGUAUUUAAAAAAAAUAAAAAUAAAAGGCAUGCACAAGAACGUGAUCCAAAUAAUCUUACAGGUUCAGAGAGGGGAGUCGUGAUGAACCAAGGCGCCACACUGUUGGUCCUUAUAUUAUCCUUCGCCCACUCACAUGCUAAGUUUUUUGCUAACUGAUUCAUUGCGCCUGAGAUGCAAUAAAGAAAAGCCACACUUUGGUCUAACAUUAAAAAUACACACCAAAAACAGCGUAAUCAAAUUUUAGGUUAGUCUAAAAGUGAUAUAAACAAUGUAUGAUACUUUUCAAUUUUUUAAUCUGAUUUAAGGUGUUAGUCUAAAAGUGAUAUUUAGAUUUGAAUGAAUUUUUAACUAAGUAUAAACAGUAUAUGAUACUUUUCAAUUUUUAAUAAAAGUCGAAAUCUAUAUAAGAAAAUUAACUAUAAGCACCUUUAGCAGCAGAAUAUAUAGAUGCACCAUUUAUUGAGACCACACCAGCAGUAGAGGACAGAAAAACAAUGUUAGCAGCUCCUGCAGCUUUGAGAAGAGGAUGUGAAAGUUGGCAAAAGUUGUAAGCGGAUUCAAGAUUGGUACUCAUUAUGAAUGAGUAAUCUUCGGCUGUGUACUCUACCGUUGCUUUCGCUUCGACAAUCCCCACAUUGUUUAUCUAUAACAAGACAUUAUUGAAAAGGUUUAGCAUAGCAUAACGAUUUUAGUUUAUAUGUAUUAUUGAAAAAUACAUGAAAAUUAUGUGUAUUAAACGUAAAAAAGUACAUCUUUGAGUUUUAAAAAACGUACAAUUUUACAAAUUAUUGAAAUUUGAAAUGUGUACAACAAACAUAAUUAUUUAUGAGAGGAUGUUUAGUUUGUCUUGAAAGUGUGAUGAUGGUUAUUCAUGAUUCAUGCACAUAUGUUGUUUCAACUGAUCAGUCUUCUACUUACAAGGAUGUUGAGUUUGCCAUCAAAAAGUGAUGAGACCUUGUUUAUAAGCUCCUCUCUUUGGGUUUUUGACACCACAUCACAGACUGAGCCAGUGACUUGAAAACCCUUCUUCUCCCACUGACUCAGGCAGUCAUUAAGGUCAACUUCAUUUCGGGAACAAGUAUGCACAAUUGCACCCAGCCCUGCCAAUUCCUCCACUAUCGCAUACCUAAAUAAAACUUUACUAAUUUAACAUAGAGCAAUACAAAAUAAUUCAAACCCAUAAUUCUAAAACAGAAGAAAACACGGGACAAGUGGAGAAAUAAAGAGAAUAUUGCAUUGGAUGUAUAGGAAAAUUAAAACUAACAGAAGAUUAAUGUUCUUAAGUAUCCAAAUUUAGAGAAGCUAACCCAAUUCCUUUGGUUCCACCGGUGACAAGAGCUGUCAUUCCACGUAGAGACCAUGUCCUCUCUCUGCUAUUCAUCUCUAUCUGCUCUCUAAUCUUCCUGUCUGCUCUCUAAUCUAUCUUUAUGCAAAUACUUUGUGGUUUCGGUUAUAUUUCUUUUCGAUAGGAUAACUAUUGUAUAUUUUGGCGGCCAGGGAAAGGUACGCGUGCCAUCUGUUCAUUCAGCAACUUGCAACAUUUUGGUUGCUUGUUUUGACGUGGCAAACUAAUGCAAAUUGAUUGUCCAAUUUGAAUUUGACUAAAUUAUAUUUCAUCCAAUUUCAACAUCUUACAAUGACUGUCUAUUUCAUACAACUUUCGAUUCAAUCGUUACACAGUGAUUCAAUAAUUCAGGACGAAUUCUAAUCUCAUAUUCUAUAAAGCUCGUUUUGAAUUUGAUUCGUGACACCGAUGAAUUAUACACUAUAAAGAAUUGAAGUUUAAAGAACACUAUUUCAACAAACUUUUGGAACUAGAAAGCAAAGAUACUUUUGGAGCUAGAAACAAAUGGAAGGUAUUACGGUUCGUCCUGAACGAGAUCGAUGUCUUUUCGGUUAAUUUUUCAGCAAAUAGACAUGUCAUUGAGAGUAUUGUUUAAACCCAUAAACAUUUUGAACUAUUUUUACUUAACAUCAUCAUAUUUAAAAGGGCUUUAGUUAUUUCACUAGCACUUUCAAUUGGAAACCGCCCCCUGUAACAAGCUAGACAUAUGAAGUUAUGAGAAUACUUAAAGAGCAAGUCGUCCAAAUCAUCUUUAGGUAAUCUUUGGAGGGGUCAGUUGAUGUUGCUUAAAGAGUUUUUGUAACAUUUCUCGUCUAAGUUCACCUCAGUACUUAAGUUUAAUUAUUUUUUAAUCUUUAAUUGUACGAAAAGAAAAAAAAGGGACAUAUAACAUGAAUGUAGGGUCAUCAUAUCAACUAAAAAAGCUUCAUUGGAGUAUUUCGUCGAGCACCUAGUAGGCACCUACCAAUUCCUGCCAACAUAUACCGAAAGCUUAUGCUAACGUAUGUCGACAACUAUUAUUAUUGUAGAGGCUUGUCAAUGGUGGAUGCAAGAUGCCGUGGAGUAAUGUUGAAGAUUGUUAAGACUUGUCAACUAAGGUAUUUCAUUGAGCACAUGGUGGUCACAAUAGAAUCACACAAGAGGAGAGAAAGAAGACAAAUGUGAUAGAAUAAAGUAGAAGAAGUAGGAGGAGGAGGUUGUAAAUUUCGUUUGCCUUAGUUGUUUAUAGGGGUCAAAUAUAAUACGCAAACAAAUAUACAUGAAGGUUUUUAACUUGUUGGGUCAAGAGCAACCAAUGAUCUUAUGCUGACUUUGUCACUGAUAAUAAGAUCCCUGUCUUAAUUUUUUGCUAAGAACAUAAAAAAUCUUGUAUCGUUGAGUAUUGAUAGGAACAUGUCAUCAGCCUUGUUGUAUCUUUGAGGGGCCAAGGAAAAAGAUGAUGUGCAAUGCUUCUUGAGGAGUUUUGUUGUUUCUCAAUAAAAUCUAGUCAUUUGAAUUUCUUGCUUCUAGUACUACCUAAUGCUUGAAGUUUGAACAUGUUAUAGAAGCAUUUUUUAUUGUUUUGAUCAUACAUACAUGUCGAUCAUUUUCAAUGAACUGGCGAUUUCGGUGGUGCUCUUUGAGAUGUUGGAGUCUUCUCUUCAUCAGGUUUGGCGUGAUCUCAGGCGUUUGUUGGUGGCGUUCUAGCGGCGGCGAAGGGUAGCAAGUUGCUAGGGUUUGUUGCGGUUUUUUUCUUUUGGGUGGUCUCAAACUUUUGUUUUGGGCCAUUUUUGCUUUACUCUGGAGGCCUACAUCUAUGUUGUGUGCUUAUUGUGAUUGAGCUUCUUUCUUUGUAAUUAUGUUGUCUUGAUAAUAAUUUUAUCCUUUAAAUAAACAACAAAAAAAAAUUUUCCAAACUUGGAAGCUCUUCUACUAGAGUGAAACGAAAUGUCAAUAGACCGAAUGGUUGGCAAUCUUUUAUUUACAUAUUAAAUUAUAAAUUAAUGUCACCUAUUUUCACAUACAAUUAAAGCACACCACUUUAGAAUUAGAUACGAGAUUUUAUUUUUCCAGACCUGCAGCACUGUCUCUACGACUGCAUAUGCAAUUAUGUAUCCAUGCAGAACUGUUUCCAAGUCAUGCUCCUUGGAAGAGCAAGCCAUUGACGGUCACCCCGCCGUCGACGAUAAUAGUCUGCCCAGUAAUGUAAGAGGCUGCAGGUAGACAUAGAAAUGCUACCAAGGAAGACACCUCCUCUGGCUCUCCAGGACGUCCUAAAGGGCACCGAGAGUUUAUCAUCUCCAAUUUCUUUUCAUUUCGGAGAAACUGCAUGCAAAGAAGAGAUAAUAGAUGAAAAGAGAAUGGAUGUGUAGGACACAUGUAUUAGCGACGAUCUUAAUAAUUGGUCAAGUUAUUCGUAAACAAAUUAAUUAAGAUUAGAAGUAUGAUCUAAACUUGCUGUAAACAAGUCAGGUCUAAGAACCUAUACAUGAAUAAACAAGACAUAUGGACUUUUGGCAAAACCCAACUUUUUAUUCUAAUUUCAAUUAUGGGCUUUUGGCAGAAUCAUCAACGAAAUACGAAUUGGCUUGAAAUUAUGAGAUGAUUGUAAAUAUAAGAUGUUAAAAGAAUUCACUCAUGUAUCUUAUAUGUAGUUUUGAUUUUCCUGCCGCAACAUCGAUUGUAUUUAAAAAUAAAUAAAAAUAAAAUGCAUGCACAAGAACGUGAUCCGAAUAAUCUUACAGGUUCAGCGAGGGGAGUCGUGAUGAACCAAGGUGCCACACUGUUGGUCCUUAUGUUAUCCUUCGCCCACUCACAUGCUAAGUUUUUUGCUAACUGAUUCAUUGCACCUGAGAUACAGUAAAGAAAAGCCACACUUUGGUCUAACAUUAAAAAUCACACACCAAAAACAGCGUAAUCAAAUUUUAGGUUAGUCUAAAAGUGAUAUAAACAAUAUAUGAUACUUUUAAAUUUUUUAAUCUGAUGUAAGGUGUUAGUCUAAAAGUGAUAUAUUUUUUUCAAAGAAUUGAAUGAAUUUUUAACUAAUUAUAAACAAUAUAUGAUACUUUUCAAUUUUUAAUAAAAGUCGGAAAUCUAUAUAAGGAUUAACUAUAAGCACCUUUAGUGGCAGAAUAUAUAGAUUCACCAUCUAUUGAGACCACACCAGCAGUAGAGGACAAAAAAACAAUGCUAGCAGCUCCUGCAGCUUUGAGAAGAGGAUGUGAAAGCUGGCAAAAGUUGUAAGCAGAUUCAAGAUUGGUACUCAUUAUGAAUGAGUAAUCUUCAGCUGUGUACUCUAGCGUUGCUUUCGUCAAGCUAGUCCCCACAUUGUUUAUCUAUAACAAGACAUUAUUGUAAAGGUUUAGCAUAACAUAACGAUUUUAGCUUAUAUGUAUUAUUGAAAAAUGCAUGAAAAUUAUGUGUAUUAAACGUAAAAAGUACAUAUAUACGUGUACACAUUUUUGAGUUUUAAAAAACUUACAAUCUUACAAAUUAUUGAAUUUUGAAAUGUGUACAACAGAGUUAUUUACGAGAGGAUGUUUAGUUUGUCUUGAAAGUGUGAUGAUGAUUCAUGAUUCAUCCACAUAUCUUAUUUCGUCCUGGUUUGGUACUGAGGUGAUUCUGAAAAAAGUAGAUAUCAAAAAAAGUUCCCAGCUUUUUUAUGUUUGGUAAACAUUCAGCUUCAACUUUUUUUCACAGUUUUGGGUGAAAAAAAACCAAAAACACAAAGCUGCAAAACCUAGCUUUGAAAAACCAGUUUUUUUUUCACAUCUGUUUUACAUAAAAGUUUAUCAAACACUAUAAUAUUGUUUUUUUUUUUAAAAGUACUUUUACAAAAAAGUUUACCAAACACUCUACUGCUUUAUUUUACAGUUGCUUAUUCUCACAGCAUAGCAGAAACAAUUUUUUUCAAAACACAACAAUACCAAACCAGCCCUUCAACUGAUCAAUCUUUACUUACAAGGAUGUUGAGUUUGCCAUCAAAAAGUGAUGAGACCUUGUUUAUAAGCUCCUCUCUUUGGGUUUUUGACACCACAUCACAGACUGAGCCUGUGACUUGAAAACCCUUCUUCUCCCACUGACUCUGGCAGUCAUUAAGGUCAACUUCUUUCGGGAACAAGUAUGCACAAUUGCACCCAGCCCUGCCAAUUCCUCCACUAUCGCAUACCUAAAUAAAACUUUACUAAUUUAACAUAGAGCAAUACAAAAUAAUUCAAACCCAUAAUUCUAAAACAGAAGAAAACAUGGGACAAGUGGAGAAAUAAAGAGAAUAUUGCAUUGGAUGUAUAGGAAAAUUGAAACUAAAAGAAGAUUAAUGUUCUUAAGUAUCCAAAUAUAGAAGCUAACCCAAUUCCUUUGGUUCCACCGGUGACAAGAGCUGUCAUUCCACGAAGAGACCAUCUCCUCUCUCUGCUAUUCAUCUCUAUCUGCUCUCUAAUCUAUCUUUAUGCAAAUACUUUGUGGUUUUUAUUAUAUUUCUUUUCGAUAGGAUAACUAUUGUAUAUUUUGGCGGCCAGGGAAAAGUACGCGUGCCAUCUAUUCAUUCAGCAACUUGCAACAUUUUGUUUGCUUGUUUUGGCGUGGCAAACUAUGCAAAUUGAUUGUCCAAUUUGAAUUUGACUAAAUUAUAUUUCAUCCAAUUUCAACAUCGUUCAAUGACUUUCUAUUUCAUACAACUUUCGAUUCAAUCGUUCAAUAGUUCAGUACGAAUUCUAAACUCGUAUUCUAUAAAGCUCGUUUUGAAAACUUGAUUCGUGACACUAAUGAAUUAUACACUAUAAAGAAUCAAAGUUUAAAGAACACUAUUUCAACAAACUUUUGGAACUAGAAAGCAAAGAUACUUUUGGAGCUAGAAAACAAAAGGAAGGUAUUACGGUUCGUCCUGAACGAGAUCGAUGUCUUUUUGGUUAAUUUUUCAGCAAAUAGACAUAUCAUUGAGAGUAUUGUUUAUAGGCAUACAAUUCUUCUUGCUCCACAUUUUUUAAGGUUAAAUUACAUUUUACCCCAUCAAGUAUGGUAUAAAUUACAACCUUAUACAACAUCUUUAAAACAUUUCAAUUUCAUACAUUUAAUUAUAUUUUAUUUUCAGUUUUAUACAUCCGUUAAAAUAUCUGUUAAGUCAACCGUUACAUGAUAAUGUGGUAAAUGAUGACAUGAUUCUCAACUUUGCACCAUGUGAAUAAGAAAAUAAUAAAAAAGGAUUAUUUAAUAAAAAAUCAAUUUAUAUUAUAAUUAAAAACAAACAAAAAUUGAAAAGGGCAUCUGGGCAAUCACCCUCUUCCUCCUCCAGCACCACCACCAACGCACCUACGAAACCCUAGCCGUAAAGAGAAACGCGCACAGCUUCCAUCUCUCUAUCGGCAUAGCCCCAUGUACGAUCAGCCAUGGGCAAAUUUCACGGAUCGUUCGCACAUGCCCUUAUCCAUUCACGCAAGGACCUGCAACCAGAUAUCGACCCGCUACUGAAACCCAGACCAUAAAUCUGAUUGAAGCCCAAACCACUGCCGCACCUGAUCGAUUCUGAACCACGAAUCUGUUCUGAACCACCGCUACGAUAUUAGACCCGAUGAACCACAAAGAGCUGCCAUUUGAUUGUCGCGAUGACCUCUGCCGCAAUCUGUUUGAACCACCGCACCGCGCCCAGACCCCUGCAUCCACAAGCCCGACCUGCUUGCCUCGAGCAGAUGUAACCAAAAAAGCCGGUACCCUUACCAUAUUUGUACUGCACCUGCAUCCACUAGCACCGUCUAGCGCCUGUAUCAAGCCAAAUCCUCAUUUAUUUUCUAUUUUCGUGGUGAAAGGGGGCUUCAAGCCCAGAUCCUAUUUCGUCAAUUUUAAAUGGAGUUGAAAUGAAAUUUUCAAAAUCUUUACAAUUUUUUAAAUUUGCAAAUCAAAGGAAUUCAUAAAAUGAACACAAUUUCAUCAAUUUGGAGCUUUUGAAGUUGUUAAGGGUUGAAGAGGAGGAGGAAAACGAGUUUGGAGAAAGAAAGGCGGCGAGGUUGCUCGAGAAGAUGUAGGGUGGGGUGGGGGGGGAGGUUGCGGGGGAGGUGGGGGGUGGGGCGGGAAGGGUGGGUUUGGGUUGCGGGGAAGGGGAAGGGGGGCGGUUGCGGGUGGUUUUUUUGGAUGGGAGGGUAGGUGAAGAGAGUCGAGGAGAGGAAGAAGGUAGGUGGGGAAGAUGGGUUUCAGUUUUUUUUUUAUUUUUUAAGUGUAAAUUAUUAUAUUUUAAAUGCAUAAAAAAUUAAUUUGUUUGUCAUGGCAUAAAUUUAGCAAUCAUGUCAGCAUAAAUGUAGAUCUCAUAUUUGUCACGUCAUCAUUUAAUUGUAUAUAUGAAAUUGAUAUAAAAUGAUAAGUAGAUGCAUGAAAUUAAAAUGUUUGUAAGAUAACAAUAUAUAUGAAAUUGAAAUAAAAUGAUAAGUAAAUGUAUGAAAUUAAAAUAUUUUAAAAAUAUUGUAAGAAGUUACAAUCGAUCUCAAACUUAAAGAGAUAAAAUGUAAUUUUUUUUUUUAAUGCAAUCUUGUUAAGGGUCACAGAAUGAGUUAAAUAUUCCCACGACUAUACGUAAGAAUCUCGGUCUGAUGGGAUGAAAAUAUGGCUCCCUUUGAAAGUAUUUUUUUUUUUUUUUUACAUUGCGUAGCAUGUUUGUCUUCCGCAAAACACUUCCAAGUAUCUUUUAAACCAAAAACAUUUUAAACUAUUUUUACUUAACAUUAUCAUGUCUCUGCAAUUGCUUUAGUUAUUUAAACAGCAUUUCGAAUUGGAAACAGGCUCUACAACAAGCUAGACAUAUGAAGUUCUGAGAAUAGUUGAUAAGCAAGUUGUCCAAACCAUAUUUAUGUAAUCUUUGGAGGGUUCAGUUUAAAGCAUUUUUCUGACAUCUAUCAUCUAAGUUCACCUCACCACUUAAAUUAAUUAUUUUUUAAUUUUUAAUUGAACGAAAAGUAAAAAAGGGGCAUAUUACAUGAAACGUAAUAAGAUUCCUAUCUAAUUUUUUUUCCAAGAACCAAAAAAAAAAUUACUUGUAUCGUUGAGCAUUGAUAGAGAUAUGCCGUCCAGUAAUCCAGAAAAUUAAUUUUAUGAUCAGCCAUGUAAGGAAAACGAUGAUGUGCAAUGCUUCUUGAGGAGUUUUGUUGCUUCUCAAUAAAAUCUAUUUAUUUGAAUUUCCUGCUUCUACUACUACCUAUUGCUUGAAGUUUGCAUAGAUUAUAGAAGCAUUUUUUAUUGUUCUAAUCAUACAUGUCGAUCAUUUCCAAUUAACUGGCGAUCUUGGUGGUGUUGUUUGGAGGAUGUCGCAAUCUUCUCUCCAUCCAGUUUGGGGGUUGUGUUUAGCCGAUCUCAGGCGUCUGUUGGGAACGAUGGUUUGAGAUGGUGGGUUGGUGGCGUUUUGGCAGUGGAGUAGCAAGUUGCUAGGAUUUGUUGCGGUUUUUUUGUGCUCAAACCUUUGUUUUGGGCCAUUUUUGCUUUUACUUUGAAGGUUGAGUUGAAUAUCAGAGUGCGCAACGAACAAGACUAACAAGAAUAAUAAGAAUAUUAUUAAACUAACUGAUAAUGCCGGAACGGCUACAAAACCCUAAGAGACUAAUAACUUGUUAUUUCUAUAGAGUUACAAAGUACCAUAUAUAUAGAAAAGUAAUCUAACCCUAAUAGACAAGAAAACGAAACCCUAAUUCUAACGGGCUAAGCCCAAAAUACCAAACAUUAAAAUAAAUCUAAAUAAUAAUAUUUUCCAAGACCCCCGUCAAACUCAUGGCGGUACACGACAUGAGUUUGCUAAAAUAGAUGUGGAUGCAAGACUUCAAAUUCCAGUGCUAAUGCCGAUGUCGAUGGCAAUGCUAAUGUCGAUGUCGAUGCCGAUUUCCAAUGCCAAAUUCCAAUACCAUGCCCAAUGCCAAGUUCCAAUACCAUACCCAAUGCAAGAAUACACGGGCAACAAAACCUCAAAACAACCAAAUUUUUUUUUCCUUCCUUCUCCCCCCCCCCCCUUUUUGUUUUCCUUCCUUCGUCCUUCCUUUUUUUUCUUAUGUGCGAACCAACCAGCAACAUCAGCCUUUCUUUUUUUUUUUUUUCACAGGUGUACGGUUGUGGACGGAUCCAGAUGCAAGGUGGGGCUGGGGAAUGCAGAAAUCCUAGUGCGAUGAAGCAUUUUCAAAUUUGGGUGUGAGACAAAUUCACCAAAUUCUUUUUUUUUUCAAAAACAGAAUUUUUUUUCCUUUCUUGAAGACUACCAAGGACAAACUGAAAACCAAACCAGAAAACGUAAAAAAUCUACGAAUGGAAACUGGAAAGAAAUAAAACUGAUACGAACAAACAGAAGUAGAUUAGAUCCCGAAGAAUCAAACAUGCUCUAAAACCAAGUUGAAUAUCAGAGUGCAACAAGACUAACAAGAAUAAUAGGAAUAUUAUUAAAUUAACUGAGAAUGCAGGAACGGCUACAAAACCUAAGAGACUACAUUGUGAAUAAUUUGUUAUUUCUAUAGUGUUACAAAAUACCAUAUAUAUAGAAAAGUAAUCUAACCCUAAUAGGCAAGGAAACGAAACCCUAAUACUAACGGGUUAAGCUCAAAAUAUCAAAUAUUAAAAUAAAUCUAAAUAAUAAUAUUUUCCAACCGGUUCAUAUUUGCGUUGUGUGCUUAUUGUAAUUGAAUUUCUUUCUUUGUAAUUUUGUUGUCUUGGUAAAAAUUUUACUCUAAAAAAAAUCGAGGCUUGAAAGCUCUUCCAAUAGAGCGCUACUAAAUGUCAAUAGACCAAAUGUUUGGCAAUCUUUUAUUUUCUUAUUUAAUUAGAACAUUAAUGAUGUCACCUAUUUGCACAUACAAUAAAAGCACACCACUUUGGAAUUAUUAAAUACGAGAUUUUUUUUUAGAACUGUUUCCAAGUUAUGCUCCUUGGAAGAGCAAGCCAUUGACGGUCACCCCGCCGUCGACGAUAAUAGUCUGCCCAGUAAUGUAAGAGGCUGCAGGUAGGCAUAGAAAUGCUACCAAGGAAGACACCUCCUCUGGCUCUCCAGGACGUCCUAAAGGGCACCGAGAGUUUAUCAUCUCCAAUUUCUUUUCAUUUCGGAGAAUCUGCAUGCAUAGAAGAGAUAAUGGAUGAAAAGAGAAUGGAUGUGUAGGACACAUAUAUUAGCGACCAUCUUAGUAAUUGGUCAAGCCCUUCGUAAACAAAUUAAUUAAGACUAGAAGUAUCAUCUAAACUUGCUGUAAACUUUUCACCCAGAAACUUGCUGUAAACAUGUCAGGUCUAAGAACCUAUACAUGAAUAAAAACAAAAGACAUAUGGACUUUUGGCAAAACCCAACUUUUUAUUCCAAUUUCGACUAUGGACUUUUAGCAGACUAAUAAAUGAAAUACGGAUUGGCCUGAAGUUAUGAGAUGAUUGUAAUAUGAUGUGUGAUAUUCACAUACUUUUUUUUACUUCUUACACAUCAUUUUAAUUUGCGACCGUCGAAUCGGAUAAAUUAAAAAAAGAUUAAAGAACAUAAAUCCAUAAGAGGUGUGUUGAUAGCACACCCCUUGUAAUAUAAGAAGUUCAAAGAAUUCACUCAUGUAUCUUAAAUGCGGUUUUGAUUUUCCUGCAGCAACAUCUGUUGUAUUUAAAAAAAGGAAAAUAAAAGGCAUGCACAAGAACGUGAUUAGAAUAAUCUUACAGGAUCAGUGAGGGGAGUCUUGAUGAACCAAGGUGCCACACUGUUGGUCCUUAUGUUAUCUCUCGCCCACUCACAUGCUAAGUUUUUUGCUAACUGAUUUAGUGCACCUGAGAUACAAUAAGAAAAGCCACACUUUGGUCUAACAUUUAAAAUCACACACCAAAAAUAUUGUAAUCAAAUUUUAGGUGCUUCUCAUCUCAACCUCUUUUGAAACUAGCCACUCCUCUUUUCUCCUCUUACCAAACCCUGAAUUUUCAAACUCCAUAGUUGCCGGCCUCUUGAUUCGACUGGAGGCCGAUGGCAAUCCCUCUCCCCAUUUUUCUAGCCUCUCUUCUUUAUCUUUUCAUAGAUUGUUGCUUAUUUAUUUACGUCUUAGUAUUUUUAUUAAUAAGUGUCUUUUUGGUGAGAUUUUUUGUGGGUAUUUCUUAAUGAGUGUUUUAAGUUGAUAUGGGUGCAGACCCUUUAAGGGAAGAGAUCCCUAUUUAAAAAAAAAAUGGGGCUCCCUCUUGACCAUUAUAUCUGACUUUAAUGAAAUUCUGUGGUUGAGAUUAAAUCACAGGCCACAGAAUUUCAUUAAAGUUAAAUCUAACGGUUAAGAGGGUGUCCCUAUUUUUUUUUUUGGAAAAUAGGGAUCCCUUCCCUUAAAGGCUUUCUAUAUAGGUGGGUAUCGGCUCAUUUUGUGUCUACUUUUUUGGAGUUGGUUUGCUGCAUGUCUUGCGCACAAAGUUCAUGUUGCGCACAAAAUUAGUUUUUAAUCUUAUAUAAAGUAUUAGUCUAAAAGUGAAUUUUUUAAGGAUUUGAAUGAAGUUUUUUUUUUUUAAAUUUUUUAAUUUACAAAUUAUAAACAAUAUAUGUUUAUUUUUUUUAUUUUUAUAAAGGUCAAAAUUAUAAAAGGAAAUUAACUAUAAGCACCUUUAGUGGCAGAAUAUAUAGAUCCAACAUCAAUUGAGACCACACCAGCAGUAGAGGACAAAAAAAUGAUGUUAGCAGCUCCUGAAGCUUUGAGAAGAGGAUGUGAAAGUUGGCACAAGUGGUAAACAGAUUCAAGAUUGGUACUCAUUACGAAUGAGUAGUCUUCAGCUGUGUACUCUAGCGUUGCUUUCAGUAUGCUAGUCCCCACAUUGUUUAUCUAUAACAAGAUAUUACUGGAAAGGUUUAGCAUAACAUAACGUUUUAGCUUGUAUGUAUUAUUGAAAAAAGCAUGAAAAUUACGUGUAUCAAUUGUAAAAAAUACAUACGUAAGUGUACAUCUUUGAGUUAAAAAAAAGUACAAUUUUACGAAUUAUUAAAACGUUUAUAGCAAACAGAAAUAUUUACGAGGAUGUUUAGUUUGUUAUGAAAACGUGAUGAUGAUUAAUGAUUCAUGCAUAUAUGUUAUUUCAAUUGAUCAGUCUACUACUUACAAGGAUGUUAAGUUUGCCUUCAAAAAGUGAUGAGACCUUAUUUAUAAGCUCCUCUCUUUGGGUUUUAGACACCACAUCACAGACUGAGCCAGUUACUUGGAAACCCUUCUUCUCCCACUGACUCAGGCAGUCAUUAAGGUCAGCUUCAUUUCGGGAACAAGUAUGCACAAUUGCACCCAGCCCUGCCAAUUCCUCCACUAUAGCAUACCUAAAUAAACACUUCACUAAUUUAGCAUAGAAUUGUAAAAAAUAAUUCAAACCCAUAAUUCUGAAACAGAAAAAAACAAGGGACAAUUGGACGGAUAAAGAGAAUAUUGUAUUGCGUGUUUAAGAAAAAUUGAAACUAAAAAAAAGAUUAACGUUCUUAAUUAUCCAACUUUAGAGAAGCUAACCCAAUUCCUUUGGUUCCACCAGUGACAAGAGCUGUCAUUCCACGAAGAGACCAUCUCCUCGCUCUGCUAUUCAUCUCUAUCUGCUCUCUAUUCUCCCUGUCUGCUCUCUGCAAAUACUUAGUGGUUUAUAUUUUAUAUUUCUAAUCGAUAAUGAUUAUAAGUCUUAUUUUGGUGGCCAGGGAAAAGUAAGCGUGCCAGCCGCCUACAAAUAGUUUCUCCUCAGCAACUUGCAACUUUUUCUUGUUUUUUUGGAAACUAGCAACUUGCAACUUUCAACUUUUUGUUUGCUUGUUUUGAUAUGGCAAAGUAUGCAAAUUGAUUGUUCUUCAAUUUGAAUUUGACUAAAUUAUAUUUCAUCCAAUCGUACAAUGUCAUUCAAUUACACACAACCUCCAAUCCAAUCGUUACAACCUCCAAUCCAAUCGUUACAAGUACAAUAAUUGAGGAUAAAUUUCAGAUUCAUAUUUCACACAACACGUUUGGAAUUCGAUUGCAUGCGUUGAUGAAUCACACAAUGGUGGCCAAAGAGAAGUUGAAAUGUCACCAAGUGCUUAUCUUUUAAAAGAUUAAUAAAAUACAACCUCUGAUUUGGUACUAAUGUCAUACAAUCGUUAGUCAAUCUGUCAAAUAAGUCAUUAGGUGAUGAUGUGACAAGUGCAGCUCACAUUUUGUUAACUUUUGAGUCCAAAUUUGUGCCCCAUGGUUAAAGCAAAUUAAAAGAAAAAAUAAUAAUUAUUAAUAAUGUAAAAAUUAGAAAUCAUUUUUUUUUUAAAGGAGUACACUAUUCAUUAAUAACUAGAACAACGUACAAAUAGGGAAAAUGUGCUAACAGAGGGCCUAUAUAAAAACCUUACCGGUAAGUAACCCAAAUAAUGUAAAAAGAGUAUGUCUCGCAUAAAAUAAUAAGGACUAAAUUCCAAACAACCAAAUGUUAACUGUGAACACCAUCCUCCAACAAGAGAUCAAAAAUUAAAUCAGGAGGUCCCUCAAACCACGAAACCGGAUGAUCCAAAGUUAAAUUGAAUCUAGCUAGUCGGUGAGCCACCGAGUUUGCAUUUCAUCGUACAAAGCCUGCUUUCCACGAUUUAAAGGACUGCAUAAUCCUCCUGGUGUCUUCCAAUAAUAACGCAAACGGUACAUGGUUAGCCAUUGCAUUGUUUUGGAUUGCAGCAACUACUAGCAGCGCAUCACCUUCCAAUAUAACCUGGUCAGCACGCCACUAAAGUGCAAAAACAGCAGCUUCCCGUGCUGCAGCAACUUCCGCCUGCAUCGAAUCUGGCCUUGAGCUUCAUUACAAACCUUAAUAGCAUGAAUCUGGCCUUGAGCUUCCCAAUCAUCCAACAAAGCCGAGAGGCCUUCUGCACAUAUUACAAACAAGAACGGAGACAAUGGAUCCCCUUGCCGAAUCCCUCGUUUUGGGUGUACGAAUCCCACAGGAUCCCCAUUAAACUUGAAAGAAUAAGUCACAGUAGUAACACACAUCAUAAUCCAAUUAAUCCAUUCCUCAGCAAACCCCAAAUGUCUCAUCAUUUGCUCAAGGGAAGACCAUUCAAUACGAUCAUAUGCUUUAUUGAUAUCUAGCUUCAAAGCCAUCACACCCUUCCAACCGCUAUUCUUUGUUUUCAUAGCAUGAACAAUUUCCGAAGCCACCAAACAAUUAUUGGAAAUUAACUGACCCGAGAUGAACCCACUUUGGGAAGGCGAAAUAAUGUCAGGUAACACCAACUUCAACCUGUUCAUGAGAACUUUGGAGCAUAUCUAUAUAUAACAUUACAUAAACUGAUUGAGCGAAGUUGAGACAUGAAAGUAGGGUCCAUUUUCUUAGGAAUAAGAGUAACGUGCGUAAAAUUAAUUUUGCUCAUCAUACUUCCUGAAGAAAGGAGAGAACGAACCCCCUCAUAGAUGUCAUGACCAACGAUAGGCCAAUGUUUUUGGUAGAAUCCCAGAGUCAUCCCAUCUGGUCCAGGCGCCUUAAUGGGGUGCAUUUGAAAAAGAGCAUUCUUGUUCUCGUCAUCAGAAAACGGUACCAAGAACCCUUGAUUCAUCUCAGCCAUCACCUUUGGAGAAACCGUGCGAAGAACAGCAGACGCAUCAACCUGACCCGUGGAAUCAAACAACUUCUGAAAAUAAUUAACUAUUACCGCAGCCAUGCCAUCCUUGCUUUCCUGCCACUGCCCAUCGUCAUCAAACAAACCAUACAAACCAUUACUUCGCAACCGCCUAGAAGCCUUUUGAUGAAAAAAUCUUGUGUUUUGCAAUAUCAUUUAAUAUUUUAUCUAAAAAUUAAAGAAAAAAAAGAAAGAAAAUUUGAAACGCAGAUCUUCAUCUUCCUGUCCACCCAAUGCAGGUGACGAUCCCCCUCCCUGCAAUCAUCAAACCAAAAAGCUCCGCCGAAAUCAAACAAUCACAAUCAUCAAACCACCACCACCGUCAGAUUCCCAUGUGACCAUGAUAAUUAAGCAGUGCGAUUAUUUCAUUUAGCUUUACAUUAUUACCUGUUUAAUCUUUUACAAACAUAUUAAUUUCUUAUCCUCUAAUUGGGCAAUUUACUGUUAAAAAGUUAUGUCCUUACUGGCUGUUUUAGCCAAGGUUCUAAAAAACGCUAGGCGCUAGUCGGGCGACGAGCCAGUGCCUAGGCGGCUUAGGUGGAUUUAGGUAAAUUUCUUAUAUAUCUUGUAGAUAAGUGCAUAUUGACACAUAAAAAAUUAUAUUUGUAUGAAAUUCAUGGAUAAGAUAAUAAAAGAAUGAUAAAAUAUAAAAAGAAUAUUUAGUUUUUAAAUAAUUAGUAUUUAAUUUUUAAAUAAUAAAUAUUUAAAAACCCCACCAAGUGGGUUUGGUAGUUCAUAAACAUUUAAAAAUCAAAUGGUCGUUCAUAAAAUCCACGUGUGAGAGGUUUGACACCUCCCUUCCACCUCCACUUUCUCACAUCAGGUAGGAUUCAAAAGGUGGAGCUAGUUAUGCCUUGGAAAGCGAUCUCACAUUAUUUUUUUUGGGUUUUCUUUUCCUCUUCUGCCUUGGAAAGAGGAAAGCCCCAUUAAUGUUUUGAAAUUUUUUACUUCUUCUCUUCUUCUCCUUCUCUGAUUACUCUAUUUUUCCAUUUCCUCUUCUUCUGUUGCUCUGUAAAUUUCCACAGUAGCCUUUCUCGCUUCUUCUCCGAGCUUCUUUCUGCUUCCAAGGCGCUCACUCUGUCUCUCUCUCUUCUAGCUGCCAAGUAACUUCCAGUUCUGCCCCCAUCAACUCUAUUAAUUCCACCAUGAAACUUUGCACAUUCUGCAACUCCAUCCAAAAUCCAUCUCUAAAGUUCCAAUCUUUUCUCUUAAUCUUCUCAGCUCCACCACUCAUUCUACCCCUCAGAACCCAACAAAUUACAUAUGGGUCCCUCCCAAAGUCCUCAAACAAGCUUCCUUUCCACCACAAUGUCACCCUCACAGUCACCGUCGCAGUCGGAACACCGCCGCAGAAUGUUUCGAUGGUCAUCGACCCCAGAAGCGAGCUUUCCUGGCUUCACAGCAACAAAACCCGGGACUAUAACAAGACAUUCGAUCCGACCCAAUCCACCUCCUACUCCCCCGUCCCAUGCUUCUCAUCCACUUGCACGAACCGGACAAACCUUGCCAAUUUAUGAAACGAUUUUGAGUUAAUCGCGGCGAAGCACCGCCGCCUAGCGCCCAGGCACCGCCUAGGCGGCCGCCUCAACCGUUUUUUAGAACACUGAUUUUAGCUCACUCCUCUUUUGUUUUGCAGGUUUACAAAUAGACAAUCAAAAUGGUAGAUGGAAUGAGAUUGAAUUAGUUUUGAGGCUAGAAGUUCAAUUAAUUUUUAUUUUGGACUCGUCGAGAAGUAUGAUUUUCGUUUUUGAAUCACUUGAUUUCGUUGAGUAUUAAAGAAGGUAUGAACGUUUAAAGUUUACCCAGUUUCCAGCGAGUUUUUCAGUUUUCCCUCGGACCAGUCAACUUUGAGACUAUUUUCCGGCCAUCUCUAGAAAUCAUUGGGCUUCCAAAUAGGUAUAAUUUUAUUCUACACUUUCUUAUCUUCAUUUUGAUAUAUUAUAGGUUGAAUUUGGCUAAGAAACGAUUGAGUUACGAAGUUUUCAAAAUUGCCCAAACUUCCGGCUAAAAGCUCUGGGACACUUAAUUGAGUUUUUAACGGAAUGAUCAAAAUGAUGGAUGGUGGACAAUCUCAGGGAUCACUUUUAUUGAUUUGGAAUGUUAUGAACCAAAGUGAUAAGUUAUACAAAUCACAGAGACCAUUUUAGCUAUUUAGCCAGUAGAAAAAUAAUUCAAAUCCAUAAUUCAUCCACGGACGUUUGCAACUUUUUGUUUGCUUGUUAUCAUGUCACAAACGACGCAAAAUGAUUGUCCUUGAAUUUGAAUUUGGGUAACCUUAAAUUUUCGUCCAAUUUCAAUAUUAUACCUCUCUCAAUUUUUAUAUACCAGCCGUCAAAUUUGAUUAAGUGAUAAAAUGAAAAGUUUGGAACUUAUAUUUUACUGAUUUGGAGUCCAAAUUUAUGCCACAAGUUAGAACAAAUUAAAAAAAAAGUUUUAUUAUUAAUAAUGUAUAAAUUAGAAAAUCAUCUGCAAGAUCAUUUAAUAUUUUAUUUAAAAUUUAAAAAAAAACAAACGAAGGAUUUUUAUCACAAAUGGUCCAUGAAAUUGAUCCCUCAAUCAUGAUGGUCUCUAAAAUUGAAAAUCGAUCAAUGUAAUCACUGAAUAUUAGUCCCGCAAAUCAAUGUCUUUCUGUCACUGUUCCGUCCAAACUAGCGUUAAGAGAUUUUUUGGAAUUAGAUAAGAUAUAUAUUUUUUCCCUGAUCUCAAGCAUUGUCUCUUCUACUACAUAUGCAUACAUAUAGAACUAUUUCCAAGUCAUGCUCCUUGGAAGAGCAAGCCAUUGAUGGUCACCUCGCCGUCGACGAUAAUAGUCUGCCCAGUAAUGUAAGAGGAUGCAGGUAGGCAUAGAAAUGCUACCAAGGAGGACAACCUCUGGCUUUCCAGGACGUCCUAAAGGUCACCGAGAGUUUAUCAUCUCCAAUUUCUUUUCAUUUCCGAGAAACUGCGUUUAUAGAAGAGAGAAUUGAUGUGUAGGACACAUAUAUUACAAGCGCUUCAUUAACAUAAUAAAUAAGGCUAGAAGUAUGAUCUAAACUCGCUGUAAACUUUUCAUCAAAAAACUUGUUGUAAACAAGUCAGGUCUAAAAUUGAACCUAUACAUGAAUAAACAAAAGAUAUAUUGAACGCGAUUUAAGAUGUUUAGAAUAACGGUAGCCGGCUAUCUAGGCAGCUUUGGAGGUGGUUAGCAUGUCAAUUAUGUAUCUCUAUGUCUUUUUCAGAUUCUCUGGUUGCUUUUUGGGAUGCCUACGUAAGCCCUUUUCCUAACAACUGCACAAUCUAUGGAUUUUUUCGAAUCUUUAUACUAUUUUGACUAUUUGGAAAUCUCAAAAUAGGUUUAUUUUUUAGGGUCACCCAAUCUAUUUUCAUCGGCUUUGCAUGUCUAUCAAUUUUGGGAUCGUUCAUGGUUGGAAGUUUAUUCCUACUUAUUCUCAAGGCACUAGUCUAUCCUUGGCAAGGCUUCAACUAGUCAUCCUGUGCUUUGGUCUUUCCUUGGAUUAAACUUAAUACAGAUGGUUUGUCCAAAGGAAAUUCCAGUCCUACUCCUUGUGGAGGAGUUUUCAAAGAUUGCCAUUGCACAACCCGUCUCGAUUUAUUUUACGGGUUUUACGGAACGGAAGGUUAGUCUCAUAAUUUCACUUUGGUUUUAAAAAUGUGUUUGAAAAGGGUUUCUUUUGGACCUUAAAUGGUGUGCCCAAGGGGGCCCACCCCUAAUUUUCUGUCCCUGAUUCCCCUUUCCCCCGCCUGCCACGUGGCAAACCCCUACCCACUUCAUUUCUCAUUCUCUUCUCCCCGAGCACUCACUCUCUCAGCUCUAUAUCACUCUCUUUCACACACUCAACCUCUCUCCCUCAUCCCGAUUCACUCACACAUCCACACACCCAAAUCAAGGAAAGCAACGGCGACGGCGACACCAUCACAUCCACCGUGGUAGCACUCUCCCUCAUAUCUGUGAAGAAACCGGACACCUAGAGGGCACCCAAACCAAGACUUCGGCGAGCCCAGUGGGUUUCGAGCAAUGAAUCGGCCACCUUCGGCCAUUCCACGAUGAUUAGGAGGUAACCAAUCUUUCCUUUUUGUCUCUAUUUCAUUUUGGUACCUAGAUCGAGUCUUAGGUGUGAGCAGCGACGUCGACCGAAACUCAAGAGGCUCCGGCUUCCUUCCCCAGCGAGAAUAGGUAGCCAAGGCCCUUGGGUCGAGGAAACUAAGGCCUUUGGCCCGCUAAAGCUUUAGCCCAAGACCAAAGGGUUUCAGCCUGUGAGCUUUAGACCCAAACCCUUUUUAUUUAUAUUUAUUUUGUUUUCUUUUAAAAACCCAAAAACAAUCGGGCUAGGUUUCAAGCCCAACCCAGCCCAUUUAAAAACCCCUUAACCUUUUUAGACCCUUGCCUUAGGGCCGUUUGAGAUUAGGUCUUUGGGCCUUUGCAUCCGAGCCCAAACCCUUUGAAGCAAGCUUUCAGGCCAUGUAGAAGUUGGGCCUUUGGGGCCUGUGUAAAUCGAACCCAACCCAGAGAGAGACAGGCCUUUGGGCCAUCCAACUUGGGCCUCCAGCUCGGUAGUCUUAAUCCCAACUCGAACCCAUGAACCAUUGAUCGACUCGGACCCGUUAACCGUUGACUGGUUCGACCGUUAACUUAGUCAACAUUGAUCGUUGACUUUGACUUUGGUUUGUUGACUUUUUCUGGUUUUGUUCAGAAACCUUCUAGGCUAAUUUCGACGUCCUAGAACCGUUUUUUAUGUCCGUUUUCCCAAAUUCAAUUGUUUGAAUAUAGUUUUAUUAAUUGGACCAUUUAUGUGCUUAGGGGCAAUUAUUUGUGGUGUUUCCAUCUUAACUAGUUUGCGUGGCUCUUCGGCAGCGAGGUAUCUGUGAUUGGACCCUUUCUAAAAUGCAUGUUUUAAUAGUAGAAAUGCAUACAUGAAAAAUAUGAUUUAAUGAUUAAGUUUUAUGAAAUGUUUUAUGAGAUAUUAUCUUACUGAGAAUAUAUUGAAUUAUCAUAUUUUAUCGAACUAAUGUUCUUUGUAGUAUAUAUGAUGGAUGACUAUAUACUGCUUACGAACAUGCUUUUACACACUUUUUUAUAGUAUAUAUGAUGGAUGACUAUAUGCUAUGAAGAUGAUUUUGAGAUAUAUGUAUUUAUAUUUUGGGAAAUACUAUACUCAAUGUUUUUGUGUGUAUCUAGUGGUCACUGUUCUACCUACGGGCAAUGAUACUUAUAUUGGCUUCGGCUGGGCGUAAGUUGGUGCCUGUUUGGCAAAUGUAGUGUUCUGAAGGAAAUGUUCUAAAUGAGGAGUUCUCUAUGCCUUCGGGCGAUAUUGAUACCACUAGUUAGCACAUUAUAUACGUGAUAUUUAAGGUUUUAUGGCAUGCUAGGGUUUCAGAAACCUAUUACAUAUUAUAUUAUUGAAUUUCCAUAAACCUUUAGGGGUUAGUAUGUUGAUAAUUAUUUCAUUCUUAUAUGUAUAUCAACUUGGUCCGCUCUUGUUUGUUUUGCACCCCCUCAGGACUUAGAUUUGAGGUGUAAAAUCCCGGCAUCAAGGCACUUCCGCAUCGGCAUCUUCAAGUCUUCUUGGUGUAGGACCCAUUCCUUCAUUCAUUUAAUUUUAUAUUAUUUCGUUGGUUUUUACAUUAAAGUGACGUGAAUUAGAAAUCUCAUUAAGAGGAAGUCUGGUUAAGACCAGCUGAAGAUCCGAAAUGACGAUGCCACUUUGUAACAUGUGUUUCCCUAGGAAUUGGGAGCAGAGUCGGAUCUUCAUCGGAAUGUUGGGAAAUGAAAAAAUCUUAGUGGUACGAGUUGGUUAAGACCAACUGGAAAUCUAAGCGGUGUUGGACUCUGCGACAUGUGUACCCUAGGAAUGGCGGGCAGAGUCAUAUCCUUAUGGAAAUUACUUGAAAGUUCGUGUUAGAGAAAAUGAGUAAACGCUAGUUGUUACGAAGUUUAGUAAAUGGUAGUUUGGUGGGAUUGAAUCAAUGUUCUUGGACUCGUUUCCACUGAGAAAAUUCUUGUGGAUCUUUAGAACAAUUCUCGGUGAUUGUUCUAUCAAUAACUUUCUUGCUUACUCCAAUAGCGAAGUCAAGUCCCCUAACCUUUGACUGUCAACUUCACAUCAAAUUAUUCGAACGUUGUUUUUUACUAGAGUAUAGAAAUGUCAACUGCACUAUUGUGUACCACCUCGAUUGUGCAAGCGUAGUUGCUGAAUACCUCGGUAGAAAAAACACACAAAGCUCAAAGGGGAUAUAGGUUGAAUGUUUUGGCUUCCUAAUAAUGAGGCAUGGUAGAUCAGCAGAGUAAUGCAAUUGCAUAUUGCGAUGAUUAACCAAAUAAUCAUAAACAGUGACUUCUAUUUUUGCAUCUUCACUUUCCUUGGUUAUUUGUUCCUCAAUGUAAAACUAGAUCAUACUGUCGUACUGAUGUUUUUUACUACCCUUCCCGCCAAGCCCAUUCUGAUCAUGUAAACCUAAUCGAACAAUUAUCUAGUAAGACCGUAUUGGAUUAGAAAACCUGAAAAGCCAAAUCUACUAAAAUCAUAUAAAUUUGUCAGGAGGUUCAAAACAUCAAAUUAUUUCACGAGUUGCUGGACGAAGUUGAUUGACAAGUUAUAUUAAUAGGUGUGUUUUUGUGGAUGCGUACGCCCAGUUUCAUAUCGAUUCAGACAGGAAUGUUAGGAGUGUAACCUUUUCACAAGCUUACCAGAAUUACCGGAAAGACUUCCAUGUAGAUGUGAGCUUUGAGUCGUCUUUUAGUAAGAGAAUGAUGAAGAUUAUAGCGCAGGUGGUCAGCGAAUUGCAUCAUCAAUCAUUAUCUUCACGCAUAAAUGAAUAGUCACCACUCAUUAUUUUGCUGCAAUUCAUGAACAUCAUAUCGUACUUUAGUAGUUCUUUCCCAAUGAUAUGAUGCCUAUGAAUUGUAGCAAGAUAAGGAGAUGUGUGCGCUUCAACGCAUCUUUCCAAUGUUUCACUCCAAGACCUUAUUGUUCUUGAGUACGUGGAUGUCAAAACACUUUUAGUAGAUUUGAUUGGUGCGCUCUGGAAUGGUACCACAUCACGGUCAAGGCGAGAAUCAAAUGAUCUUUUCACACUCUCAUGUUGCUGAGCAAAAUGGUAUUUUGGCACUUUUGGCGACAUGGUACGAGAACUUUUACAGGCAACACCUGUUGACAAAGGGAUUUUUGCGAACUUGUAUCUGGAGGAUCGAAUUUAUGAUGUGAGAAAUUAUGCACCCUUAAGAAAUCACUGCUUGCUUACUGAGACAAUAAUGGGUGGUUGAUAUCGUGGGGAGCUGACUGUGAUAUCGAUAGCUUAUUCGUUGGAUCCGUUAAGCAUGUGGGCAGGUAGACCCAUCUACGGUAGAUAUUACUGAGUAGUCAUCGUUGGGGCUCGACCCAAAGACAAUUUUUCUCGUGGUACAUGACGUUACAUAUACGUGGGUGAAACCCACUUUCAUUUUCGGUUUUGGUUUUUAGUACAAGUAUUUUAACUUACAUAUUAUAGUUGUACGUGUUUUCUGAAGUUAAACAAAAAUUGGUCGAGUUAUUUCCACUUUCACUGUUGAGUUCAAUACGAAUUAUUCGACCUCUAUGUUAUUACUUAUCUAUUUUGACGUUAUCAUAUUUUGCAUACUUAUUUUUGAUGUUUUCGACUUUAUAUCUUUAUAAAGUAUGUUUUCUACUUUUACACUGAUGGGGAAAGAAAGUAUGAGCCUGGAGGCACGAAAGAUGGAAUCAUUGCAACCUGAUCACGAUGGUGUGGCAUUUUCCCUUUUCUACAACUGCUCUGACUUGAUUUCUUCUAUACAUAUAUAUUUUCUUCUCCCUAUUUUCAAGUUUUUUAGUGUAGCAAGUUAUUUUAAAUUUCGUGACAAAAUUUUAUUUAAUGGGGGUAGAUUAUGACAACCCGUCUCAAUUUAUUUUGUGAGUUUUACGGAACGGAAGGUUAGUCUCGUAAUUUCACUUUGGUUUUAAAAAUGUGUUUGAAAGAGGUUUGUUUUGGACCUUAAAUGGUGUGACCAAUGGGGACCACCCUUAAUUUUCUGUCCCCGGUUCCCUUCUUCCCCACUUGCCACUUGGCAGAUCCCUACCCAUUUCCUUUAUCUUCUCCUCGAGCACUCACUCUCUCAGCUCUCUAUCACUCUCUCUCACACACUCACCCUCUAUCCCUCAGACUAUUUCCCUCACCCUAAUUCACUCACACAUCAACACACCCAAAUCAAGGAAAGCAACGACGACGGCGACACCACCACAUCUACCAUGGUAGCAUUAUCCCUCUCCCUCGUCUCUGUGAAGAAACGGGACACCUAGAGGGCACCCAAACCCAGACUCCAGCGAACCCAAUUGUUUUGAGCAAGGAAUUGGCCACCUCCGACUAUUCCACGAUGAUUAAGAGGUAACAAUUUUUUCCCUUUCGUCUCUAUUUCAUUUUGGUACCUAGAUCGAGUCUUAGGUGUAAGCAACAAUGUCGACCGAAGCUUGGGAAGCUCCGGCCUCCUUCCCUAGCAAGAACAGGUAGCCAAGGCCCUUGGGCCGAGGAAUCUAAGGCCUUUGGCUUGCUAAACCCUUAGCCCAUGACCAAAGGGUUUCGGCUCGUGAGCUUUAAACCUAAACCCUUUUUAUUUUUAUUUAUUUUGUUUUCUUUUAAAAAUCCAAAAACAAUCGGGUCAUGCUUCAAGCCCAGCCCAAUUGAAAACCCUUUAAUCCUUUCGAACCUAGGCCUUAGGGUCGUGUGGGAUUUGGACUUUGAGCCUUUGCAUCAGAGCCCAAACCCUUGUAGCCCCAAACCCUUUAAAGCAGGCUUUUGGGUCGUGUGGAAGUUGGGCCUUUAGGGCACGUGUAAAUCAAACCCAACCCAAAGAGAGGCAGGCCCUUGGGCCUCCGACCCGGUAGCCUGAAGCCCAACCCGGUUCGACCCGAAAUCGUUGACAGACCCGGACCCGUUGACUGUUGACUUUGACUUUGACCGGUCAAAGUGGACUUUUUGUUGACUUUUUCGGGUUUUGUUUAGGAACCCUCCUAGGUUAAUUUCGACAUCCUGGAUCCAUUUUUGACAUUUGUUUUCCCAAAUUCAAUCGUUUGAAUAGAGUUUUAUUAAUUGGACCCUUUAUGUGCUUAGGGGUAAUUAUUUGUGGUGUUUUUGUCUUCUUUAGUUUGCGUGGCUUUUCGACGGUGAAGUAUCUGUGAGUGGACCCCUUUUUAAAAUGAAUGUUUUAAUAGUAGAAAUGCACACAUGACAAGCAUGAUUUAAUGAUUCAUUUUAUGAAACGUUUUAUGAGAUAUUAUGCUUACUAAGAAUAUUUUGAAUUAUCAUAUUUUAUCGAACUGAUGUUCUUUGUAGUAUAUAUGAUGGAUGACUGUAUACUGCUUACGAACAUGCUUUUACACACUUCUUUAUAGUAUAUAUGAUGGAUGACUAUAUGCUAUGAAGAUGAUUUUGAGAUAUAUGUACUUAUAUUUGGGGAAAGACUAUAUUCAAUGUUUUUGUGCGUAUCUAGUGGUCACUGUUUUGCCUACGCUCAUCUUUCUCCUUUUACCAUACUUUAAACAUACAAACUCCAUAGUCGCUGCCCUUCCUCCUACUGGAGGCCGGUGGCAAUCCCUCUCCCCAUUUUGCUAGCCUCCCUCUUUUAUCUUCUCAUAGAUUGUGACUUAUCUAUUUUUUGUCUAAGUAUUUUUGUCAAUAAAUAUCUCCUUGUUGAGAUUUUUUCAGUCCUUCUUCAUGAUUAUUUUAAUUUUGUGUUCGUAUGUUAUUGGCUUCUUCUGUGCAACUUUGUUGAAAUUGGUUCAUUGAUUGUGUUGCACACAAAAUUAGCUUUUAAUCUGCUAUAAGGUGUUCGUCUAAAAGUGAUAUUUUUUUUUUUUAAAGAUUUGAAUGAAUUUUUAACUAAUUAUAAACAAUAUAUGAUACUUUUCAAAAUUUUAAUAGAAGUCGAAAUCUAUAUAAGGAAAUUAACUAUAAGCACCGUCUUAUUUGGCAGCUCGGACUGUACUGACUAUUUCUAUUAGAUAUGAUAAAUAGCCACCAGAUAGUACUGAGUAAAUUAGUCGAGUGUUUGGUGUAGUAUCAGACUAAUAACCGUAUUAUUUAUACUGUGUUUGAUUUUAUACCGGAUAGGAGGAAUCAAACUUAAAAAAAAAAAAAUUAAACUUAAAAAACAAAACAGAAACCAUCACUUUUGUUCCCAGAUCUCUCCGCCGCACCCCUCAAACUCCCUCAAUCUCUCUCCCUUCUUCUUCUUCCCCGACUACAGAAGAAUCCCAAAUAAUUGUUCCCCAAAUCUCUUUGUCGCACCCCCCCCAAACUCCCUCCCUCUCUCUCCUUUCUUCUUCCCCGAUUGCAGAAGAAUCCCAAAUAAAUUCAAACAGCCAGUUGCGGAAGAAUCCCAAAUUGAAAUCAUCUCUCCGCCGCACCAUGUUUCUUUGCAAGACCCAGUUGCAGGGGAGAACAACGAGUAGGCAAUGAGGAAGGCCACAAGGAGACGAGGACUAGGAGAGCAAAGAUGGCGAGAGAAAGUGACGGCGACAGAAAACAACGGUGAGAGAAAGCGACGGGGAGGACGGCGAUGGUGAAAGAAGGUGACGGGGAGGACGAUGACGCCGAGAGAAGGAGAGAGAGAGAGAAGGCCAACUAAUAAUCCGAGCAUUUUGGUUGGUUUUAUUAAUCCGACGUAUACUGUGUUAAAUAAACAGACCAGUUAAAUUAAUCUGGCGCUUAUUUAGUACGAGUGAACGCCAAACACCCACGUCUGUAUAACUAGUCCUAUUCGAUCCUUUAUCCGAUCUGCCAAACAGGGCCUUAGUGGCAGAAUAUAUAGAUGCAACAUCUAUUGAGACCACACCAGCAGUAGGGGACAAAAAAAAAACAAUGUUAGCAGCUCGUGCAGCUUUGAGAAGAGGAUGAAAGUUGGCACAAGAGGUAAGCAGAUUCAAGAUUGGUUAUGAAUGAGUAAUCCUCAGCAGUGUACUCUAGAGUUGCUUUCGGUAUGACAAUCCCCACGUUGUUUAUAUAUAACAAGACAUUAUUGAAAAGGUUUAGCAUAACAUAACGAUUUUACCUUAUAUGUAUUAUUGAAAAAUGCAAGAAAAUUAUGUGUAUUAAACAUAAAAAGUACAUACAUACGUGUAGAUCUUUGAGUUUUAAAAAACAUACAAUUUUACGAAUUAAUGAAAUUUGAAACGUGUACAACAAACAAAUUUAUUUACGAGGGGAUGUUAAGUUUGUUAUGGAAGUGUGAUGAUGAUUCGUGAUUCAUGCACAUAUGUUAUUUUAACUAAUUAGUCUUCUACCUACAAGGAUGUUGAGUUUGCCAUCAGAAAGUGAUGAGACCUUGUUUAUAAGCUCCUCUCUUUGGGUUUUUGACUUGAAGACAGAUCCGGCCUCGGGAGUUGCGAUGGACCUUGUUUAUAAGCUCAUCUCUUGGCUGAAUGGAAGUAUUGACCAAGGCAACUGGGAGGUUUUCCAGACCAAGUGGGAGAUUUGUUGAGAAGGUGCGGAUUUCAGUUUGUGUGAAUGGUCUUGGGUACCGAGAUCAGCCAAUAGAGCGGCGGAUUUUGUGGUGUCGCAUGUUGGAGCGGAGAUAUGCGACUUAGUCUGGGUUCAACGACCCCCAUCUUCGUUUAUUCGGAAUCUGAACAAGGAUGGUCUACCCUGCCCUCCAACUUAGCUUUUGUUAGAUGUGAUUAAGGUGACAUUGGGGGGGGGGGGGGGGUGCAUACGUGUCGUAGUUUUUCCCUUAGUCCCGUUUAUUUCUGAUGUUGUUUGCCCAAGGUGGCUUUCUGUACUCCUAUUUGGCUUUGGCCCUAGUGAAUGAUAUUUUCCGAUUAUUCAAAAAAAAAAAAAAAAACACACUAUGCAAAUUGAUUGUCCAAUUUGAAUUUGACUAAAUUAUAUUUCAUCCAUUUUCAACAUCGUACAAUGUCUUUCUAUUUCGUACAACUUCUUAUUCAAUCAUUACACGAUGGUCCAGUAGUUUAGGACGAAUUCUAAACUCGUAUUCGAUAAAACUCGUUCUGAAUUUGAUUCAUAACACUGGUGAAUCAUACACUAUAAUUUUGGAGCUAGAAAACAAAUGGAAAGUAUUAGAGAGUGGGAGAGAACUUUGUGUUUACAGUACCACGUCCAGAAUGAGAUCGAUGUCAUUUUGGUUAAUUUUUUAGCAAAUACUACAUUUUCUUAAUGCAAUCUUGUUAAUGGUAACAUAAUGAGUUUAAUGCUCACAAGAUCUCAAAAAUUGCAUAGCAUGUUAUUCUUCCACAAACAGUUCAAGUACUUUUUAAACCAAACACAUUUUAAACUAUUUUUAAUUAACAUUGUCAUGUUUGCAAGCGCUUUAGUUAUUUAAAAGCAUUUUGAAUUGGAAACGGGCCCUACAACAAGCUAGACAUAUGAAGUUUUGAGAAUACUUGAUGAGCAAGUUGUCCAAACCACAUUUAUGUAAUCUUUGGAGGGUUCAGUUGAUGGUGCUUAAAGCGUUUUUCUGACAUCUCUCAUCUAAGUUCACCUCACAACUUAAAAUAAUUAUUUUUUAAUUUUUAAUUGCAUGAAAAGAAAAAAAAAGGGACAUAUUAUUACAUGAAACAUAAUAAGAUUCCUAUCUUAAUUUUUUUUCUAAGAACAAAAAAAAAACCUUGUAUCGUUGACCAUUGAUAGAGACAUGCCGUCCAGUAAUCCAGAAAAUUAAUUUUAUGGAAAACUAAUGAAAAUAGCUUGAAAACUUUGAGUUUUAAAGAUAAGGACAAAAUAAAGAAAAAAGUGAAUAGUACAAGGAUUGACUUUUUAAUGUAAAAAUAUGAUUUUUCGUUAAAGUGAAUAGUACCACUGGCUUUUCAUUAAAACUCCCUUAAUUUUAUGAUCGGCUUUGUAAGGAAAGCGAGGAUGUGCGAUGCUUCUUGAGGAGUUUUGUUGUUUGUCAAUAAAAUCUAUUUAUUUGAAUUUCCUGCUUCUAGUACUACCUACUGCUUGAAGUUUGAACAUAUUAUAGAAGCAUUUUUUAUUGUUCUAAUCGUACAUGUAGAUCAUUUCCAAUGAACUGGCAAUCUUGGUGUGUUGUUUGAAGGAUGUUGGAGUCUUCUCUUCAUCCCGUUUUGGGGUUGUCUUCGGCCGAUCUCAGGCAUCUAUUGAGGGCGAUGGUUUGAGAUGGUGGGUUGGUGGCGUUUUGGCAGUGGUGGAGUAGCAAGUUGCUAGGAUUUGUUGCGGUUUUUUCUUUUGUGGUGAGCUCAAACCUUUGUUUUGGGCCAUUUUUGCGUUACUCUGAAGGUCUACAUCCACGCUGUGUGCUUAAUGUAAUUGGAUCUCUUUCUUUGUAAUUUUGUUGUCUUGGCAAAAAUUUUACCCUAAAAAAAAUCUAGGCUUGAAAGCUCUUCCAAUAUAGCGAAACUAAACGUCAAUAGACCAAAUGUUUGACAAUCUUUUAUUUUCUGAUUUAAUUAGAACAUUAAUGAUGUCACCAGUUUUCACAUACAAUAAAAGCACACCACUUUGGAAUUACUAGAUACGAGAUUUUUUUUUUUAGAACUGUUUCCAAGUUAUGCUCCUUGGAAGAGCAAGCCAUUGACAGUCACCCCGCCGUCGACGAUAAUAGUUUGCCCAGUAAUGUAAGAGGCUGCAGGUAGGCAUAGAAAUGCUACCACGGAAGACACCUCCUCUGGCUCUCCAGGACGUCCUAAGGGGCACCGAGAGUUUAUCAUCUCCAAUUUCUUUUCAUCUCGGAGAAACUGCGUGCAUAGAAGAGAUAAUGGAUGAAACGAGAAUGAAUGUGUAGGACACAUAUAUUACCGAUGAUCUUAAUAAUUGGUCAAGCUCUUCGUAAACAAAUUAAUUAAGACUAGAAGUAUGAUGUAAACUUGCUGUCAACUUUUCACCAAAAAUCUUGCUGUAAACAAGUCAGGUCUAAAAUUGAACCUAUACUUGAAUAAACAAAAGACAUGGACUUUUGGCAAACCCCAACUUUUUAUUCUAAUUUUGCCUAUGGACUUUUGGCAGUCUCAUCAAUGAAAUACUGAUUGGCUUAAAGUUAUGAGAUGAUUGUAAUACAAGUAGUUAAAAGAAUUCACUCAUAUAUCUUAAAUUCAAUUUCGAUUUUCCUUCCAGAACAUCGAUUGUAUUAGAAAAAAUGAAAAUAAACAGCAUGCACAAGAACGUGACCAGGAUAAUCUUACAGGUUCAACGAGGGGAGUCGUGAUGAACCAAGGUGCCACACUGUUGGUCCUUAUGUUAUCUUUCGCCCACUCACAUGCCAAGUUUUUUGCUAACUGAUUCAUUGCACCUGAUGAGAUACAAUAAGGAAAAGCCACACUUUUGUCAAACAUUAAAAAUCACACACCAAACAAUGUAAUCAAAUUUUAGGGGUUUCUCGUCUCAACCUCUUAUGGUUUAAAAAAAAUAAAAAAAAAUAAAAAAAAAACUAGCUGCUCCUCUUUCUCCUCUUACCAAACCCUAAAUCUUCAAACUUCAUAGUCGCCAGCCUCUUGCUCCGACUGGAGGCAGUGGCAAGCCCUCUGCUCAUUUUUCUAGCCUGUCUCCUUCAUCUUCUUAUCGAUUGUUGCUUAUUUAUUUUUCAUCUUAGCAUUUUUGUCGAUAAGUGUCUCCUUGGUGAGGUUUUUUGUGAGUAUUUCUUCGUGAGUGUAUUAAUUUUGUAUUGGUGUGUUAUCGGCUCCUUUUGUGUCUACUUUGUUAACACGAAAUUCAUGUUGUGCACAAAAUUAGCUUUUAAUCUUAUAUAAGGUAUUAGUCUAAAAGUGAUAAGGAUUUGAAUGAAGUUUUUUUUUACAAAUAAUAAACAAAAUAUGUUUUAUUUUAUUUUAUUUUAUUUUAUAAAGGUCAAAAUUACAUAGGGAAAUUAACUAAGCACCUUUAGUGGCAGAAUAUAUAGAUCCAACACCUGCUGAGACCACACCAGCAAUAGAGGACAAAAAAACGAUGUUAGCAACUCCUGAAGCUUUGAGAAGUGGAUGUGUAAGUUGGCACAAGUUGUAAGCAGAUUCAAGAUUGGUCUCAUUAUGAAUGAGUAAUCUUCAGCUGUGUACUCCAGCGUUGCUUUCGGUACGACAGUCCCCACAUUGUUUAUCUAUAACAAGACAUUAUUGGAAAGGUUUAGCAUAAUAUAACAAUUUUAGCUUAUAUGUAUUAUUAAAAAAUGCACGAAACGUGUACAUCUUUGAGUUUUAACAAACCUACAAUUUUACGAAUUAUUGAAACGUCUACAACAAAAAGAAAUAUUUACGAGGAUCUUAAGUUUGCCAUGAAAGAGUAAUGAUGAUUAAUGAUUCAUGCAUAUGUGUUAUUUCAAUUGAUCAGUCAUUUACUUACAAAAAUGUUAAGUUUGCCAUCAAAGAGUGAUGAGACCUUGUUUAUAAGCUCCUCUCUUUGGGUUUUAGACACCACAUCACAGACUGAGCCAGUGACUUGAAAACCCUUCUUCUCCCACUGACUCAGGCAGUCAUUAAGGUCAACUUCAUUUCGGGAACAAGUAUGCACAAUCGCACCCAGCCCUGCCAAUUCCUCCACUAUCGCAUACCUAAAUAAAUACUAAACUAAUUUAACAAACAGCAGUAAAAAAAUAAUUCAAACCCAUAAUUCUAAAAGAGAAGAAAACAUGGGAUAAGUGGAGAAAUAAAAUGAAUAUUGCAUUGCAUGUAUAGGAAAAUUGAAACUAAAAGAAGAUUAAUGUUCUUGAGUAUCCAAAUUUAGAGAAGCUAACCCAAUUCCUUUGGUUCCACCAGUGACAAGAGCUGUCAUUCCACGAAGAGACCAUCUCCUUUCUCUGCUGCUCAUCUCUAUCUGCUGUCUAAUCUCCCUGUCUGCCUAUAUAUAUACAACCUAGCCUUCAUGCACGCGUGUGAGUGCGUGCGGAAUGCAUUUUUUGAAUCACAAUGUGCUACGCGUGAUUUAGACAUUUUAAAUGUAUUUAUAUGCGUAAAUUAACAAAACGAAAGUCAAAUAGUUGAAGUAAAUGAAUAAUCUUAGAUCAUGCUAGAAGAAACCCCUUAUAAACCAAUUAAAGCAACUGAAUUCACAUAAUAAAAUCGGUCUCUAUAGAAUUUACAUUAAGAAUAGAGAAAAUAAUAUUUAAUAAAAAAUUGAUUGAAUCACAUUAUUGCUAGCCCAUUGUGAGGCUAAACUCACCCUCUCUCUCUCUUAGUGUAGAUAAUAUCGUUUGUUAAAAAAAAACAAUCAUUUGACAACUAAUUUAAUGACAUUAUUAUCUGCGUGCGAAACACUUUUUUUAUAACUUGCAUUACAUGCCUUUUAAGAAUUAUAUGCCUCUUAAGAUGUUUUGAACGUGUUUAAAAAUAGAUAAAAUAAUAUUUAAUAAACAACUGAUUGAAUUACAUUAUUGCUAGCUAAUUGUGAGGUACUAAUUAAAAAAAACAUAAAAAAAUUAAUUCAAAAGGAAAGUUAAAUAUUUGAAGUAAAUGAAUAAUUUUAGAUUAUGCUAGAAGAAACCCCUCAUGAACCAAUUAAAGCAGCUGAAUUCACAUAAUAAAAUCGGUUUCUAUAAAAUUUACAUUAAGAAUAGAGAAAAUAAUAUUUAAUAAACAAUUGAUUGAAUCACAUUAUUGCUAGCUAAUUGUGAGGCUAAGCACACCCCCUCCCCUUUAGUGUAGAUAACGUCAUUUGUUAAAAAAAAAACAACCAUUUGACAACUAUGUUAAUCACAUUAUUAUUCGCGUGUGAGAGACCUUUGUUAUGCCAACCCCCUCUCUCUUAGUGUAUAUAAUAUCGUUUGUUUAAAAAAAAUUAUUUGGCAACUAAUUUAAUGUAAUUUAAUCUUAUUAUUAUCAGCAUGUGAAAGAUUUUUUUUAUAACCGGCAUUACAUGCCUCUUAAGAUGUUUUGAACGGCUUGGUGACACCAAAAUCACCAUUCACAACAUCUGAUUGAAUCACAUUAUUGCUAGCCUAUUGUAAGAUAUUAAUUUUUAAAAUAAAAAAAAACUUUACUAAUUUAUCAUCAGCACUACGCGUAUCUUAAAAUGUUUUAAAUACAAUAUUCAUGAUUUUUCUUAUUUUUUUAUUAUAUUUUUUUCCCCUUCACAUGGGCACCAUCAACUUUUACUUAUUCUUUCAUUUUUUUUUUUAUUCUUUUCUCUCUUCCCACUUAUAUUUAUAUUAUAUUUUAUGAUGACCAAAUUACCAAAUUACCCCUUCAUUAUUUGAUAUAUUAUGUUGGGUUGCUUUUAGAUUUUUUGGAUGAGGGGCAAUUUUGUCCUAAUAUUUUUGUUGAAUGGGGUGACCCCAAAAUUUUGUCCCGAUGCGUGACAUGCACUAUUCAUACAUUGUUCAUCUCAAUUUUAUAUAUAACUAGCCUCCAUGCACGUGCUCACGCGCGUGCAUAAGGCUUUUUUGAAUUACCAAAUUACCCUUACAUGAUUUGAUAUAUUAUUUUGGAUUGAUUUUGAAUGUUUUUGGCUGAUGGGCAUUUUGGUCCUAUUCAUUUUUUGUUGAAGCCGCAUGACCCCAAAAUUUUAUCAGUAUGCGUGACGUGACUCCAUAUUGGAGCCCUCGCUUUCUAUAUAAAAGAUAGAUAGGUCGACAAUUAUUAGUUGAUAUUAUGGUGGCCAGGGAAAAGUAAGAUUUCCUGCUGUCCACUAAUAAUUUAUCCUCAGCAACUUGCAACUUUUUGUUUGCUUGUUUGAUGUGGCAAACUAAGCAAUUCGUACACAGUCUUUUAAUUUCAUACAACUUCCGAUUCAAUUGUCACGGGGUAGUCCAGCACAUGAAGAUGAAUUCUAGGUCCACACAACAUGUUUUAAAUUCAAUUCAUCAACGUUGAUGAAUAAUACAAUAGUGACAGGAUGAUGUUGAAAUUCCACUCGCUGCUCUCCUUUUAAAAGAUUAAAUAAAAUACUUCUAAUUUCAUACUAAUACCAUACAACCGUUAAUCAAUUUGUCUAAUAAGUCGUUAAGUGAUAAUGUGAUAAGUGCAGAGCUUACAUUCUAUUAACUUUGAGUCCAAAUUUGUGCCCCAUGGUUAAAACAAAUUAAAAGAAAAAAAAAUUAAUUAUUAUUAAUGUAAAAAUUAGAAAUCAUUUGCAAUAUCAUUAAAUAUUUUAUUUUAUUUUUAAUUUGAAGCUCAGAUCUUCAUCUUCCUCUCCACCCAAUGCAGGUGACGAUCCCCCUACCUGCAACAUCGUCUCGACAAUGUACUCCGGGACCAUCCCCCUGAGCUCCUCCUCAACGAUCGUGGACCACGGCCUCACCUCUCCCUUUCUCGCAUACGACACAGACGACCACCACCACACUCUGCCCAGCUCCACCAAAAUCAAACAACCACAAUCAUCAAACCACCACCACCGUCAGAUUCCCAUGUGACCACCUGAAUUUUCAAAAAAUACUUGAAUGAUAAUUAUUUGUUAAGGAGCGCUUUUAAUUUCAUUUACUUUGUAUUAUUACCCGUUUAAUCUUUUAAAAAUAUAUUAAUCUCUUAUACUCUAAUUGGUCAAUUUACUGUUAAAAGAUUAUGUAUUUACUGAGCUGUUCUUAGAGAUGGGCAACAGUUAUGGCGAGCAGGUAACCGCGGUUAUUUACCUAUAACCGUUUAUGUUCAUACCCGCAUAAUAGUUUACCCGUUGGAUAAUUGUAUAAACGGUUAUUCCCAUAACUAUAACCGUUUAUAAACGGUUAUCCAUACUCAUAACCGUGUACCUAUUUAACCAUAAACAUUUACUCAUUUAACCAUAACCAUAAUCAUUUACCCGUUUUUUUGGACCCGUUUAUCCUUUUUUUACCCAUUUACCUUUUUUUCACCCGUUUGCAUGUUUUUUUUUUUAACAACUUGAAAAUUACAAAAAAAAAAUUUGUCAUAAUUUUCGUUUUCUGACAAUUAAGCACCAUUAUAGGUACAUUUUAUCAUGCAUUUCUAUAUUUUAAUUAUUUAAGUCCUCAUACAAUUUCAAUAUUGAAAUAAUAGUUUACGAGAUCAUAUUCACAAAGUGAUAUAUCAUCAUAUCAACUAUCAAGAUUGCAAGUCGCAGAUGUUCUAUUGAUAGCACAUACAGACAUGGUGACCAGAUCAACUGGAUGAUUGUGUGUAUUUUAAUUGAUUAAUUAUAUUGUGUAAUUUGUAUUAAUAUAUAUAUAUAUAUAUAGAUAUAUGUGUGUGUGUGUUGUUAUUGCAUUUGCACUUUGCAGGAAAGAGUUCAUGGCUAGAGCCUACACCAUGAACCAGUACUUAGAAUUUUAGCAUACCCAAAAUCCCUUGGAUAAUUAAAAUCCUUGCAGUGGAGCUGGGAAGGAGAGGGUCCGGACUAGAGGAGGGAGGGGGGAGAGAGAGAGAGAGCCUACUUCUAAAACCCCUCAAAAUCCCUGGGAUAAUUUUUUUUUUAAUUUUUACAUAUAUUAAAUUAAAUUGGUAAAUAGAUACCCAUAUAAGCGUGGGUAAUACCCAUAACCGAUAAAUACCCGUUAUAACCACCUAUUUAAAUUUCUCUAAAACCCCUCAAAAUCCUUGCGAUAAUUUUUUUUUUAAUUUUUACAUAUAUUAAAUUAAAUGGGUAAAUAAAUACUCGUAUAACCGUGGGUAAUACCCAUAACCAAUAGAUACCCGUUAUAACUGCGGGUAAUACCCAUAACCGCCAAUUUAAAUUUCACGGAUAAACAGUUAUACCCAUAACCGUUUGUUCGUCUAAAUGGUUACCCAUAACCAUAACAGUGAACUUUAAAUGGGCGGGUAACCGCGAUUAUUCAAACCCAUAAGUAUUUUGCCCAUCCCUAGCUGUUCUAGCUCACUCCUCUUUUGCUUUGCAGGUUUACAAAUAGACAAUUAAGAGGGUAGAUGGAAUGAGAUUGAAUUAGAUGUGAGGCUAGAAGUUCAAUUAAGGGGAGGAAUUAAGUUUUCAUCUCUCAUUUUUCAACAACAUUGAUUGAAAUCUUAUUCCUUUUCAAUUUUUAAUCAAGGCCUCUUAGUUUUAAUAAACAUCAUUAAUUAUUUCAAUAAUAAAAUAUUUUACAUAUCAAGAUAAUUAAAUUUUAUUUAUAAAUUAUUUAUUUAGGGUUAGAAACGUUACAUUUGAUAUAUUUAUAAUUAUGGCUAGAUUUUGUAUCAUAUAUUUUUAUUUUUAGUUUGUACCCAUUUUAAUUUGCAACCUUUUUUUUUUAAAUUGUGUCAAUUUUCUAUUCAGUUUUAGUUUGUACCCAUAUAUUAAUUUCUUGGGAGAUUUAAUGAAAAUGGUAUGGACUAAGACUAUUUUAAUCAAAAACCAGUCUAUAGUUUUAUUUAACCAAAAGCACCUUAAAUGUAAUCGCGCAGCCCAUUCGAUAGCAGCGUAUGUUGUUAAGCAUGGCGGGAGAUUUGGCUGAGAUGAGUUAGGACCUGAAUUUUUGUUUAAUAUUCUAGCAGAAGAUGAGCAUGUAACGAUUCGUAUUUAAUUCAAUAAAGUUUUAUCUUUCGACAAAAAAAAAAAUAUCAUAAGGACAGGCCCCCAAUUUCUAUACGGGCUGAAUUACAAAGCCCAAAAUGUUCAAAAAUAAGGUUCCAAAAUUACCCCUAACAGAAAGAAAAUGCAGCCCGUUAAAAACUUCAAUAUAAUUACAACCCUGCCCCUCACGUUAACUAAGAUCAUAUAACUUUUGGUGGCUCUUCUACUCUCUGCUCUUAGAGAAAUUAUACACCCUCCGAAAGUCUAGAAAUUGGUUGUGAGGACCUUCAAGGACCACCCGACGGUCUGGCAUGUGGUGGAGGAGAAGUGACACACCCCGACUGAGAUCGAGGCAUGCUGGCCGUCACGGGAGGGUGACGUAGCCAUGUGCACAGUGCGGAAGCAAUAAAGAUAAGAAUUAUACGAAUAAAUAAAAACCGAAAGCUACUAAAGUGCACUAAUAAACAGGAAGUGCUAAGAGUGAGAUACAAGUGUAAAUACUCCUAAUCAAAGCUUAGAAAGUCUAGGUGCAGCCUAGUAGGACAAGUACUAAUAAUACAGUACUAGAAGAUGUCCUACAAUUAUUUUAUUAUGUUAGAAUCGCCGAAAUCCUCGUACGCCACCAACAGCAAGCUAACCUAAAACUUGGAGGGGCGCAAAACAGAAAACGUGAGUGGGUAAAAACAAAUGUUUUCAAAUUCAUUUCAUUUCUUAAAAGUUCUAACCCCUCGCCGUAAAACAUGUAUAAUUUUCCCAGAAAUAGAAUAUAAGCAUAUGCAUAAAUGUAUAUAUAAAUAUCUCAAUUCAAAUCAUAGUUCACAUAAUCAUAUUCAUAAGUAUGCCAUGCCAAGAUAUAAGCAGAAUAAGUAACUCAGGUGAGAAUAAUUUCAUAGAAACUAACAUAUUAGCCGGAACCCCUGCUGAAUUCAUAGCUCAUUAGUCAAUCUAGUCGGAGUCAUUACAAUGACCUAUACGGCACUACACUGCACACAAGUCGGAACCAUUAAAAGGGUCUAUACGACAAGACUGGGUGUAAAAUAGUUAUGCUCAAUACUACGCUCUCAUAAUAGCUGGGCGAUAAAUCGCUAGUCAUCUACGAGUCGGAACCAUCUAUGAUGGUUUGUACGAUAAGACUGUGCACCUAAAUUGGAUCCAAUGUGAGCAUAUGGUGCGGGAGGUGACAUUAUAUAUAUAUAGGCAUGUGCCAUAUCUCUGGCUAAAUCACAAUCACCCUAGGUGCAGGUUUAUGAGCUCUAUGCUUCUCAAUUAAUCACAACCGUUAUUCAUAUUCACAAUACAUAACUCACCUGUGCUUACCUAAGCGUCCACAUCACCACAAUUAUAUAUUAUGCAACAUAUACUAACUCACAUGCUGGACAUAAAGUUAUAUGCAUGGCAAUUCAAGGCAUACUUCAUUUAAAUGCAUUAUUCUGGGAAAAUAUCAAGUAUAUAAAUAUAUACUGAAAACCAAAAGCCCACUCACUGGUAUGUCGAAGGGUUGUAGCCUCCGAGUCGCCCUUGACUGCGCUCAUCCUCGGGAUAAGUCUCCCUUAUAUGUGAAAUAACUAUAAAAAAGUUAAUUUAAAGCACAUAACCAAAACUAACUAAUAAGUUCUCAUACAUUGCUCAAAUGGGGUGUUUGAAUAUACCAACGUGAUCUACACAACCUCACAAACAUACCCAUAUUUUUAAAAUAAUUUUCCAACCAUCCACGCGUCGGCAAGUGCACGGCAAUACGCGCGGCCACGCACAGGGAACCCUAAUUGCAAUUAGGAAUAUUCCGUCAAAAUAAAGGAAUAUUCCGUCAACUUUACCUGACGCCGUUACUCUCCGUUAAGAAUAUUCCGUCAACUUUGAUGGAAUAUUCUUCUGUCUUCUCCGGUGGACCUCGCCGGCCGUCGACGGAAAACUGGAAAAUGUUUAAACCUUGAUAUCUCAGUCAUUUUUCAUCCAAAUUUCAUGAAACUAGUACCAAAUUGAAGCUCUUAACUUGUAGAACAUUUCCUUACCUAUUUAAAUCCCCAAAGAUCACGGGAUCUCGCCUGAGAAAUUCGAAAGAAACCGGCCAAACUUGAAACUCACAAUCCCGACGUCCAAAACUACCUAGCGAGCUACCCCGAGCUUCGUGAAGACCUUCUAAAGCUCCAUGUGAGCUUAAAAUCCAUUGAAACCUUCACAUUUAUGUGUGCAUGAACAAUGCAUCAAAUCGGAGGUUCUUGGUUCUCACGAUCCCGACGUCCUCUCAACCAACUAAGGGUAUCAAUGUGUUUCUGGGCUUACAAGGAACACAAAACCAACCUUCAAGUCUUUGAUCUAUAACUGGUUGAAGGGUUUGAGGGGUGUCCGUACAAGGUGUACAGAAAAUGGAUGAAUUCUGAGAGAAGAAGAGAGAGAGAGAGGUCAACGGCAAUGGUGUGUGGUCUAGAUUUUGGGUCACCAACCAAAAACAAGGAAAAUCUGAGUUCUAAUUGGGUCCAAACAAUUAGGACUUAAAAUGAUUGGCCCGUUUCACACACUCACGACCCAACGUUUAAAGGAAAAAUCGACAUUUCACGCCAUCGAUAAAAGUAAUUCGGGACAGGCUGUGACAAUCUACCCACCUUAUAAAAUUUCAUCCUUGAAAUUAUAUACAACAAUUACAUCCACUAAUAGUCAUAAAACAAGCAUGGAUACAUCUCUUUCAUCCGAUCCUCUGUCUCCUAAGUAGCUUCUUCCACUGAAUGAUUUCUCCAUAAUACUUUCACUAAAUGCACGGUCUUAUUCCUUAGUUCCUUAUCCUUCCAAUCCAAAAGAGUCAUUGGUUCCUCAUCGUAAGACAAAUCCGGAUUAAUUUUCAAUGGUUGAGGAGGAAUCACAUGUGAAGGGUCUGUAACAUAAUGACGAAGCAUCAAAACGUGAAACACAUCAUGUACCUUGGACAACUCUGGAGGCAACUCAAGCCUGUAAGCAACCUCACCGACUCACUCGGUGAUCAUAUACGGUCCAAUGUACCUAGGACUUAGCUUGCCUUUCUUUCCAAAUCGCACAACACCUUUCCAAAGUGAUAGUUUCAUAAAUACCCAAUCACUUACAUUAUACCUCCGGUCAGUGGCAUGCCUAUCUGCUAAGCUCUUUUGUCGAUCCUGGGCCGCUUUCAGGUUAGACUUAAUUACCUGAACAUUUUGAGUAGUCUCGUCCACAAUCUCAGGGCCCACUAAAACUCUUUCGCCAACCUCUGACCAACAUAAAGGUGUACGACAAGAUUUCCCGUAAAAUGCCUUAAAUGGUGCCAUACCAAUGCUCGAAUGGUAACUGUUGUUGUAGGCGAAUUCUAUCAAAUCCAAACAAUCAUGCCAACCAUCGCCAAACUGAAACACUGAAGAUCUCAGCAUAUCUUCUAAUGUCUGAAUGGUCCUCUCAAAUUGCCUAUCUGUCUGAGGAUGAUAUGUCGUACUAUAAAGUAAUCUCGUACCAAAUGCUUCCUGGAAUGCUAUCCAAAACUUAGAAGUGAAUCUAGAAUCCCGAUCUGAGAUAAUAUUAACCAAAAGGCCAUGGUACUUCACAAUUUGUGAUAUGAAUAAUUAGCUAAUCGGCUUAAUGAAUAUUUUUCCCUCACUGGAAUAAAAUGUGCUGACUUAGUAAGCCAAUCAACUAUCACCCAAAUGCCGUCAUAACCAUUUUGUGUACGAGGGAGCUUGUACACGAAAUCCAUAAUAAUAUUUUCCCAUUUUCAUUGUGGAAUGGGAAGCGGCUGCAUCAAUCCAAACAGCUUCUUCCUUUUAGCUUUAACCUAUUGGCAAAUGGCACACCUACUCACAUAUUCAGCAAUUUCCCUUUUCAUACCCGGCCAAUAAUAAAAUGGUCAAAUGGUAUGAUACAUCUUGGUGCCUCCUGGAUGCAUCGCAUAUGCCAAAAUGUGUGCUUCAUCAAGGAUUUCUUUCUUUAACUCUACAUUAUUCAGCACAUACAUCCUGCUUUCCUGUAUAAGCAUACCAUCAGUUUCUCGAAUCCUGAAAUCUUUCUUUUUCCCUUGAUUCCUUGGUUGAAUUAUUUCAUGUGUCUCUUCAUCAUUCAUUUGGGCCUCGAGCACACGAUCAAUUAAAAUUGGCCUAACUUGAAAAUUAGCAAGUAAGGCUUCAUCUCGAUCUUCCACUCCUAACUCCACUCCAGUGGACCUCAAAUCUGUAAAAAGAGGAACGUGACAAUCAUAGAUGGCAUUAAGUCUAGCUGAAGCCUUCUUCCUAAGUGCAUCCGCCACUACAUUUGCACGACCAAGGUGAUACUCAAUCGUGCAAUCAUAAUCACUAAGUAGCUCAAUCCACCUCCGCUGCCGAAGAUUUAGAUCCCUCUGAGUGAAAAGAUACUAAAGACUCUUAUGAUCUGUGAAGAUCUUACAUUUCUCACCAUAAAGAUAAUGUCUCCAAAUCUUCAAAGCAAAAAUGAUAGCUGCUAACUCCAAAUGAUGAGUAGGGUAAUUCUUCUCAUAAGGUUUCAACUGUCUUGAAGCAUAAGUAAUCACCCUACCAUGUUGCAUCAAUACACAACCCAUACCAUUCAAAAAAGCAUCACUGUAGACCUCAAAAUUACCACCAUUAUCUGGGAGUGUUAAAACAGGUGCAUGAGUGAGAUAAUACUUCAACUGUUGAAAACUUUGUUCACAAUUAUUAUCCCACUCAAACUUAACAUCUUUCUGAGUCAACCUCGUUAAUGGUAAAGCAAUCACUAAAAAAAUCCUUAAUGAACCGUUUAUAAUAGCCUGCUAGACCAAGAAAACUAUGUACCUUGGUGAUGGUUCGAGGUUGUUCCGUAUUCUCCACUGCUGCCACCUUUUAAGAAUCCACUCGAAUACCUUGAGCUGAUAUAACAUGUCCCAAAAAUGCUACUUGCUAGCCAGAAUUGGCAUUUGCUAAACUUAGCAUAUAACUGGUGUUCCCUCAAACUUUUCAACACCAAGGUAAGAUGUCAAACAUGUUCUGCUUUAGUCUUAGAGUAUUCCGAAUGGCAUCACCAGAAACUCAUAAUGACCAUAACGAGUCCUGAAAGCUGUUUUAGGGACAUCUUUAUUCUUAAUCUUCAACUGGUAAUAACCAGACCUCAAGUCAAUCUUAGAGAAUACACAGGCACCUCGGAGUUAAUCAAAUAAAUCAUCUAUACGAGGCAAUGGAUAACGGUUCUUAAUUGUUACCCGAUUCAAUUGCCUGUAAUCAAUGCACAGCCUCAAGGUUCCGUCUUUCUUCCUCAUAAAUAAGACUGGAGCUCCCCAGGAUGAAGUACUAGGUUGAAUAAAUCCUUUAUCAACCAAUUCCUGUAACUAAACUUUCAAUUCCCUCAACUCAGCAGGAGCCAUUUUAUAGGGAGUCAAAGAUAUAGGAUUCGUACCUGGAAGUAGAUCAAUAACGAACUCCACAUCUCUAUCUAACGGCAAUCCAGGCAAAUCAUCAGGGAACACAUUCGAAAACUGCCUAACCACACGCACAUCCUCCACACUGCUAGGAGCAUCAUCAUUCAACACCACAUGAGUCAAAUAUGCCUGACAACCUUUCGACAACAAUCUUUUGGCUUUCAUGGCUGAAAUAACACCAUGUCUCACCCCGCUAGGCUCUCCUACAAAGGUAACUUCAAGUAAUCUAGGACGAUGAAAUGUGACUGUCUUUCCAUAACAAUCUAUCUUGGCACGGUUAUAGUGCAACCAAUUAGUGCCCAAAAUUACAUCAAAAUCCACAAUAUCCAACGACAUAAGAUUAGCUGGCAUAAUAACAUCCUCCACCAUCACUGGACAUCCUGGAUAUACCCGAUCCACAAAACAUCUAUCCCCUCUAGGCAUAUAAAACUCUAAAUCAUAUCCUAAAGGUGUAAGAUGAGGUUGCGUCAUUUGAGUAAAUGUAUGAGAAACAACAGAAUGCGUAGCACCACAAUCAAUCAAUACUCUAGCAAAAUGACCAAGAAUAUUUAACGUACCCAUGAUUAAAUCAGGAUUGUUCUGAGCAUCUUGCAGUGUCAUGUUAUGGAUACGUCCCUGAUUCUGCUGUCGUCCCCCACAACCUCUGUUAGCAUGAACAUCUCGUCCAUGUCUUGGCUAACCGGACUGCCUCAAAGAUCUUGCACUGUUAGCAGCAAUCUCUACCUGCUGGGGUUGUCCCCCUUGGUACCACUGGGAUCCACCGGCUGAAUGUGGCUGAUAUGGCAUAGAAUCUCCUGAUACUGAGGGUAACCACCCUGAUAAUGAGGAUCCUGAGAGUACUGAUAUUGUCCUGAAGUAUAAGGAAUGGCGUCGCCCUGAUAAUGAUAAGCACCUCCUCAUUCAAUUUGGGCAUAACCACUAGGUCCUGAAGCUUGCUGGGUCGGCGCAUGUGGUGGGAAGAAAUGUUGUUGGGGGGGCCUCUGCUGAUUCUGAGGGCAAUGAGCAGCUUUAUGCCCUAUCUGUCCACAAGUAUAGCAUGCAUUGCUGCCUCUCCUACACUCCCCAAAAUGCCUAUUAUUACACCUGCAACAUAAAGGAGCACUUAAACCACCAAAGUCCUUCUAUCUUUGAAAUCUCGGGCCUCCAGAAAAUCUACCACCUCUCAUCUGCAUAUUAGAACUCAAACCUCCACUAGAAGAGUUGGAACUGCCAUCGCUUCUCUUAAAACUCUGGGUCUUACGAGGUCCCUGAGAUAAUUGACCUUUACCUUUAUCAUCUCGUCUCUGGUUCCCAUUCUUUUCUUCUUCAUCCUCACUUUCACUAGGCAUGUUCUCUGAGUCCUCAAUCCGCAGUAUAACCUCAUAAAACUCCUCAUAAAACCUCAUAAACCUCACUUUCACUGGGCAUGUUCUUCUUAGUACCCAACCUGAAGCAACGGAGCAUCUCAACCGGAUUAGCAGCAACCUCGGGAUCAUAUCACAACAAAUCAAUGAACCUCUUGUAAUACUCAUUCACCAACAUUUUCCCUUGUCUCAGAUGCGUAAACUCUUGCUUUUUGCGAUCAAUAUACUCUGGGGGAAUAAACCUUUUCUGAAAAAACUGCUUAAAUACUUCCCAGUCCGCAAUCUCCGCUGGGGUCAACUGGUAAGACUUCUGUCUCCACCAGGAUGCAAGCUACUCCCCUAAAAACCAGGUAGUUGUCUCGACCCACCUAUCAAGAUGAAGGUUCCCUUGACUCUGCAUCAUCAAGAAAGUCUUCUCGAUAUGAUUAAGCCACUUCUCUGCUCCCUCAUGUCCUUCAUUUCCCAUGAAAUGAUUCAGUUUCAGAUUAUACACAGUCUCAAAAGGUGUCCUUUGAGGAGGACGGAGCGAAGACUGAAUGGUAUUAGCUAUAGCUUCCCCAAAUUGAGCAAUAUCAGGGAAACUAAGCUCAGCUGAGUGACGGGGCUCUCUACGAGGUGGAAUAGUUCUGACUGAAGACAUCACAAGGAUAGAAUAUUCAUGAACUAUAUAGGACUGCUAAACCUAGGCUCUGAUACCAAACUGACACACCCCGACUGAGAUUAAGGCAUGUUGGCCGUUAUGUGAAGGUGAAGUAGCCAUGUGCACAGUGCGAAAGCAAUAAAAAUAAGAAUUAUACAAAUAAAUAAAAACCAAAAGCUACUAAAGUGCACUAAUAAACAGGAAGUGAUAAGAGUGAGAUACAAGUGUAAAUACUCCUAAUCAAAGCUUAGAAAGUAUAGGUGUAGCCCAGUAGGACAAGUACAAAUUAUACAGUACCAGAAGAUGUCCUACAAUUAUUUUAUUAUGUCAGAACCGCAGAAAUCCUCGUACGCCACCAACAGCAAGCUAACCUAAAACCUGGAGGGGUGCAAAACAAAAAACGUGAGUGGGCAAAAAAAAAUGUUUUCAAAUUCAUAUCAUUUCUCAAAAGUUAUAACCCCUCGCCGUAAAACAUGUAUAAUUUUCCCAGAAAUAGAAUAUAAGCAUAUGCAUAAAUGUAUAUAUAAAUAUCUCAAAUCAUAGUUCACAUAAUCAUAUUCAUAAGUAUGUCAUGCCAAGAUAUAAGCAGAAUAAGUAACUCGUGUGAGAAUAAUUUCAUAGAAAAUAACAUAUUAGCAAAAAUCCCUGUAGAAGUCUGUACGGCUAAAUUCAUAGCUCAUUAGUCAAUCUAGCCAGAGUCACUACAAUGACCUAUACGACACUGCACUGCACACAAGUUGGAACCACUAAAAGGGUCUAUACGACAAAACUGGGUGUAAUAUAGUUAUGCUCAAUACUACGCUCUCAUAAUAGCUGGGCGAUAAAUCGCUAGUCACCUACGAGUCGGAACCAUCUAUGAUGGUUUGUACAACAAGACUGUGCACCUAAAUUGGAUCCAAUGUGAGCAUAUGGUGCAGGAGGUGACAUUAUAUAUAUAGGCAUGUGUCAUAUCUCUGGCUAAAUCACAAUCACCCUAGGUGCAGGUUUAUGAGCUCUAUGUUUCUCAAUUAAUCACAACCGUUAUUCAUAUUCACAUUAAAUAACUCACCUGUGCUUACCUGAGCGUCCACAGCACCACAGUUAUAUAUUAUGCAACAUAUACUAACUCACAUGCUGGACAUAAAGUUAUAUGCAUGGUAAUUCAAGGCAUACUUCAUUUAAAUGCAUUUUUCUAGGAAAAUAUCAAGUAUAUAAAUAUUUACUAAAAACCAAAAGCCCACUCACUGGUAUGUCGAAGGGUCGUAGCCCCCGAGUCACCCUUGACCAUGCUCGUCCUCGGGAUAAGUCUCCCCUAUAUGUGAAAUAACUAUAAAAACGUUAAUUUAAACCACAUAACCAAAACUAACUAAUAACUUCUCAUACAUUGCUCAAAUGGGGUGUUUGAAUAUACCAACGUGAUCUACACAACCUCACGAACAUCCCCAUAUUUUUAAAAUAAUUUUCUGAUCACCCACGCGCCGGCAAGUGCACGGCAAUACAUGCGGCCAUAAGUAUGGAACCCUAAUGGAAACCUUAAUUGCCGUUAGGAAUAUUUCAUCAAAAUAAAGGAAUAUUCCAUCAACUUUACCUGACGUCGUUACUUUCCGUUAAGAAUAUUUCGUCAACUUUGACGGAAUAUUCUUCUGUCUUCUCCGGUGGACCUCGCCGGCCGUCGAUGUCGCCAUCGCCGAAAAACUAGAAAAUGUUUAAACCUUGAUAUCUCAGUCAUUCUUCAUCCAAAUUUCAUGAAACCAGUACCAAAUUGAAGCUCUUAACUUGUAGAAAAUUUCCUUACCUGUUUAAAUCCUCAAAGAUCACGGGAUCUCGCUUGAGAAAUUCGAGAGAAACCGGCCAAACUUGAAACUCACAAUCCUGACGUCCAAAACUACCAAGCGAGCUACCCCGAGCUUCGUGAAGACCUUCUAAAUCUCAUUGUGAGCUUAAAAUCCACUGAAAGCUUCACAUUUACAUGUGCAUGAACAAUGCAUCAAAUCGGACGUUCUUGGUUCUCAUGAUCCCGACGUCCUCUCGACCAACUAAGGGUAUCAAUGUGUUCUUGGGCUUACAAGGAACACAAAACCAACCUUCAAGUCUUCGAUCUGUGACUGGUUGAAGGGUUUGAGGGUUGUCCGUACAAGGUGUACGGAAAAUGGAUGAAUUCCGAGAGAAUAAAAGAUAGAGAGGUCAAUGGCAGUGAUGUGGGUGUGUGUGGUCUAGAUUUUAGGUCACCAACUAAAAACAAGGAAAAUCUAAGUCCUAAUUGGGUCCAAAAUCUAAGUUCUAAUUGGGUCCAAACAAUUAGGACUUAAAAUGAUUGGCCCAUUUCACACACUCACGACCCAACGCUCAAGGGCUAAAUCGACAUUUCACGCCAUCGAUAAAAGUAAUUCGGGACGGGUUGUGACAAGAAGUAUCUGCGGCGGCUAAGGUUUUUAAGUCCAAAUCCCCUUUUGUUCCUAUCCCAAUUCCAUUUCUCCUUCCAUCCCAACCGACCAACCCUUCACCACCACCUAAUUUCUUAAUUUAUGUUCUUUAUUUUUGCAAAUUUCCUAAUUUUUAAAUUUGACUAAGGUUUUUAAUCUCAGCCCAAAUUAACAAUUGAUGUGUAUUGGAUGAAAAUUUUGAAUUUCUAACAAAUUAUAGUUAUUGCUAUGAUUUUGACCCUAAUAUAUCAAUUAUGAUUUUGACCACCAUAAAUUUGCAAUUACAAACUAGGGAGGCAUCUAUAUAUAAGUUACAAGUAAAUUUACGGUCAUCUUUAUAGCACCAUCCUCGUACUCGUUCAGUUAAUUUUGAAUUUAUUACAUAGUGUUGUGUCUUUUGGACCUUGCUUCAUAAGAUUCAAAGACCUACAGGGAUUGAGCUGAGAUUUUAUAUCAAAUUAUAUCUUUUUUGCAAUUAUUUCAUAAAUAGUGAGUAAUUUUGUAGUAGUUCUAGAAAUAUAAUGUGUUAUUUUAGUUUAAUUUCAGAAAUAGUGUGAGUUAUUUUGCUAUAUUUCUAGAAAUAGUAUUUAUUUUGUUCCAUUCCAAAGAUAGUGUGGUUAUUUUGGAUUGUGGUUAUUUUGGUUCAAUUUUAGAAAUAGUAUUAGUUAUUUUGCUCUAGUUCUAGAAAUAGUGUGGGUUAUUUUGGUUCAUUUUUAAAAAUAGUGUUAGUCAUCAUUUUCAGUGCAAUGGGUGCUUUUAUAAGACCAAGCAAGGUCUAAGUUUCAAACCUUAUGAAACUGAACCAAGAAUUAGGCAUUAUUUAGAAAACUUGACCAAUAAGUAGAUGCUAUUUAUGAAACUGGACCAAUAAGUAGACAUUAUUUAUGAAACGAAACUAAGAAUUAGGCAUUUUUCCUAAAACUAAACCAAUAAGUGGAAACUACUUAUGAAAUUGGACCAGACCAAGAACUAUAUACUAUUUAAGAAACAUGACCAAGAACUAGGCAUUAUUGAUGAAAGUGGACCAAUAACUAGGCACUAUUUAUGAAACCGGACUAAGAAAAAGACAUUAUUUAUGAAACUUUACCAAUUACUAUACACUAUUUAUGAAACUGGAUCCAAUAACUAGGCACUAUUUAUGAAACAUGACCAAGAACUAGGCACUAUAUAUGAAAUUGGACCAAGAACUAGGCACUAUUUAUGAAACCGAACCAACAAAUAGUAUAGUACCGUUCAGUUUCAUAAAUAGUGUUUAGUUUCAUAAACAGUGUAUGUGAUGGACGUACGGGUUCCACGCGUCAGGUCUUUUUUUUCUUUAUACUUUACAAUUGUGUCCUUUUCAUUAACACUACUAACAUUCUCAAUGAAAACUGUGAAUCCUACUCUUGACAUUGCACACUCUUUGACGUGGUAUAAUUUUACUUCUACAUUUUUUACUUUUUAACCAACUAAGUUAUAAGUCUUUAUUAUUUUAACCAUAUUUAAAAGGACAAAUUUAGUAAAAUUCGGGAUAUAUGUAUACUAAUAGGAUGUCUAGAUGCUUAUGUUGUCAAUUUGUCAAACGGUACCAUUAUUGAUUGUGUAUUUUUUUUAUUAGAGUAUGUCAUUCUAAUCCUUCUUAAAGAGAACUGCUAGACCCACCCCACAACCUUAUUUACUCACCCCAUCUUAUAAUCUCACCCCUCAUGAAAAGUUAAAAAAAUUAAAACACUCUUUUCUCACCCACCAUAUUCCCAAAAUGUCCAUUAAUUUAACUAUUUUUCAAAAAUUAAAAACUAGUAUGUUUCUAAUGAUUCUUCAAAAGAGUGUCGAUAUUAAACAUGGCUGCCUUGCACUGAAGAAGAACAAAAGUAAAAACACCAACCUCUGAACUUAAAUUGGAAUUACUCUCUCCUUUCAAAAUAUCGUCCAAAAUCAUAGGAAACUCAGUGCCAGUUUUAGGUUCCACUGCAUGUCUUCUCCAGUUCAAGAUGGGAAUUGGUAGUCCUGCACAUCUGUAAUGCCCAACCUCACAAGGCCUUUAAUCCAUGAUGUCCGUAUUCUCCAAUGGAACAACUAGUACAUUUGAAGAUCUGGUGGUAAUUAACAAAGAAGAAGGUUUGUAAUCAACAUUAAAAAUAAAACCAAUUGGGUAAUUUACACUUUAAUCCACUCCCUCGUGAAGGGUUUAAGACUUACAAGCUGCCAAAGAAAGCUAGUGCGUUCUCUUCGUGUUCUUUAACUUUUUUCUUUUGGCUAUAAAAUAUUUAGGAUUAAUUUUUAAUAGGGCUUUAGAAGUCAUUUUACAAAAGGUUAAAUGUGUCAUUAAAUUUUUCAUCAAAAUGUGGGUCAGGAAAUAGGAGUGUGUGGUGGGUAUAACAGCUCUCCUUCUUAAAAUAAGAAGACACUAUUUAUGAAACUGGACCCAAAAUUAGACAAUAUUUAUGAAAUCAAAUCAAGAAUGGGACAUUAUUUCAAAAACUAAACCAAUAAGUGAAAACUAUUUAGGAAACUAGACCAAGAAAGAAACAUUAUUUAUGAAACUAGACCAAGAAAUAGACACUAUUUAUGGAACUAGACAAAAAAUUAGGCACUAUUUAUGAAAUUGGACCAAGAACAAGGCCACUAUUUAUGAAAGUGGACUAAGAACUAGGCACUAUUUAUGAAAUUGAAUCAAGAACUAGGCCACCAUUUAUGAAAUUGGACUAAUAAGGAGACACUAUUUAUGAAAUUAGACUAAUAAGUAGACAUCGUUUAUAAAACCCAAUCAAGAAUGAGGCUCUAUUUCUAAAACUAAACCAAUAGGUGGAAACUAUUUGUAGUAGUUCAAGGUCCGACAUUUCCAGUCUAUUUGUUUCUUCGCCGGAUCACAUUUCUCAACUCACAAUAGUUUUAAGUUUAUACUUUGCUAAUUACAAAAUAAUGUAGUCCUAGGCGUAGACAAGUUAACUAGACAAUGUAAACAUUCAUAUUCAAACUCUUUUUUAUGUAACAAUAUUAUAUUAAAAUAUCACUCGAUUGGGAAAUAUUGUUACAAGCAAAUCCCACAUUUGCGGAGUUUGAGAGAAAAAGAUGAUUCCACAUUUCCGCUUGUGCGGCAAAGUCAACGAUGAUGAUAUAUGUAAUCACCAUCAUUAUUAAGAGGUUAAAAAAAUUCCCUCAUAUAUCUUAAAUCCGGUUUCCUUUUCCUGCCCAACACCAAUUGUAUUAAAAAAAUUAAAAUAAAAGGCAUGCACAAGAACAUGAUCAUGAUAAUUUUACCGGAUCAACGAAGGGAGUCAUGAUGAACCAAGGUGCAACGCUAUUGGUCCUUGUAUUAUCAUUCGCCCACUCACAUGCCAAGUUUUUUGCUAAUUGAUUCAUGGCACUUCAGAUACAAUAGAGAAAAGCCAUACUUUAGGGUCUUCUCGUCCUGAAGAAGAAGAAAAAAAAAAUCUAGCCACUCAUCUUUCUCCUUUUACCAAACCUUAAAUCUACAAACUCCGUAGUUGCUGCCCUUUGCUCCGAUUGGAGGCUGGUGGCAAUCUCUCUCCCCAUUUUUCUAGCCUCCCUCCUUUAUCUUCUCAUAGAUGGUUGCUUGUUUAUUUUUCGUUUUAGUAUUUUCGUCAAUAAGUGUCUCCUUGGUGAUGUUUUGUGUGAGUCUUUCUUCAUGAGUAUUUUAGUUUUGUAUUGGUGUGUUGUCGGCUCCUUAUGUGUAUAUUUUGUUGGAAUUGGUUCACAGAUUGUGUUGUGCUCAAAAUUUAUGUUGGUGUGGAUACUAGUUGGUUCGUUGUCAGUUCCUCUUUGAAGUAGGAGUUGUUGUUGUUGUCAAAGAGUGUCCUCAUGUUCAUUAUAUUCGAGGCUUUGUGCGCAGAAGUUCUCAAAUGCUAAUUGGCGAAGUGCUUGAUCUUUUCACCAGGAAUGGAGUUUCUUUUACUUUGAGUUUUAUUUGAGUCCUCUGAAUUUGGGUGUGGAUGAGUUCAAAACUUUGAUGCAUUACUUUACUUAUCCUUGGGCUUGUCUCGCCUAAUUCACGAGUAUGGUGACAAUUAGUUAGCCAAGUUAGCCUUUUAUGUUUUGUUAAAGUUUCUUUUGAUUGAAAACUUUUUGAAUGUUAUCUUGAAUGUCCUCUUUCAAAUUUGUAUCAAUUCUUAAUAUUAUAAUAAAACCGCUAUCACCACUACAACAAAACACUUUGCUCGGCGAAAUAAGUUCGUUGCGCAAAACCUUGUGCGACGAAAUUUUGAUCGCGCAUGGUUCCUCUUGCAAAGCUUGUGACGAUAAGGUUUGCGCGACGAAAAUUAAUCUUUGUCUUUGCGCGACGAAUUAGUUUAUCUCGCAAAGUAUCUUUGCGUGACGAAGUAGUUUGUCGCGCAAAGUAGCUUUGUGUGACGAAGUAGUUUGUCGUGCAAAGUAGCUUUACUUGACGAAAUAUUUUUAAUUUUAAAUUUUUGUUUUUAAUUUUUUUUAAUUAAAAUUAAUUAAUUUAAUAUUUUGCGUGACGAAAUAUUUUGUUGUGCAAGGUUUUUGACUUUUUGUUUUAUUAUUUCUCUUAUAUUAAUUGUUUACACCACGAAAUAUUUGGUAGCGCAAGAUUUUUCGAAUUUUUACUUUUCUAAUUUAAUUUAAUUGUAUGAUUUUAUUUUUUUUAAUAUUUUAAUUUAAAUUGACAUAUUCAAAAUAAAAUUACAUAUGAAAAAUAGUGAUCAAAUUAUCCAAUAUAUAUAAUAUAUUCAAAAUAUACACAAAAAUUAACAAAGUACAAUAAUAAAAUCUUAAUACAACUCUUUUGUGGUGGUAGUGGUGGGGAAUAUGUUUCGAUAGCGUCAUAAUCCUUAACUUUAGCUGUCAAAGUUUUGACGAUUCCCUACAAAAAAAAUAUAUAUGGUCAAAUAACAAAAAAUUGGCAUAAUCUCCCCUAAAAUUGGUAUACCCCAAAUCCGACCCCAAACUCCACUCCUCAUCCUAUACUCGAGCCCAAACCCCGCACCAAACUCAAAACUAACUCCAAAAACACAUAUUAAUGAAAAAAAUUAAAAUUUGGGAAGAAUAUACCUUUUGGCAAGAUUGAGAGUGAGUGAGAAUAAGAGGGAGGAGUAAGUGUGAGAGAAUUAGAGGAGAUAGUGAGAGAGAGAUGAGAGAGUGAGUGAGAGUGAGAGAUGGUUAAGAGAGAUUACGUGAGAGGAGUGAGUGUGAGAGAGAGGGUCAGAUUUGGGGAGAGGGAAAGAGACAGGAGAGGUAAGAGUAGAGAAAGACAUUGAGAAAAUUGUGGAUGAGUUAUUUUGGUUUUAAAAUCGUAUCACUUUGCGUGACAAAGGAUAUGAGUUUGCGCAACGAAAUAUUGGUUGUGCAAAGUCUUAAAAAAAAUUUUAAAAAAAAUCCCGCGUCCUUUUUUUUGCCCGCCCAAAUUUUUCGAGUUUUGCGCGACUAAGUAUUGGUCGUGCAAAGUUUUGCGAGACCACUAAAAAAAAUUCCCACGGCCCAUUUUUGGUGCCCGCCCAAAUUUUUAGAGUUUUGCGCAACGAAGUGUUGGUCGCAUAAAGUUUCGUUCAACCACUUGAAAAAAAUGUCCCGCGUCCCAUUUUUGGUAAUUUUUAGAGUUUGGUCGCGCAAAGUUUUGCGUGACGAAAAAUUGGUUGCUCAAAGUCUUAAAAAAAAAUUUAAUUCUCGUGUCCCAUUUUUUGCUCCUGUCCAAAUUUAAGGAUUUUGCGUGGCGAAUUAUUGGUUCGUCGCGCAAAAUUUAUAAAAAUAUUUUUAUAAAUAAUAAAAAAUUUACUGAAAAUGUGACUUUACUCCCUUGAAAUUCAAUUUUUUUUUAUAUAAAACCCACAAUAAUAUAUUUUUCUAACAAAAACCCGAUCUGUACUACAAUAAUAAAUUUAAAGCUACAUAAUAAAUAUAUAUACCAUUCAAUUUCUUAAGACCUUUAGUGGCAACAUAUAUAGAUCCAAUAUCUAUUGAGACCACACCUGCAGUAGAGGACAAAAAACGAUGUUAGCAGCUCCUGCAGCUUUGAGAAAAGGAUGUGAAAGUUGGCACAAGUGGUAAGCAGAUUCAAGAUUGGUACUCAUUAUGAAUGAGUAAUCUUUAGCUGUGUACUCUAGCGUUGCUUUCGGUUUGACAAUCCCCACAUUGUUUUGUUCAUGCAGGAAAUCUCACGGGGAGGGGUCCUUGGCUCGAGCACACAGCUCCCUGAGGAGUUGGAACUUUGGUUGUGUUGGAAAAUAUUAGUAUUUAGGUUUACCUUAAUGUUUAGAAUUAGGUUUUGUUAGAGAUUAUGAUUAUUUUAUUAUAAAUAGGGUGAUUUGUUAUUCAUUAGAAAAAAAAAAAAAAAAUCAUUCACAAUGUAGUCUCUUAGAGUUUUGUAGCCGUUUCGGCAUUCUAGUUUGUUUAAUAAUAUUUUUAUUAUUUUGUUAGUCUUAUCCGUUGCACACUCUGAUAUUCAACUUGGUAUCAGAGCAGGCUCAAUCCUUAAGGAUUUGAUCUGCUUUGGUUGUUAUCAGUUUUGUCUAGUAUGUUGCUUCUGUUCUGUUGUUGUUUAGGUUUAGUUUGAUACUAAAAAAAAAAAAAAUUGAUGAAGCUUUGUCGUGCUUCGCGGUUUUCCAUCCGCAUCAGAUCACCUGGCACCUGCAAGCACACCGUCACACCACCAUUUGCUGCCGCUUGAACCCACCUUCAACCUCGAUCCAUCAUUGUCUUCCUCACUGUCCACCAUUGGUUUUGACGAAGCCCAGAUCCGAGAACCCAAACUCGGAUCGAGUUCAUCUUUGCCCUGCACUCUGCCUGCACUUGUACACGCAAUCAACUUCCAUAAGUCGAAUCUGUCAACCCUUGGAUCACUGCCGCUAUUUCAAAUCUGCAGGCCCAUACACCAUGAACUAGACCCAUGAACCCAAUCUGCACGCUGUCGUUGCAACUAGAAACCCAGCACAUCUGCCGUUCGAAUCCACCCCGCCGCCAAGCCUGCAACCACACCUCGGAGUCUGAGUUUAGAAUGUUGGUCUGCAAAUUUUUUGCACCCAGGUUGCCACCUACUGCUGCACCCUUGAACGCUACUGUUGGAACACGCUCUAGCUGCAACCUGAGAGUUUGUCUCCGCCAGUCUAGAAACAAAAAUAAGGAAAAUGAGAGAAAAUAAAAGGAAAAAAUUGUUUGCUGUUAGUUUUAGGCCCACAUGAGCAAGAAAAAAAAAACAUAGUUAAGUUUGUUUUUUGGCCACACAAGUUGUUGGCAUUGUUCGCACAAUUGAGAUAUGGAAAUCUCGUCCGUUUAGUGACGAGUUCUUUCCAUAGUCUCAAUACUGGCCAGUUUGCCAGCAAGAAUCAGUUUGCUAGUUCGUCUGUCUGUCCGCGUUGCAGAGCCUGCCUGUCUGUCUGUCAACGUUGUGGAACCUGCCUGUCUGUCUGUCCACCUAACGGAGCCAAUCUAUAUCUGCUUGUUUGCAAACCCAUGUCGUAUGCCACCAUGAGUUUGACGGGGGGUGUUGGAAAAUAUUAGUAUUUAGGUUUACUUUAAUGUUUGGUUUUCUAAGCUUAACCCAUUAAAAUUAGGUUUUGUUAGAGAUUAGGAUUAGUUUAUUAUAAAUAGGGUGGUUUGUUAUUCAUUAGAAAGAAAAAAAAGUCAUUUACAGUGUAGCCUCUUAGGGUUUUGUAGCCGUUUCGGCAUUCUAGUUUGUUUAAUAAUAUUUUUAUUAUUUUGUUAGUCUUGUCCGUUGCGCACUCUGAUAUUCAACUAUUGUCGGACUCCGACUUGCUGAGAUGCUGCAAAGGGAGGAUAAAGUUAUAGUUCUAAAAGGUACCUUUGUGGGGGCCUUAGGUGUAAGCCUUGAGGCUCGUAAUCAAAACUAAGUGCUAAGGCGUGCCACUGCCAUCUCUGUAUGACAGAUGUAGAACAAGUGUAUUUAAGCCGAUUACUUGCGCCCCAAGUUAUUCUGACUUCUUGUUAUCAAAGGAUUGUUGUAGAUGGGUUAAGUUUACAUUAAGGUCUUUUCUAUGCCUUGAGAUCAAGGACUUUUAGUUCGUUAUCUUGCAUGCUUAAAGGGUGGAGGUCCAGAUCUGCUUAAGUCAUCAACUUUAAUUUACUUUUAAUCUUUUUAUGACAAUAAAACCACUAAGUGAAUCAAAUCUGAGAACUGAUGGAACUAUGGAUCAUCGAAAGACUGGAAAUGACUUGAAUAGAUACUGGGGAAUACAUUAUAACACCAGAUCUAUUAAUUGAAAGACAAAACGAGGAGAGGCGGGCAAUGUUAAAUGUCAUGCGGUCUCUUCUUUGUUGUAGUUGCAAAGGGUUAGGUACUAAAAGAGAGAUGAGUGGUAAAUGAGUUUACACAAGAGAAUCGAUACUACAUCAUUUAGAGAAGGUAGCAAAGCUUUUACAUAGACAAAAGAUGUCUUUCUAAAGGAAGUCUAAGGCUAAAAGGGUUGCAGAAUCUGGAUAAAGCACGACUUUCUGGAUAUUUACUUGACUGAGAGGCAAGUUGUAUGUUUGUUUGUUUGAUUGGUUGAGUGUCUAUAUCUCUGGGCCCUCUUUCUCCUUUUAUAGUUGAAUUAACCCGACUGUACUGUUUCUGCUAUUGCCCGAAAGCAACUGAUGGGUAGUGAGUUAUCAGCAUUUUUACAUGUUCUGCCAUUCAAAAAGUGUUUUUGGGUAUGGAGUAGGUGGAUUUCCAUCAGUUGUCACUUCUCUUGUAAGCACCUAACCUUUACAUUAAAUGAGGAGCCAUCAUUUUGUCUCAAGAUGGGUAUCUAGGCUCGACUCUGGGCCUCCGGGCAAGAUCUCCUUUAUUGGGCUCUUUUGGACUUUCAUUCCUUUAAGUCCAAAGUUAAAUAUUAAUCCAAACAUAUUUAUCUAUAACAAGACAUUAUUGGAAAGGUGUAGCAUAACAUAACGAUUUUAGUUUAUAUGUAUUGCUGAAAAAUGCAUUAAAGUUAUGUGUAUUAAACAUAAAAAGUAUGUACAUACAUGUGUGGAACGUUUGAGUUUUUAAAAAAGUACAAUUUUGCAAAUUAUGGAAAUGUUUACAACAAACAGAAAUAUUUUAAAAAAUAUAUAUUUACAAGGAUAUUAAGUUUGCCAUCAAAGAGUGAUGAUCAUUCAUGAUUUAUGCAUAUAUGUUAAUUCAACUAAUCAGUCUUCUACUUACAAAGAUGUUAAGUUCGCCAUCAAAGAGUGAUGAGACCUUGUUUAUAAGCUCCUCUCUUUGGGUUUUUGACACCACAUCACAGACCGAGCCAGUGACUUGAAAACCCUUCUUCUCCCAUUCAGUGACUUGAAAACCCUUCUUCUCCCACUGACUCAGGCAGUCAUUAAGUUCAAUUUCAUUUCGCGAAUUCUUCCACUAUUGCAUACCUAUAUAAUUACAUUAUCAACUUCAACAUAGAGUAGUAAAAUUAAGAUAAAAAAUUGGAACACUUGUCCUUAAAUUUUGGUAUCUCAUUGAGCUUUAGUCAUUGAAUUAAACAUUUGUGGAUAUUGGUCUUUGAACUAGUAGCCGGAGCAAUAGUAUUUUUGGAUAACUUUCUUAUCACUUAUGUCCAUUAUUUUUCCCCUAUUUGUUUCUUAUUUUGAAAGGAAGUUCUAACAAUUUUAACCAAUAGGACUAUUGUUUUAUAUUGUGACAAGUUUAUGAACUAAAGUCUCCAGUUGAACCAAUUCAAGAUCAAAGCUCCAAUUAGAAAAAAUAAAGUGAACAUUGCAUUGCAUGUAAAAGAAAAACUGAAAAUAUCCCGUCUCUCUCCUCUCUCCCAUUCGAUGUACUCCCUUCCCUAUUCCCUCUUCAAUCCUCUUUUCUUUGUUGCCUUUCCAGUCCCUUCCCGCUUUUAUCCAUCAUAGCCACCACCUCUAUCCUUCUCCCUCCGGCCAAGACAAAUCGAUCUCUCCUGCCUCUUCAAUCCUCUCUUCUUUGUUGCCUCUUCAAUCUUAUCUCUUCUCACUUGCAUCCAUCAUAGCACCAUAGCCACCACAUCUUCCCUAUGGUCGUUGGAUCUCGGGUUUGAGACCGCCAACAUGAUUAGCCUCUGUCAGCAUGAGUUUGGAGGAAGGACUUGGUAAAUAGCCAAAGGAGUCGCCGCUAGGGAAGUGAGGGAUGCGGUGGUAAGGAAAUUGGUCUUUCGCUGUUGGGGAUGGGAGGGAUGCGGUGGUCGGGUAAUUGUUUGGGCUGGGCGUUUGACUUUUUCUAUUUGGAUUAGUUUUGAGAAAAUGCAUACCAAACAAGGUUUUGAAUUUAAAAAUUUUAAAUCAAAACAUGUUAUUUUUAGAAAAAAUUAAAAUUUUGAGUUUCGUUCUCAAGUUAGAUACCAAACAGGCCCUAAAAGAUUAAUGGUUUUAACUAUCCAAAUUUAGAGAAGCUAACCCAAUUCCUUUGGUUCCACCAGUGACGAGCAGUCAUUCCCUCAAGAGACCAUCUUCUGCCUCUGCUGCUCAUCUCUCUCUCUCUCUGCUUUCUAACCCUCAUGCACAAUACUAGUGGUGCUGCCAUUUAAUACUGGUUUUGAUUACUACCAGAUAUUGGGUGGCCAGCAUAAAAAGUACACGAACUGUUUCAUGCAUGCACCUACUUAGUAGCUGCUCGGAUCCUGAAAAUCCGAUUACAAACACAUCGGCCAUUGCCGCUACUGUUUGCUCCUAGUAUUUGCGGUAUGCAUAAUUAUAGUUAUGAUGAUUUUUUUAAUUAAGUACACCGUACACGUCGAGAAAUGCUAGAAAGAUUUUUUUUUUUUUUUUUUUUUUUUACUGAAAAUGUAACUUUAGCUUUUGAAAUUUAACUUUUUUUUAAUACAAUCUAACAUAAUUUUUUUUUGUUCGAAUAAAAUUUAGUGACUAGACUCUACAUAAGCAAAUUCAUUAAUUAUAUUUAACUAAUUAGACAUCAUACAUCUUUUCAAUGCCGAAAAUACCGCUAUUUAAAUAUUUGAUAUACACAAUUAAUUCCAUGCCAAUUGUAAAAGGAUUAAUAAUUUUACAAAAGAAAAAUAAACAUUAAUGUUAUAAAUUCAUUGUCUAAUAUAUAUAAAAAUAAAACAUGCCUAUAAUAGGCCAAUAAGCCUAAUAAUUGACUCAUGUGCAUGUUUUAGCACAUUAUUCAUUGCCUAACAUCCCUAAUAUAUCCAAUAAUUGACUUAUCCCUAAUAUGCCUAAUUGUUGUGACCUAAAAUUUAGAGAGGGAGUGUGUGGCGUAGAGAGAAGAAAAAGGUUUGAGGAAUUAUGUGAUGUGAUUUCUUAUUGUUGGAAUCAAGUUCACGCACCUUAGCAAUUGUGAGCAAGCCAGAGACCCAAUAGGGUGUUGGUCAAAGGUCCUUUGAUGGUCAAGUUAGUGAGCAAUAAUAAAACUUAAGCAGUGGGCAAGAAAGUUAGAGUGCAAUAAUUGCGUUACCAGAGACGAAUCCUAAAAGAGUGUACUUAUAGCAAUGGGGAGAAAGACCUUUUUAGGAUAUAACUUUGUAUUACACCAUGAGAAUCCAGAGGAUAUCUAGAAGUAGAUAUUGCAUCAUCUUGGGAGUGUCAUUACUUGCGGAGCACGCCAAUUCCUAGAUUGUUGGAACUUCAAGAAUAUGAGAAACCAAGUUGAUUCCAUGUUGGAUCAGGUUCUCAUAUCUUGCGGAACAAGCAUGGUGAAUCUCAACGAAGUCAUUCGAGUUUCGCCACUGCUGCAAAACAAGAUGAUGGUGGCAUCACUACUUUGUUAAUCCAGCUUUGCUCAGAGCUGUUGAAUCCAUGAUCGGACAUCUAAGGUACUUGUAUUCUGAUUUUCCUGACUCCAACCUAGAAAAUCAUGGUGUCAUACUCAUGCCUAAUUCCUUUAUUUCUAGUAAUAAGGAGGAGAUAAUAACUUGCCCUCCAAGUAAUACAAAGUCAGAGAGGAAAGAUCUUCUAGAUCCUAAAGGAUUUCUAACUUAUCUUUACUAGGAUUUACAUAAUCGCACUACGUGAAAUAUUAAUUAUAACACUCAUCCUUAAAUGUGUAAAUACUCAAGCAGUAGACGCAUCAGAUCUUCAGAAACAUAUGAAAGUAAGGCUUGCCCAACAAAAUUUUGCCCGAUGAACCAAAUUUCGUCGAUUUUUUUAGUUGGUAGGCCAAAGAUGGUCAACAUUUAGAGUUUAUUCAAAACCUUUACGUGACGAAAAGUGAUCGUAGGGCAAGUCACAAUUCAUCGGGCAGAAUUUUGCAAGUCACACUUCUCCUCUUAGCAACUUCAGUUAUGGAGGUUUAGGGGGUAGUAUUGGUGGUAAAAAUAAGAUUUGUAAGUACGAGAAGGGUAAGGAUUGGAAGUCAAUUGUAGGGGUUCGCAGCAACUAUAACAUUUCUAACGGAAAUAUUAGAACUAGUAGUUGGAAGGGAUAAGGAUCGCCCUGUGGAGUACUUAAGUAAUUUCUUUGUGUCGAAGAAGGUGAUGACCAAAAGUUACUCAGAUUUCUUACAUGCAUGUGGAAAAACAUGGAGAGGAUGCCACCGUGAUGAUAAAAAAUAUCCCAACCAAAUACAUGAGGCAAUGCAAAAUCAGAUUUGUCUUGUAUCACAGCAUUGACUGAUAUCAUUUAAAAUUUUCUUCUUUUCUCAAUUCUUUUUGUAAUGGUUCCAAAGCUCUAAACCCUAUGCAUGAGCCUUUGUUCAUGAAAGAAUGCAUUGUACUUAAUAAAAGUAUAGAAUAAACUCUAAUUGUUUGGAAUCCCUAACAAAUGCAUGAGGCAGUGCAAAAUCGAAUUUGUCUUCUAUCACAGCAUUGUUUGAUAUCAUUUAAUCCAAGAGUGAUGAUGAGUAUAAGUGUAGUCCCAUUUUCAUCAUUUCAGGGAUCCUAUAUCUAGAUAUGUGAAAACAAAACCCUAAUCUCUGCUUCAAUCCCUACUGUUGGACUCAUAUGUGCUUCUACUUUAUAAACACUCAUUCUUUCUCCAUUUUUCAACUCACUCAACUCCACCAUUAUGAAAAAAUCUCAAUCCACAAUCCAACCGUCAAAUGUAAACACAUAUACUUUGAGAUCUCCUACACCAAAAAUCAUCUAAAAAAAUGUUCGGAGAUUUGGUAACAGAACAAAAUCGUUCGAUGGUUAGUAACAAAAAAUCACGAUUUAACGGUCGUUUUAGCUCCGAUUUUGUUGAUUUUUUACAAAUCCUCAACCCUAGAAGAAUAAGAUGUACGAACACGAUCAUCAAUCUAAAAUAUUUAAAAUAGUGGAUACACCAAAAACUUACAUUCUACUUAAUGGAAGUACAGAAUAAACACUAAGUGAUUUGGAAUCCAUUCUUUACAAAGGGACACGCAUUCUACGAAACUAGUUUUCAUGAUCCAAUCAUCGAACAUGUUUGCAUAUACUUCAAGUUCUUCUACACCAACAAUCAUCCAAAAAAAUGUUCGGAGAUUAGAUAACGAAACGAAAUCAUUAGACAGUUAGAAACGAAAAAAUCAAGAUUUAAUGAUCGUUUUAGCUCCAAUUUUGUACAAGGACCCAAAUUGAAAGUAAAAACACACACUAAAUUUACAUGAUUAUGAAAUUCGAUGAUUUUUUUUUAACCGUUUGAACAUAAUGUUCAAAACUCAAGAAAAUUCUUUUUCAAAGUUGCCCAACGAAAUACUUGAAUUUGUCGGGCCAAAUUCCUAAAUUUUGUUGGCUAAAGUUAUGUAUUCGUCGGGCAAGGUUUAAAAGAACACCCCAAGAAUUUCCCAAAAAUUUAAAUUUGCCCCGCAAAAUAGAGGUAACCCAACAAAAUAUUCCAUAAGUUUGUCGGGUAACCCACCAAUUUUUAACUAAAUUGCGUUUGCUCGACGAAAAUCUAGGGUUUUGAACACAUCAAAAUUUUAAAAGCUUUUGCCCCAUAAACCUUCUGUCGGGUAAAGGUUUAAAAUGUUUUAACAACCGUAACCUUCUUCUUUCUUCCUCCUCAUACCGUGCAACUCUCAAAUCCUCUCUACAAUCUCUGUCAGUGUCAGCCCUCCCUCUCAAUCUCUCUCUCAGUGACCCACCACGACGUGCCGUGAGCCACCAAUCUAAAUAUUGAAUUAUAGCGGUGGGUUCAAAAAAUCGAAACCGAAAAAAACCGAGAACCAAACCGAACCGAGACCGAAAAAAACCGAACCGAAAACUGUCAAACCGAAUAUGGCUGGUUCGGUUUUGGUUUUUGAAGUUUGGAAACCGAACCGAAUAUAUAUUUAAUUAUUUUUUAUAAUAUUUUAAUUAUAAAAAUUAAAAAAAUCUCUAAAGUCCUGGAGGCAUGUGGGUUUGAACCCGUGUGCUCCAGUUGAAAGGUUUCAAUGAAACCAACAUGGCAACUGGUUUUGUUUUGUUAUAGUUGUAUAACUAAACUAUUUAUAAAGAUAUAAAACUAUAGUCUUUUGUGCAAUUAGAAAUCAACAAAACCCUAGCCACUAGUAGUAGCAACCAGACCUUUUCUUUUUUCAUUCCCCUCUUCUCUCUCUCGUCCCUGCGCCUCCAGACUCCCUCCUUGUCCAUGCCUCCAAUUUCUCCAUUCUUCUUCAUUCUUCUCUCUCCGUUUCUCGAUCUUCUCACUCCAGGGUAAGAUCUCCAAUCUCUCUUAUUUAUUUUGUCGAUUUAUGGGUUUUUUUAGAGUAAAUUCUAUGGAGGGAAUCUGAAAUUUGGUGUAAAUUUAUGGGUUGUUGUUUUGUUUUGUAUUGUAGAUUUGUUUGAUUUUUGUGUUGUGAGAGUCUCACCCAUUUCUUUCCCUUUCUUUUUUUUUCUCCCCUGAUAUCAUUAUUUGCUUAUCCUCUUUCUUUGCCUCAGCGGCAACACCACCACCACAACCAGUUGCAGCAACUGCAACAGCACCACCUCCACCAGCUGUGGUGGUCUUGCCGCCCAACACAGCCAACAACUAUGCAGCGACCACCUUCAUCUAUGCUUGAGAGGGCUCCGGAUCUGCGGAGUGUGGAGAGAAAGGGUAAAUUUGUAGCCGAAUGCGGAAAAAAAUCUGCUUCAAGCUCCAGAUAUUAAAAAAAAUCAUGAAAAAACCAAAAAAAAAACCGAAACCGAAAUCAAACCGAAAAAAAUCAAAACCGAAAAAAACCGAAAAAAAAUCGGACCGAACUGAACCGAACCGAAAUUUUGGUUCGGUUUCUGUUUUAACAAAAAACCAAACCGUUUCAAACCGAAUCCAGCCCUAUUAAAUUAUAUUGAAAAUAAUUUUCUAAUUUUCACAUUGUAUAAUAAUUAAAAAAAAUUCUUUUAAUUUGUUUUAGCCAUCUGGCACAAAUUUGGACUCCAAGUCAGCAAAAUGUGGUCUAUGUUCUUGUCAUGUCAUCACUUAACAGUCAAUUUAACAGAUUAAUUAACGGUUGUAUGACAUUGCUACGAAAUCGAGAGUUGUUGUAUGAAGUUGAAAAAAAUAAAUGAAGUUGUACGAGAGGACAUGUAAUUUACCCAUUGAAUUUUUAUGUAAGAGGUUAUCAAAUUGAGACGAAAAGCCACAUGAUGUUACCUACAUAUACCUUUUAAAUCUUUCUUAAAUCUUUCAAUUUCUAGGAGUAAAAAUUGUAUUCCCCUCUUAUUGUUUUUUUCCUCUUUUUGAUGAUCGGUACGUACGCUGGAGAGGUUUGAAGUUAACUCGUUAAGUUUUUAUUGUUUUUGUCUCAAGAAUCGUGAUGAAAAUUUGUUCAUCCAAACUUUGGAGCACUUGAUUUAAACUCGGAUGUAAUGGUAAGCACAUCCUUUCUUGCUGCUGUGGCUAAGUCUGGAUAUUCACCUCUUGUUAGCUCGCUUGGCAGUCUAAUUUUGGAUAAAAUUUGAAAGCGAUUGAUUUCAAUCUAAUACAAUUCUAAAUGCCAACCUGGGAAUAUUUUUGCUCAGCUCAAGUGAUGGUGAUGAUCAUUACUCUAGUUAUCACCGUUGAAUUAUUUUAAAUUUUGAGAUCUGUGUAGUAGAUAGACGUAAAUUUCAAAAUAUUAACUCAUCCAACGGUAAUAAGUAUUGUGGAUGCAAAUUUUCUCCUCCUCGAUCUUGGACGAUUUUGCACCUACAAAACAACUAGCACCUUAGGUUAAGGCCAAAAGCCUCACGCGCCCACGAUGAAUGGGGGGGCUUUGGCCGAAGAACCUCCGAUGCCAAAGUUAGAAUUUUGGAGAGAAAUAGUGUUUAGAGUGUUUGUGAUUUUUUGCAAGAGGUUGUGGAUUAGUGUUUUGUGAAAAUGGUACCCAAUUUAUAGGAGAGGAAAGGAUGAUUUAUUUUGGGGGGUUAUGGAGAUAGUGGGCUAGUUAUUUUUAGGGAGUUAUGGAAAUAAUUGGCUAGUUAAUUAGCAAAUAGUAAUAACCUAAUUUACUAGCUAUUUGAAUGUCACAAAAAGGGGGAGAAAAUGGCAGCCACCAACAGGAAAUAAAGGGCAUGACCGGCCUAGUGGGUUUUUGGUUAGUUUGUGGUUUAAUUAGCCACUUUAAUUGGCUAAUUAAAUAUGAAAAGAAAUGUUAUAGUAAUUAUGGUAUUGAUUGGCUAAUAAAAGGGAAGAAAUGGUGGGAAAAGGUAACAAAAAAGGUAAUGGUUUAGGUUUUGAAUGGGAUAGCCGGCCCUCUAGUAUUUUUAGGUUUGAGUGGAUGUUUCAAAUUGAUAAUUAAGGGAUUGAUUAGGUAAUUAAUCCCUUAAUUAGUCAAUUAUUAUGAUUUGAGGAAAUAUGAAAGGAAUAAGUAUAUUAUUUAGCUAAUUGAUUAGCUAAAUAAUGAAAUGGGAAAUAUAUGAAUAAAUUAAGUUUUAAGUUGAUACCUAUUUUGGGCACUUUUGACUUGGUUGAAAAAUGAUUGCCCACUGCUCGCGCGUAGGAAUCCCGGUAUGCCUCAAGGGUAUUUUUGUCCUCUUAUGUUCAAAAGUCCACGUGUCGCCUAGUGAAUAUUAUUUGCUCCACAAGUAUGGUGGUGAACAUUACUAUCACUUGAGGGUGAUGAGCAGAAAUGCAUCUAAACCAAACCAGGUUUAUAAGCUCUUCUAAUACAGUGAAAGUUAAAUCAAUAGACCAAAUGGUCGGCGGUCUUUCAUUCACUUAUUUAAUUAGAACAUUAAUGUCACUUAAUUUCACAUAAAACUAAAGCUCACCACUUUGUUUUUUCUUUUUUCGGAGAACUAAAGCUCACCACUUUGGAAUUAGAU